CGACCCCAUCUUCAUCCAAUAAGAUAUUCCAAGGAAACAAAGUCCUAUAUACGAAGGGCCUAGGGAAUGCAGUGUGAAGGUAAGCUAAAGCAGUAGCGAUAUCUUCUGCUAUCUUCAUUCUCCUUUUCCACGUCUGUUCACUUAUUUUUAAUCGAUAGUGUUUCUUCACACCAUCAUAAACCAAGACUGGCUUUUCCAACUCAAGACAACAUCCAACCAAUUUCAAAAAGUUUUUGUUCACUAAAACCAACUCAAGACUGCAAUUUCAUGUUUCACUUUACUAUAGAUGUGAAUGUCACCUUUGAACCUAUGAUGUUUAGUGAGAUAGAGGCCCCAAAUCCACCAAACAAUCAUGGAAUUCACAGUUCAAUAUUGAUGGCAUUGUUCAUAUGUAAUUGCUGGAAUUUGCAAACUUACAUCAAUUAGCCCUGUUUCCCAACUCACUAUGUAAACUUUAGAAUUGUUAUGGUCUUAUUGACUUGGGAGACUUAACCUUUAUAGUAGACAUCAAUAUAUUAUCAAUACAAGCAAGAUUCACAUAUAUCAUAAAAUCUCUUGAUAACAUUAACAAAAACAGACGGAUCGAUCAAAACCCAAACACAAGCUCUAAGGGUAGGAUCUGACAAUAGAAUUAAAAGUAACGUAGCACUAUAAUGGAUUUCCGUUAACCCAGAGAUUAAGAACAACUUCGAUACUCAAUUAGCUAAGAUCUGAUCGAUUACCAAAGUAUUAAUGAAUCCGAAAUAAGAGAUACAAUCGUGAACUCUCACUCGCAAACGAUUACAAAGAGAUAAACAUAGAUCUCUCUUUUAGCACAUCGCUAGACCAAAGUCUCACAAUGAACUCACAAUUGUUUAUUAAUACAACAAAAAAAUUACGUAAAAGUAAACGAAAUGAAACUUGAUAAUGUUGAAAUACGAACAUGAAUCGAACUUAUUUUCAGUACAUUCUUCGAUUUUUUUACUGGAAAAAAAAAAAAAAAAAAACCAGCUCAACAUAACCCAUUGAAACAUCUCGUAAAAUACCUGGCAGGCACUUGUUUGCACUUAGCAAUGCCUUUGUGUGUUUUAAGUCUGGUUUGAGAGGACGACUGAGGAAGAAAUGUCUUGGGCAAAGUCGAAAUGGGUUUCACCUGAAGUAGAAGAAGAGUCGUUAUAAAGAGAUGUUUGAAUCUUCUUUAGUUCUUUGGCCACUUCCACCAUCGUUGGAACUUCUUCACUAGGACCGAUGCAUCUCAGUGAGAGCAUUCGGAAAGCUUCCAUUUGACAAAGCUCUUGUUCUGAAAUUUGACCCAUCUUUUCUAUCAUCUUUCGAUCUGCAAUCUCUUCCAUUCGUCGGUCUUCCUUUAAUUUUGACAGCCAAUAUCCAGCAUAAUACUCAAAAUAAUAUUGGUUUCCUAAUAGAAGCGAUAGACCCAUAAACUUUCCAAAGGCCAAGACAUCUGUUUUCUCUGAGACUACGCCACUGCUCAUCAUGUAACCAUCGUACAAGUAACUAUAUAAUAAGAUAUCUUCUCUGUCAACCUGGACAAAUGUUUCUCCUUGUGGGAUUGAGACGCAGAGAGAGAAAUCAAUCAGCUUGGCGACCCCAUCUUCAUCCAAUAAGAUAUUCUCAAUAGACAAACUCGUAUAUACGAAGGGCCUAGGGAACGCAGUGUGAAGGUAAGCUAAAGCAGUAGCGAUAUCUUCUGCUAUCUUCAUUCUCCUUUUCCACGUCUGCUCACUUAUUAUUAAUUGAUAAUGUUUCUUUACACCAUGAUAAACCAAGACUGGCUUUUCCAACUCAAGACAACAUCCAACCAAUUUCAAAAAGUUUUUGUGACCACUCACCAUCGAUGAAACUGCUAUGUCCCGGCACAUAAGAUCUGUCCUCAAGCUCCAAAAGCGAGCACGUUUCUUGAUGAGUAUCAUGGGAUGGUUCUCGUUCUUACCUGAAUACCAAUCGGAGUAAUAAGCUAAUCUAAAAACAUGAUUAGAUUUGCUGAAAUUGUUGGUGGCUUUGAGGAUCUCAUCAGCAGAGAAGAAUUUGAUGGGAUUGGAUAUGCCAUGGCCUAAUUCGAUGAGAUCUUUCAACACCAUCGCCCCUCUCUCCAAUGUUCGCUUCUUAUUCAUCUUCCUCCAAAACCAACCCAUCUCUAACCUAAAUUGUUUUUUGACUUUUUCUAUAAAAAAAAAGAGACUUUACUUAGAAGAUUCAAGACCUCACACAAUGAGUUGAAAUCAAGAUGGAUAUUUAGAUCAGAUUUUUAAGGUUCUCAAUUCUUGUUGAAUUUUCAACACUGACGUCCUCCCGCGUAAAUCAGAAAUAUACAUUUUUUUAAUUGUUUAAAUCAAUUGUGAAGAAAGUAGUUGCGACCAAACUAUCUUCCAAGUUUUAUCUUAUCAAAUUCAUAAGGAUUAAACCCGCAAGACAAAAACUUAUUUUUAGUUCAAAUCAUUUUUUAACUUUAAUAAAAACGGUAUCAAAGGAGACUUUCAACAAUUUUGAAUUUACGCUCAUGACAAAUAUGAACAUUCGUUUUCCUCCAAACUAAAUGUAUAGUAAUUUGUGAGGCUAAGUACCUCUUCGUCCAUAAUCGAAGCGACGGGGUUAAGUAAGUAAACAUGGAGUUCAUUGGGUUAACUGAAAAGCGAAAUCAUUUUACAUCUGGCAGAUCUAAUGGCAAACAAAGUAGGAAGAUGUUUGAUCGUUUCAUGUCCAUUAUAUUGCUUAGAUACAUACAUUGUUCCCUCCUAAACAGAGAAGUCUAUAUUUGGUUGGAAGUCUCCCUCUAAGCCCGAGUCAUGAGAUGAGGUGUAAUAUCCCGGCUCAAAUUAACUUUUGAUUUUUCUUGAAUUUUCCUUAGUAGUAUCUCGAGAAAUAUGGGUUUUGGCUCGGAGAAUUUUUAAAUUUCGUAAAGUUUAAAUUGCAUGGUAUGGAACCGAAGAACGGCUUUUUCAUAAAUCAACUCAAUAGGUAUGUUCAAUUUAUACCUUAACUAUAACUCUGUGCAUAUACAUAACCGAACUAAGCAAAAUUUUAAAUUAACUACCUAAUCUUAUCGUUUUGUGCAAAAACAUGCAUAUCUCGAGAUAUUGUUAACAUCUUAUAUAUUAAAGCAGAAGUAGAAACGCCUCACGUUCGCUCUCAGAAUAUGAGCGGACGUUUUUGCCCCCCUCCCCCUUUAAUUAGAUAAAAUUAGUUAAAUUGCCAAAAUAUUUUAAAAAAACGUGUGUUUAAAUAUGUUAAUAUUGCCAUAUUCAUUAGGUCGUCGUAUAGAAACCAUAAUCUGAUCAUUGGGCUUAUUUUCUGUCUAAAAAAUGGCCCGGUAUAAUUUACACCGUCAUAAGUAAAACCCUAAAACCUUAUGUUAGAAAUGCCUAUAAAUAUAUGAAGUCUCCCUAGAAACUCAAACAUCACGGCUUGAUUUUUAUGCAUAACCAUUAUGGUUUAUAGUUCUUUUUUGUACCUCAAAAUAGGUCCUUUCUAUGAUGCGUCGUCAUCGAUAUUUCGUUCUCUUUUUUCUGUUAUGGUCACUUGGAAAGUAAGAUCUCAAUAUCUCAUAGAUCUUUGCCAAUUGUUGAUGAGUUUUUCUAAACGAGGUUUAUAGUUUGGUCGAUUACAUGUUUUUGAUUAGCACCUUCUUCUCUGAUUAGGUACAUGCACAAACUAUUUGGAUUGUGGACUUGCGAACGAAGCUCAAAACAAUCUAAGGUAUCUUUCUAUUCCUAUUUGAUCUAUGCGUAUAAAAGACAAAAAAAAAUCUUAUAAGUAUCUUAUUCGUGUAGAGAUACCUAAUUUUCCGGUUAUGAAGGGAUUAAUUCACAAAUAUUCAUUGAAAUAAAUGCUGCGAAUAAUGAUGAAUAAUUAAUUACGUCCGUGGAUCCUAUAUAUUAAUAAAAAUUUGAAAUACAUAUAUCAAUAAGAAUUAUAUGAAUCUGUUAUGUAUCUAUAUUUUUGAUAUGCUAAUCUUAUUGGUUUGAUAUUAUCCAUCAUAUCCUUUUGAUUUUUUUUUGUUUUUUUUUUUGAAUUCGAUUAUUGUUAAGAAAUUAGCUAAUAAUAUCUAUCUAACCUUUUAAACAAAAAAAGGGAGAUAGAGAUAGAUAUUUGCAAUUUCGAUUGGAACCGUUCCAUAAUUUCUAAUUAUUAUUUUUUAUUAUUUGACGUUAUCCUAUAUAUUAGAAAAAUAAAGAAUAAAGAGUAUUAAGAUAACUACUUAUUAUGUAUUAUUAACAAAUCUAUCGAGAUUGAAUGAUAUAUACGAAUAUUGGAUAGUAUUAAACAUUUUCAGUUUAAUUUCCAAAUAAAAAGGUUAUUGUUACAAAUUUACAUUUUUUUAUUUUACUUUUUUCUAGCAACUUUUGUGUUAUUAUUAUAUAGGUGUACUAGAUCAUCACCCGUACUACAGUACGGGUUAAAAUUUAUUUAUUACAAAAUUUAUAUAUUAUAUAUUUUAGAAUAAAGUUAUGAUAUAUUAUAAUAGUAAUUGAAAAAAUAUAAUUAGAUUGUUGUGAGUCCCUAUAUAUAAUAUUAGAAUGAAUCUAUUUUCUUUUUUUAAUUAUACUCAACUAUGGAUAUAUUUUUUUAAGAUAUAAAAACGGAAAAUAAAAUUAUUUUAAUAAAUUAAUAUGGUCUGAACAAUGAGUUAAUUUAUAUUAACAACCACAAAAUGAGAUUGCAUAUAAUUCAGUUAGAUCAAAAAUCAAAAUAUUAUAAAUGAAUCGCUUCUAAAACUUAGGGGGUGUUAUUCAAUGGUGGAGUCAAAGUCAAUUCUGUAAGGUUUAGAUUUGUUUUCUGAUAUUGGUUUUAAGAAUCUGUUUGUGUAGAUUUCAAAAUCUCUGCAGUAUAUCUUGGAUUUUGAUUCUAAUAAUUUACUCAUGAAACUCCAAAGAGGUUUCAUUUGAAAUGACUUAAUAUACAAAGAUUUUACAAGUCUUUUAGUUUUGAAUAACACUGGAUUUUACAAAUCUUAAAGAAUUGACUUUAACUCCACCAUUGAAUAACACCAAACUUUUAAAAUCUAAUAAAGUAUAAGAUCUAAUAACACCCGAUUUUAACUUUAGAUUUAUAAUCAUUAGUUGAAUAACACUGGAUUAGUGUUGGAUUUCAAUUCUAUUAAAAUCCAUCAUUGAAUAACACCAGCUAAGAUUAUUUUUAAUUAAUUAAGAAAGUUAGCUAUUAUUUGGAAUUAAUUUAGGAAAUUCUUUUUUCAAUUUUUAAUUAUUUGGUUGUUGAAAUAGAGAUUUUUUUGAGGUAACUACGGAAUUUACCAAUUAUUCGCGUAAUCGAAUAUGUUAUGAACAUAUAUUUAGUAUAUAAUAUACCAAAUUCAACCCGUGCAUGGAGUCUAUAUUUUUAUUUUAGAAUCCUAAUGAAAACAUUGCGUGCACAAUCUAUUAUUCGUUAUUUCCAAAAUUGCUUGCACAAUCAAAUUUUCAAAUAUUUUGUGGUGUCAACCUUAUUUAAUCUAUCUGAUCAUAUAAUCUUAACAUGUCGUCUAUUAUAAGGGUCAUAAUUUUAUAUCAUAUAAUAUAUUAUAUUUAACCCUCCGCCUACUAUAACUAUUUUAAAUAUAUCUUUUUAGAAAAUCAAAUUAAAGUAUUUAUAAUUUUUUUUAUCUUUUUAAUCUAUUAAAUAUUUAUGAUAUUCAUUAAAAUAUUAAAUUUAACUAUUUUUAAAUGUUCCAAAUUAAAAUCUUUUAAAAUAUUUAUUGUAGUAUAUAAAAUUAUGAAUUUCAAAAAAUAAUUAUAAAAAAUUAAAUAGAAAUAUUCAAACAGUUAUAAGGAUAAUAACUCAUUUGUUAAUAUAAUAUAUUAUAUUUAACCCACUGCCUAUUAUAAAUAUUUGUUUUUAAUUAAUCAAAUUAGAGUAUUUAUUGAUGAUAUUCUUUAAAUAUUGAUGAUAUUCUUGAAAAAUAUCAAUUAAAACUAAUUUUAUAUGUUGCAAAUUAAAAUAUUUAAAAAUCUUAUGUAGUAUAUAAAAUAAUACAUUUCAAAAAAUAAAUAUAUGAAAUUGAAUAUAAAUAUUCAAAUUCUGACCCGUUAGUCAGUCAAAAUUUUUGUUGAACUUAUUUUUGGUUAAAAGAAAUAUAUUACUCAAAUAUGAAUUUUUGACCCGUUAAAUUUUUUUCUUCAUAGAUUUAACAAUUUAAAUUCGUUUUUAAAAAUUCAAAUCUUGGCAUAUGCAGAAAAAAUUUACUUUUUUUUUGUUAUAUGGAUGACAUGAUGAUUUAUUUGUUUCAUAAAAAUAGAAUCAUAUAAAGAUGAGAGGUGAAGUAUAAUGAUUAAUAACAAAUUAAUAUGGUUAGUUAGAUAUCAAAUCUUAUAUGUUCAUUUUGAUUGGUCAUUCUUUUUUUAAGUUAAUAAUAUAUUUUCGUUUUUAAUAAUUAAAUUAAUUAAAUUUCAUAAAUUAGUAUUUGACUUGUUUAUCAUUAUUGAGCUAAAUUAAUUUACUCUUUAUAUUUUUAUCUCUAAUGGUAUUCUAAUGUAAUAACUUACAAAUGAGAAAGUUAUUAAAGGGUAAUUAUAAAUUGUACUCCCCAAAUAAUAGUAUAGGAUAUAUUAGUCCAUAAACAGUGGAGUGUUUCUAUUUUGGAUUUUUAUAAAGUUAAAUGAAUCUGUGUAAAUAUUGAUAUUGACAUUUUGUUAAAAGAAUAUUUUGGGGUUAUUGAGAAUCGGGAUAAUUUCCUUUUUAGAAAAACUAUCUAGAGUUAUAUAUUGAUGAAUCUUGAUAUUUAAUUGGUAAAUACGAAUAUUUGAGAUCAAUACAAAUAGUAUAUUUCUGUAAUAUGUUUUCCGUUUUUUGUUGUUUGUGUAUAUAUUACGAUGAUUUAAAAUUCUAUCUUUCUUAUAUAUUAAAGGAGAAGUCGAAACUGCUCACCUUCGCUCUCACAAAUUGAAAGUACUCUUUUGCCUUUAAGGAAAUUGCCUAAUUUAAUUCUGUUGAAAAAUUUUCUUUUUUCUAUAAAAAAUAUUUGAACUGAAUAUUAAAAAAAAUGUUAAGAUACCCGAAUAUGUUUAGUGGGUUUAUUUUCAGAAAAAAAAUGGCAUGUUAUAAAUUACAUCGUCAUAUGUAAAACCCUAAAACCCUAUGUUACAAAACCCUAUAAAUAUAAGAUGUCUUUCAUGAAACACAAACAUCACAUUUUUUAUUUUAUGCAUCUUCGUUAUGGUUUAUAGUUUUUGAUUUGUACCUCAAAGUUGGUCUUUUUUAUGAUGCAUCUUCAUCAAUGUUUUGUUCUCCUUUUUUAUGUUAUGGUUUCUCGGAAAGUAAGAUCUCAUAGAUCUUUGUCAAUUGUUGAUCAACUUCUUAAACGAGAUUUAUAGUUUACCAUGUUACAUGUUUGGAUUUUCAUAAUUGGUUUGUUGUCCUAUAUGUGUAUAUUAAUUAGCCUUUUUUCAGGCACAUGCAUAAACUAUUAUGAUUGUGGAUUAUAAACUAUUUGUGAAAUUAAGGUAUUCUUUAAUUUGAUAUGCUCUACACGUUUCAAGAAAUAAAUUCUUAAUAUUUUUUUUUUCUCUGGGCUCACGUUGAUAGGUGCACUAAUGAAAGAAUUAUUUAUGAUUGUGGAUUUGCAGAAGAAACUUGAUUGAAAUUAAGGUAUUCUUUAAUUUGAUCUGCUCUACACAUCAAUAAAUAAAUUCUUAAUAUUUUUUUUUUUUGGUCUCACGUUGAUAGGUACACCAAUGAAAGAAUUAAUUAUGCCGAUGGAUGUGUUCUGGUAUGAUUUAAAGUAAGGUUGGCUGAUUUUUCAGCCCUAUACUAAUUACAAUCUCAACUUUUCACCCCAAACUUUUUGUCUCUAAAAAAACCACCAUAAAAAACUUUAAUCUUAAUAAAACUACACAUACUUUCGGAUUUGUUCUUAAAACUACGCCUCCAAUUGAACCGAUCAGUUAACCGGUAAUAUCUAAUCCGGUUUGAUUUAUCCAGAAUUUUGACCAAAGUUAAUCAAUUUUAACUCUAUUUUAACCCAAUUUUGACCCAAAAACAAAUAUAAAAGAAAACAAAUGUCUUCUCUAUAAAUAAAAUUAUUAUUUUUAUUUAUUUAUUUAAAAUUAAUUUUACCAAAAAAAAAUAUACCAUAAAAUAAUAUGAAAGUAUACCACAAAAAACAAUAUAUAACAAAUUUUCGGUCUAUACUUUUGUUUAUAUAACAAAAUAUACAACAACAAAAAAUAUACCAAAAUAGACCACAAAUUAUUUUUUGUCCUAUAUUUUGUUAUAAAAUUUUGGUAAUAUAACAAAAUAUACAUUUUCUUUUUGGAAAUCAUUUUUCUUAUAAAUUCAUUUUUCUUUUUAAAAAUUCAAAGGUUGGUUAUAUAUAUAGAUAUAUAUAUAUAUAUAUAUAUAUAUUAUUUUGAUUUUAGAAAAAAAAAAUUAUUUUUGAAUUUAUAAAAGAAAAAUUAUUGCCAAAAAUAAAAUGUAUAUUUUUAAUAUCACCACAAAUCAAAGUAUAUAGUAUGGUGUAUAUAUAUAUAUAAAUGAAUUUGGUAUGAUAUAUAUAUAUAUAUAUAUAUAUAUAAAAUUCAAAGGCAUUUUUCUUUUAAAAACCACCAUAUAUAUAUAUAUAUUAUAUAAAUAUAUAUAUAUAACCGACCUUUGAAUUUAUAAAAAAAAAAACUAAAUCUAUAAAGAAAAAUGAAUUUAUAAAUAUCAUAAUAUAUACUUUAAUUUGAUUUGUGGUGUUUAAGGAUAUAUAUAUAUAUAUAUAUAUAUAUAUAUAAAUGAUUUUUGCAUAUACUUUGAAUUUCAUAAUAUAAAAAAUUCAAAGGUCAUAUAUUAUGAUUGCCAAAAAAAAUUAUUAUUUUGGUUUUUUUUUGUAAUAUUACCAAAAGUAUAUACCAAAAUUUUAUUAUAUAAUUUUUUGUGGUUUAUUUUUUUUUAUCUAUUUUUGAUAAAAUUAAGUUAUAAUUUAUAAUUUUAAUUGUUUAUAAAAUAAAUAAAUAAAUAAAUUUCUUUAUAGAAAAAACAUUUUUUUUCUUUUAUAUUUGUUUUUGGGUCAAAAUUGGGUUAAAAUAGAGUCAAAAUCGAUUAAUUUUGGUCAAAAUUCUCGGUAAGUCGAACCGAAACAAAUAUUAUCGGUUAAUUGAUCGGUUCAAUUGGAGGCGUAGUUUUAUGAACAAAUCCGAAAGUACGUGUAGUUUUAUUGAGAUUAAAGUUUUGUUGGUGGUUUUUUCAGAGGUAAAAAGUUUAGGGUGGAAUGCUGAGAUUGCAACUAGUAUAGGGCUGAAAAAUCAGCCAACCCUUUAAAAUAUCAAAUUCUUAUGAAUUUUUUUAAUAGUUAGGUUUUGUGCCGUCACCUAUUUUGUAUACUUUAGAUCUGAUUUUAUCUAAUAUUAAAUUUUAUUGUUUUGAAGGAUAUGCCCCAUAUCCUGCUGCAACGUUAUUUACAAAGUAAUCUCUAAGAUCAUCGCAAAUAGACUCAAAACCAUCCUACCGCAAUUCAUCUCGCCAAAUCAAUCUGCAUUUGUCAAGGACUGUCUUCUAAUGGAAAAUGUCUUGUUGGCAUCAGAAAUAGUAAAGGAUUAUCACAAAGACAUGGUAUCAGCUCGAAGUGCCAUAAAGAUAGACAUAUCCAAAGCUUUCGACUCGGUACAGUGGCCUUUCCUCCUCAACGUCUUGUCAGCUCUAAACAUUCCGCAGCAAUUCAUUCAAUGGGUUGAACUUUGUGUUACAACAGCCUCCUUCUCGGUGCAAGUUAAUGGAGAAUUAUCUGGAUUGUUUCGAAGUACACGAGGCCUAAGGCAAGGAUGUUCAAUUUCUCCUUACCUUUUCGUCAUAUGUAUGAAUGUUCUAUCAAAGAUGCUAGACAAGGCUGCUUUGGAAAGGAAGAUAGGGUUCCACCCACGAUGCAAAAAUCUCAAGUUAACACAUUUGUGUUUUGCGGAUGACCUGCUUGUGUUUACAGAUGGGAAAAAAAGAUCUAUAGAAGGAAUCCUCCAGUUAUUCACGGAGUUUGCAGAGUUCUCUGGCCUGAAGAUAAGCCUAGAAAAAUCAACAUUGUACAUGGCAGGGAUAGAUGAAAGGGAUAAGGAAAUGAUCCUUCAAAGCUUUCCUUUCGACUCCGGACAACUACCCGUUAGAUAUCUCGGACUCCCUUUGCUAUCUAAGAGAAUGACAACUUCAGACUAUUCUCCACUCAUUGAAAAAAUAAGGGACCGGAAUGGUUCCUGGACUGCUCGGCACCUCUCCUUUGCAGGGCGACUGCAGCUCAUAAGUUCAGUCAUUCAGAGCCUCACCAACUUUUGGAUUUCUGCGUUUAGACUCCCAAGUGCUUGCAUAUCAGAAAUUGACCGACUCUGUUCAGCAUUCUUGUGGUCCGGACCUGCUCUAAACCCAAAGAAAGCCAAAGUGGCAUGGAGAGAUGUAUGUUUACCUAGAGAAGAAGGCGGUCUAGGUCUAAGAUCAAUACAUGAAGCAAAUAAAGUCAGCUGUUUAAAACUGAUUUGGAGAAUAACCUCCUCCGACUCCUUAUGGGCACAAUGGAUAAAGCUAUAUCUCAUACGGAAAGGUUCCUUCUGGUCACUUAAGGAAAAAACAUCAAUGGGGUCUUGGAUGUGGAGAAAACUCCUCAAAUACAGGGAGCUUGCUGCAAGUUUUACUAAAAUAGAGGUGAUGAAUGGAAGAGAAACUUCUUUUUAGUAUGAUAAUUGGUCACAAAUGGGGAGGCUUAUUGAUUACACGGGUCAGAGAGGAUGUAUUGAUAUGGGGAUAACAAUUCAGUCCUCACUAGCAGAGGUGAUUGCAACACAUAAAAGAAGAAGGCACAGAGUUGAAAAUCUCAACAAAAUGGAGGCAGGGAUUGAUGCAAUUAAAACAAAGGGGCUGACACACGAAAGAGAUGUAGUGCUAUGGAAAGGCAAAGGAGAUCGAUACAAGACCAAAUUCAGUACUAAUGAGACAUGGGACGCAAUUCGGGAAGCUAGGCCAUGUAUGGAAUGGUGCGAGGGUAUUUGGUUCCUCCAUGCCACACCCAAACACUCUUUCAUAUCAUGGCUUGCAAUAAAGAAUCGCUUAGCAACUGGAGACAGAAUGCUAACUUGGCAAAAUGGAGUAGACCCGUCUUGUGUUUUCUGCACUCAACAAAUUGAAGACAGAGACCACCUCUUCUUUAAGUGUUGCUAUGCUGAAGAAAUCUGGUCUGGUUUGAGCCGUAAGAUACUUGGACAGAAAUUCACCACAUCGUGGAGUGAUGUUCUCAGGAUCCUCACUUUUCAGCUAGCCAUAUACUCAAUAUGGAGAGAAAGGAACAGUCGGAGGCAUGGAGAAACACCGAUACCACCACUGCAGCUGCUUCAAACUCUUGACAAACAAGUUCGGAACAGGAUCUCCUCGAUUCGAGAACAAGGAGAUAGGAGGUACGAUGGAUGCAUGGAAGCUUGGUUUGCUUCGAGAUAAACACUACAAGGGAAUAGUUUGUAAUUUUAUUUCAUCACUUAUUAACCAAACGAUGCACUUGAUGUAAAAACGUUUUUUCGAAUAAAUUUUACAUUUUAUUCAAAAAAAAAAAAAAAAAAAAAAAAAAAAAAAAAGAAGAAGGAUAUGCCCAAGAUUGUGGAAUUUUGUCACUAAUGCCACUUUCUCAGAAAAAGUAAUCGUUUAUGUCACUCUUAUAUUAUAUUUUAUAUUUUAUUUUUCUUUUAAUACAAAAUCGGUAGUAAAUGUCAGAAAACCCUUACCCUAAUUUAGUAUUUACGUACCCUUGUCAUUGCCAACCUAACAACAUAAUUAUUUUAUCUUCUCCUCCUUCUAUUUCAUUUUCACGCUUCUCCUCCUUCAUCUCUUUCUCCUUCAUCUUCUUCUUCUUCUUCUUCUUCUUCUAGAUUUUUCGAAUCCUUAACCCUAGAUCUCUUCUUUCUCAUCUGAAUUUUUCGUAUCUUUAACCCUAGAUUUCUUCUUCUUCAUCAUUACCUUCAACGAAAUCCUAGAUCUCUUUUUCUCCAUGGAUCUUUCUUAGCUUCCAUCUCUUCGAUCUUCUCAUUCUAGAUCCAUAGAUCUUCGUUCUUCUCACAGAUCUGAGAUUAACAACAAUCCCGAUCUAGAUUUCUCCAAAAUCGGCUGUGUAGUGACGAAGUAGAAUCGGCGGUGGAGGAGAAUGGGCGGAGGAAGAGAAUCGACGGUGGAGGAGAAUCGGCGGCGACGACAAUGAACAAAGCAAGAAGAGACGAUGAUGGCGCUAGGGUUUAUAAUUACAAAUUGCUUAAAUUUUACCAUUUGUACCAGUUGUCUCCAUUUAUGUAUCAGUUGUACCGGUUGUCUAGUUGUCCCUAUUAAUAUGUCAGUUGUACCAUUUUUAUCAGUUGUACUAUUAUAUUUCAGUAAUACCAUUUGUACCAAUUGUACUAUUAUAUUUCAGUUGUACCAUUUGGAUCAGUCAUCUUACAAUCUCUCAUCUGUACCAGUUGUAUUAUUAUUUCUUAGUUGUACAAAGUUGUACCUAGUUAUACUAUUCCGUACUAAUUCGCCCUAAUUUCAUUAAGGGUAAUUUGGGGAUAUCACAUUUAUGGUGGCACUCAGAUUAUAAGAUGGCACGCCAGAUUAAUUUUUUUCAAAUAGUGGCAUAUGUGGCUCGGACUCCAAGAUUGUGGACAUCGUUGUGUCGUUUAUCAUCGCCAUGUCCGAGCAAAAACGUCAUCUGGUGAAUACGAGAGAGCAUGAACGAAGCUUGAUGAAUUCAAGAAAACGUUUUAGGAAUUUUAAUUACUGAUACCAUAUGAUCGAUAUCUCAAUGUAUGAUUAAACUAUUAUGAUAUUAUCAUAUUUUCUCAUAUUAUUAUGACACGAUUCUAUUUUCCUCAGUUCGUUGUAGUGAUUUGGAUGGUUUUGUAUUAAUAAUAUUUUCUACGAUUAUUAUAUCCGUCGAUAUUAUCAUCUUAGUCGUUUUCUUUGUUUCGCACUAUCCUAAAAAUAAUAUUUGUUUCGCACACCCUAAUUCUCUAACACAAUAUAUAUCAUGCUUUUUUCUCCAUCUUCAUUCGUCAUGUUGUCUAUCUUUUUUUUUCUUCUAUACCACAUAUCGGUUUUCUGUUUAUAUUUUUCGAGUUUUAGUUAUAAGUUUAAGUAGACCACUGGCUCUAUUAAUAAAAGAACACAGCCUUCUCAGUCGUUCUUUUUUUUAUUGUCCAGUGCUAAAGUUACAAGAUAUUUGACAAAGAAGAAAUCAUCAAAAGAAGAAUAAAAAUGAUUGGAAGAUUUUCAACUAAUUUUAUCAAAAUUAGAAGAUUUUCAACUACUCCUUGACCUAAUUGUGGAGAUACUCAAAAAAACUCCCAACAAAAUCUUUGAUGAGGUUCCAAUGUGUCUCAAAGCAAUGGUCAUCCAUUAUAAGCAAAAGAUCAUUUGAUGGUUUUACUUAGUAUUAGUUUAUAAUCUAUUAUAUUGUUUUGCAUCUAUUUAGGAAAAGAUUGAAGGAGAAGAAAGAAACCAAGUGAGACAUGGAGAAGAAAAAGGUGAUAUAUAGUAGGAUUUUUGGAUUCUUUUAGUGUUUGUUUGUUGAUUUUCUAAUAUUGGUUCCUUGACAUUAUGUGCUCAAAUUAAUCUCAUUAGAUGUGUUAGCGGCUCAUUUAUUCCUUAAAACAAAAGCAUUUUAGGCUUAUGAUCAUAGUUACCACUUUGCUCUUGCGAAGGUGUACGGUGACGCACGGCUGAUCGGCUUGGUCAUCAGUGAAGUUAUGGAUGGAAAGAAACGUGUCUCUCAUUCUCUCUCCCAGGAAGAAAGUUAUUAUACAUUCCAUUGUCAAGGCUGUUGAGGAUGAAGUGAAAGAACAAAAUCCAUUUAUCUCAUCACUCAAAGGUAUAAGGCUUUGAUUUCACGACCGAAUCAAAUUUCUAAGAGAUACAUAUGUUUCUUCGUCAAUUUUGAUUUUAUUUGCCUUGGUGACCAAGUUUGGUUAGGGUUUGGAAAUCUAUUAUAAAGGUGUACGGGUAGAUCUAGAUGCAGUUUAUUUCUCUUGGGAAAAUAAAAAAUUAAAAGAUCCUUGAGUUUUUGCCUUUAAUGUUCUGAUAAUGUUUUCUCUAUUGCUUCUAUUAAUGUUCAGGUAGUGUGAAGAUUGGUUGAAUUAUGUGCUUCAAAAGCCAGGCAAUUCUGCGGGCUCAAGGACACUAAAAAUACCUUAUAGGAUUGAUAAUUAUAAGUAGAUCUGUGUUUAUGCGUGUUGGGAAACCCGAAUGAUACCACUUAGGUUGGUUGUAUGUAACAACAAGCACACUUAACUGUAAUCGUUCUCAUUUAUUUUCAAACUAAGCGUUUUUUUAAUAUAUUUUGUAUAUCUAUUCUUUGAUUUUGGUGUCCAAAAAUAAAUAUAGUGUUUCGACUUAAUCAUAGUUCUUUCUUUACUUUCUCUGAUCGUUCGUUUCUUUAUUACCCUCUUUUUUUGUGUUUCGCAUACAACCAGAGUUUUUUUUUUUUCUCUCAAAAGAACAACAGUUUUAUGAUCAAAGAAACUUGGUUUCUAAACCCCUCUCUUUCAAAAUCCAAGCGGUAGGGUGAUAACGACCCUUUAAUCAUCAAACUGGGUGGGUAAAUUCUGCUUAAAGCUUAGGUAAAUUAUGCUUGAAUCUUAGGUCGACAUCACCAGUCAUGCUAUUAUAUCUUUCAUCAGAACCCAAACUCCAUAUGGUGGUACGUUGCAGAAGAUAAAAAGUCAGUGGAAAAUCGUGGUAGUCAAAGAAAAGGAGAAAAAAACCAUACACGGCCAAAUUAAAAAGCACGAGAGAAAAUUAUUUAUAAUGCACAAAGUGAUCUAAAUUUGAUGAUGAAUGAUUACAAAUGAUUUACGAUUAUGAACGUGAUUACAUGAGUGUCGAUGGGAUUUUAUCAAAAAAAAAAAAAAAAGAGAUUCCAUGGGUAAUUGAUUACAACUGAAUGCUUUGUUUGAUAUGUUCUGUUAAUUUCUGUGCUUUUAUUGGUAUCGUCUAAGAUUUCAUGAUGGCUCAGGAAUCAUUUAUUAAACUUUGGAGGUCAUUUUAAACAUCUUGGAGCGUUUAGACCGACUCCUCAUGCUUUUCAAAUUCAUUUGAAAACAUCAACAACGGUUCGGAAUAUUUGAGUCUCGAUAACUAUUUCAAUUUAAUGGAUUUUCAAGAUGUAUACAAUUUGGAUAAUUAUGUAGAUGACAUGAGAUUCAAGCAUAGCAGACCUACUGCUAAAUCAUCAACAUGGUGGGAGACUAAUAUAUUAUUUCAUUCUACAAAAUUUCAAUUUUUUUGAUAAUCACCAGCCAUGAAAGCUAUAGAUUCAGGACGAGUUCUGGCUCCGGCAAGGUGCUGAGAGAGAACUUAAACUCAUCAUGUACAUACUUGAGAGUCAUGUCGUCAUGACUUAGUCCUUCACCAUCGUUAACGUACAUCUAACAAAAUGGUCGCUAUGAAGCAUCAAAAUGUUCUUUAACGAAAAAAUGUAUUAUACAAGGUCUCCAGACUUGAAAUUGUAAAUUUAAGUACAUGAGAAAAAACGCUUCUGAAAAUUGUGACAUUUUUUUGUUUCUUGGUUUUGUUUUAAUUUUUUUAUAAUAUACCUUUUGUUACAAUUUUGCUAUUUGUUGAUUAUUUAGUUUUUUUCAGAGGCAGCCAAUUAAGUCAUUUUAACAAUACGUGUUCACUAUGGCAGCCAAUUUAUGACCCUAUGAUGCUAGAAAAUAUCAAAAAAAAAAGACGCUACAAUCGGCAAUCUGUAACUACCGUAAUAUCUUCGUAUACAUUUUAAAGUAAGUCACCUUAUGUGGCGUAAGAUGAUUCAGUUCUCAAGGUUCUCAAGGUUUGUCUCUUUAUAUCCGAUCAAUAGUUUCUGGUUUUGCUUUACAUAUCUAGGAAUUCAAAUGAGUUUGGAUUUAUGAUUGGUUUAAGUUAGUUAAGGGUUUAAUUUCUAAUGAGGUCUCGAAACACCUAAUUGUAUACUCUCCCUACAAAAUUAAGCUUAAUAGAAACGUAAGUCAAUUAAAAGCCCUAACGAAUCACUAAAAAGCCUAGAUAAUUUCGAUGUUGUUUCCAUGGGAGACGAGUGAACAAGGAAGAUACAAAGCGCGGAGGAUCUUGAACCAAAACAUAUCACCACCAUCACUGGAGAAGGUGAAUUAAGUUAGUUACAAUACGAGGAAGAGAUUCCGGAAAGUUAAAAAUAUUUUUGUGAUGUCUAUAAAUUAGGGAACGGGUUAUGAUAAAUACAAAACAUGUGAGAUACUAGCUCUAUGGUCAUAGAUGAUCUUUGUGAUUAAUAAAUUUACUCUUAUUAAUGAUCAUGAAAUAAUGAAAAAAUUAAGAGAUGUUUUGAUACCAUUUUUCUUACACAACAUUUAAAGUUUUUGUCUUGAAUAAUUUAAGAAACUUUUUAAGUUUUUUUCGACGGUUCCAUUCGGCCGCGCAAGGCGCGGGGACUCACCUAGUUAUAUCUACUGUAGCUUACUUAGAUACUAAUAUCAUUAACUACACCGUUUAAACAUUAAUCAAAACACCUAAAAUUUGAGACAAAACGACGUCACCAACAUUUAUUUUCUCCUUCUUCUUCCUCUCGACUGGAAUCACAAUCAGGAGAUUUUCGGAAAUCUAUUCUACAAUUACAUCAUCAACUUGCCCAGGUAAUUAUUUCAGUUGUUCAAGUUCUGAAUCUACUAAAAUUACCUACAAUUUAAAAACCCUAAGAAAAUUAAAAUGCUAAUCUGAACAAGGUAAUGAUGCCAUUGAGGAAUCCUAGACUGUGGGAAAUCGUCAAAUAGUGAUUCCAGUAGAGAGGAAGGAGUAAAUAAAGGGUGGCACAGAGCAACGUCGUUUUAUAAAAUAAAGAGCAAAACAACGUUGCUUUGUCUCAAAUUUUAGGUGUUUUGAUUAAAGUUUAAACAAUAUCAUUAAUGACAUGGUAUCCACGUAAGUUAUAGCAGACGGGACGUUAAUGACACUUCGAGAUAUGCAUGUUUUUGCACAAAAUGGUAAGAUUGGGUAGUAAAUUUGAAUUUUUGUUUAGUUAGGGUAUGUAUCUACACAUAAGUUUAGUUAAGGUAUGAAUUGAACAUACCUAUUGAGUUGAGGUAUGAAAUAGCCGGUUUUUCAUUAUGGAACUAAUGUAUGUAAAAACCAUUUACAGUAUGUGAAUGUGUUAAUUUAUGAAGAUCAUAUUUCUUGAAAAUGUCUCAUUGUCUAUGAUGGCAUUUUACAUAUAUGGAAAACAAAACAAAGUUAGCUGCAACAGAUGAUGAUAUAUUUGAAACUUCUCAAGUACUCUUCUCAUGACAAGAACAAUUUGAUGUUACCUUAAUAGAAGAAUAGAAUGCUUAAGACGAGACGAGACGGAGAAAGUGAGAGCCUUGACUCUUGUUGAGGUGUUCUUCGUCACUUAGUAAUUUCUGGAAGCUCGAGACUUCUAGGGCUUGAUAGGAAACCUAACAUAGUGUCGUGUCCAAAUUCCAAUGACAAGUCCAUUAGCCCAUGUCGUUUAGAUUGCCAAGCAGAGAAGAAAAAGGUUUAUCACACACAAUGAGGCAACAAGUGAUAUGCUAUAAUCGGGAAAAAUGAAAAUAUUCUCAGGACCUAUCUACAGUUUUGGAGUUGCAGAAACAAGGGAUCUACAUGGUUGAAAUGAUAAUAACAAUCUGGUCUAUUUAACAACUUGACUACUUACUAAUUUCAACUGAUCUAUUCACAUAAUGUACACAACUUCUAGCUUGCCACUGUUUUUUAUACAUCAAUGCUGCGUUCCUAUAUUGAUACAAUUCUGUCACUUCUUAGGCUAUCGAUCGAGUAGAGCAGCUUCAUAAAAUAGAAUCUCUGGCCGAACCCUCCGUUCUCCACAGAAUCUGACCACACUCUUCCAAAUACCGACAACCUAUAACAUGAUAAUGUCUGACCCAUCAACGUUCACAUUCCAGCUCAAGAAAGACAAAAGCAACUAUGUGUCUUACCUCUUCUGUUAAAGCUUCAUGUCUGAGACUGACCCACCGGUUCUUUUUAUAAGCCAUGCAAAUGUGUUCUCCUUCUUCACCACAUCCAAUCUGCAUUCCAUAUUUUAAGACUGUAACAGAGAAGAGAUACAGAAAAUCAAUAGCACAAACAUUUGUGACCCUGUUUCAGAUUUUACCACUGACACAAGCCGGUAGUUAGUGUUUGGUUCUAAGCCUUCGUAUAGCCUGCUGAUAUCUAUCUCCCAGUCCAAAGCCUUAAGUGUUUCAGAUAUCUCUUUUUCAGUUUCAUUCUUCUCCCAUUCCAACACUAAUGUUGCAAACCCACAAAAACACCAACAUUGUUCUAUCAUACCACAAAAAUUGAAAUGAGUAGAUAAGAUCACAAUCAUUGUAAAAAGUUACCAAUUGUGAAGAUAGGCGGGCAGCUACUUAUAGUGUGACGAACAAAGUUUGCCUUUCCACAGCCUCUUGUUUUGAUGUCACAUAACAUUGUAUCUUCCAUGCGGAUCACUUUAAUGAUGUCUCCAAACUUUAUAUUCCCAAAAGCACACUGCAUAUACAUACAUAACCACAAAACAGAUUCUGAAGGGAUAGUACCCGCUUCUGUAGGAAAGACAGAGAGAGAAAUAAAUGAAAUAUACCUUUAGGUCUCUGAUUGAAUCUGCAGUUAUAACAAUGCCAUAAGACCUUUGCUCUGGAUAAUUUGGCAUCUUUCUGCAUUUGCUACAUUGCAUUCUUUCAUAUACUUCCAGCGUAAAAAGACGAGUUACCAAGCUUUCUCUUUGUGGACUUUUCCAGCAUUGCCAAAACUCAAGGAUGGCUAUGACUACCUCCACAGCAUCAUUUGACUAAAAAGAAACCAGACAAAAAAAAAAGAUGAGAAUGGCAUUUAAGACACAAACAAAGCUUAUUGUAAAAUAAACUAUGCAAUGUUUAGAAUCUAUGUUCUGCACAAACCAUGGGAUGAACUUCUUUUAGGGAAGCAAGUAAAGCGCUUAGGAUAUAACUGUAGAGUCCCUCGUAUUCUAUCUGCUCCGAGACAAAAGCAGAAAAGAAAUCUCGUAGUGCACAAGGAACUUGGUUGUCAGAAAAUGGUUGCCGAUUGUGAACCAAAUCCUCUUUAAGAACCUUAAGGUUACAGAGGGCCUGCAGUAGAGCACAUAUUAGCAAAGAAAAUAAGGAAUGAUCUGAAUCAGUAGAAGAUAGUUUAGGUUUUGAUUGGUGAUUGCUUUACCUUAAGUACCAUGUCAAGAAUUGAAUUGUAUCUGGUUGUAGCUUCUUCAUAUGCUGAACACGGAUAUUUCGACAGUGAAUCUUCUCCAGGCCUGCUUUGCAUAUCUUGAAGAUGACAAGCUAAAUAAAUAAGAAAUAAUAUGACAAGCUCAAGACAAUAGAGUUUUUAGAAUAUUCGUCAAUUGAGUCACUAGGGUCACCUUUAGUAGUUUCCUCUUGAUUGGUAGUCUUGGAUGUCAUUUCCAAUAGACCCCUUUCACUUGAAAAAGUAUCUUCUUCGGCCGGUUUUAGUGAUGGAGAUGUACUUUCCAGUUCAAAGUUGACAGAAUGUUCACUAGAGAUGUAAGAACACAAUUUGUUUAGAAACAACCUGAAGACAAUAUAUUAUCAUAACAGAAAAGACUUGUGAGGUACUUACUGUUCAAAAGUCUUAUCAAGAUGACUAGACAUGCUCGUUGAAUUUUUCUGUUGCACCAUGAAUACAUUCCUUCUUACAAUUGAAUAACCAAAAAGUCUGCGAAGCAAAUAGAAAAAUUAGAGCUUCAAAGACCUUGUUGGUUUUAUUUUUCUUCUUCUUUGAUGGUAAUUUCAUCUCCUCCUCUUGUUUUUCCUCGGAUAUAAGCUCUGCUUCUGCUGCAGCUAACUUUGCUUUGUUUUCCAUAUAUAUAAUACCAUCCUAAACGAUGAAACAAUAAAAAAAAAUAUAUAAGGAACAAGUGAAAGACCCAAUCAGAACUGUUUUGAAAGCUCUCUGUAGAAAAGCAAACCAACCAGGAUGAGUUCUUUCAUUGGUCGAAGAAUGUAAGAGCGAUAGUCAAAAACAGAAAGUCUGGUGAGGUUGUUCAGCAAAUUAAUCCUUGCACUUUCAACCAGUAAAAUUUUUGAAUCUAUUCGAACAACCUGUAAUCAAAUGACACUUUAUGAUAAACAAUUUUAUGAUAUCUUGUUGUUAAUUGAAAUUCAGAUAAGAAAUGAACCUUGUUGGUGACCGCUAAUUUCAGAAGGUCUAUGGACUUCAUCACAAUAUCAUCACUAAGAUCUUUAUGCUCACGUAUAACAGUCAUGCAAUUGAGAAAAUCAAAUAUCGGAAAUGAUGCUCCUUUGAAAACAUCUUGUACUGCACACAAGAAUAAUUUUGAAUUCAGGGAUUUUCCAGCGUCUCUCCUUAAAUUCUCUUCACAUGUAUCGCAUAGAAGAGAUGCAUAACUGUUCCAUUGAUCUUUAUGUAGAUUCCUCCUCCUUACAUCUUCACUAAUACACAAAUUUUUGGCGGCAGUAAGAGCUGCAUCAUAAUCUAGGAGCUUCCACUUAUUUGCAUAUUUGGUUGCCAAAGUCCAACAUGCGAACUGAACGGCUUUCAGAACAGCCACCCAAAUAUCAAGAUUAUGCAUCCUGACAGGUGUGGGAAAUCGAAAACUCUCAUCUUCUGAAGAGUUGUCGACUAACCAGGAUAAGAUAUAACCUCCCUGAGCAUGUGCAUUGGCAUAGUGAACACUGGGAUCAAAGACAUUGAUCGUGCCUUCGUCAUCGAAUCGAGAAAUCUUGCAUUGCAGCAGUCUCUUAUCCAGGAGCAGAACUGAAAACUGAGGGUCAAAGUCAAUCUUUUCUUUAACUCGAGUACCACCACAGAAACUGUCCACUGCUCUGCAAACUAGAUUUGUACCAUCGUCCCUUUCACACUUGAUGUUUUUUAGAAAUUCCAGGAUUUGAUUGAGUUCACAACAUUCCAAAAAACAGAUACUCUGAGGUGUUUCUACUAGGCGACAAUCGGUAAGAAUAUGUUUAGAAACUUCAAGUUUUUCAAGAUGGUUUACAAGAAAAUGCACCACCCAGUCUCGAACGCUACAGGAGAGAAUUUUAUGGUCACAAAACGACACAAGAAGCAACUGGAUUUCCUUGAGUAACUUACUGCGCUCUUCAUCCACAGCUAAAGGCCAGUCUUUGGACCAUCCAUUCUCAUAUGCAAAUGCUUUCACAUCUUCCAAUCGAUUCUUAAUCAGUUCAAUGGCAGCUGCUGCAUCCACUGGUUCCCAACCUCCAAUGGAUAUCUUACGAGACCAGACUUUACUUAUCCUUUGGGGCAUAUGCUUUGUCGAAUUAGGUAGAAAUUUUGCACGAUGUUCUUGUUCAAGAUGAUUCUUACACUCUUCAGCACUAGAGAACUUCUUCGAACAAGACCGACACAUCCAGAACCUCCAUUUUCCCUCUUCCCUUGCAAAAGUGAGAACUUUCUCCAACGCAUCUUGUCCUUCACUACCACAUAAUCCCUCGACAUAACUCGUAAGUUCUGCAGUGCUUACUUUCAUAAAGUUCCGUUUGAUCUCAACAUUCAAACCCGCCCAAUACAACAUCAAUCCUUUAAUGAUAUCAGGCUCACUCUUCCUUGUAUCCCCACUUUCUUUUUGUUCCCAGUUUUUCACAACUCCUGGUGUCUUGGAUUCAGCGAUUCUUGACUCUGCAAUCUCGAUCAUAGACAACAUUCCUUUCUGUUCUCUCUUGGUGAUUUCUGGGUCCUUCAAAUUCACUGUAAGAUUAUACAAAGCUUCUUUUGCUUUGCGCACAGAUUUCUUGUAAUACACCACUGAAUCAAGCUGUUGUGCCAAAAUGAAGAGUGAAAUUGCCGCCAACGAUGACAACCCAGGAGCUAUCGAAAGGCAUUGUACAGAACCCAACAAGUAAGCAACUUUCACAUCAGUGUUCUCUGUUUUCUCCGCUAGCUCCUUAAAGAUUUGACCUUGUACCACAUUAAUAAACACCCUGUCGUUCCCUUGGACGAAACGCAAAUCUUCAAUUAUCUCCAACGCAUUGAUGUAAUCUUUAGCAGAGUAGAAAUCUUUGGCGCGUUUGAAGAGCUUUUCGCUGUUAGCAUCUCCUAGAGUAGGAAGCUCCAUGUUGGGGAAGAGAGUAGAAGCCAGUAACGAUUCUCAAAGAUCUGAUCUUGCGUUUUCUUGGUAUCGAGAGAGGUGUUGUUCUUGGCGAGAGAAAACAGAGGAGAAGCGGGAAAAAUCAACGAGUAAGAUGUCAACGAGUACAAGCCACGUGACAGGGUCUUUGUGAAAAACAACGGAGACCCAUUUUGGGUAUUGAGGAAUUGUGUCGAACACCUUGUGGGCAUUCUUCGUUUUGAGUAAAUCUCACAACUUUUUCGAUUAAAUUGCACCUUCCCAGAGUGUAAGAAAUGAAAAAAGCCUUCGAAUUUGGGUGUGUAGUGACUUAAGAGUGGAAUUGUGUUCGUGUUUGGGAUCAAAUUGGUCAUCACAAUAGGUUUUGGCUUUGAAAGAGCAAAAAAAAAAAGGUCAAAGAUAUGUCAAAAGAAAAUAUUUUUAAAACUGAACUGUUUGCUGCUUUUGUUUUUCUUUUUUUGGGCUUUUGCAAAAAUGCUAUUUUUCCAAUGCUACUUUUCAAAAAUAUUAUUUUUAAAAAACUUUAUAAAAAAUGUUCUUAAAAAUAUAAGAUUUACCCAAAUAUGUAUGUAAUAUUAUUAAAACAUACACAAACUACAUUUCUAUGUAUCUAAAAUCUUAUAAAUACUUUAUAAAUACCUUAUAAAUACAUUUUAAAUACCUUUAAAAACUUUUAAAAUAUCUUGUAAAACCUUUGAAAAACCUUAAAAAUCCUUUAAAAUAACUUGUAAAACCUUUAAAAACACCUUAUAAAACCUUAUAAAUACUUGGAUCGAGUCUUCAAGUAGUAGUUACAAUCCAUAAGUACCUUAUAAACCUAAUAAAACUUUAUAAAAAUUUCAGAUUUAAAAAGGGGCAUUUUUGAAAAUGGACAUCUAAAAUGGGCAUUUUUUAAAAGGAACAUACCAAAAAGGGUAUUUUUAACAAUUUCCCUUCUUUUUUUUGUCAAUUUUCCUUUGUAAACUGUGAAUAUUGAAUCCUUUUCAAAAAAAAAAAUUAUUUACAUCUGAUUUUAUCAAUUGAUAUUUUAGGUUUUACUUUUUAGUUUCAUAUAUAUAUUCAACGAGCUUCUAAUUGUGUGUUUUAUUAGUUUCCCUCACUUUAGUGGUUAACAGUCAAAUUUAUAUGAAGACGAUUCAGUGAGUCUGAUUACUCAGCUACUUUAAGGUUAAUAAUUUGGUCAACUGAAAAUGUGGUCAUUGGUUAUUUAAUACUAGUACUACAAAUAUGUAAGAGUGAACAUAAAUGGGUUAUAAUAUGUUAAUUUACCAAGGGGAUACACAUAAAAAGCAAGUUUGAAGCAAUUAAAGUUCUGAGCUAUAAAAAUGCAUUCACGGACACUCUCUAUGAAACUUUUCCCAUUAUAUGCAGGGCCGGUCCAAGUCUUUUUGUUGCCUCAAGUAAAAAUGUGUUUGCCCCAUUAACAAAAAGUUGUUGGAAGAAAAAAAAAUACAAAUACUGACAAGAAUUGAUCUCGAACUCGGGAUCAUAAAUCUUAAAUGUUUAAUCUUUUGGUUUUCUAUGUGUUAAUGAAAAAAUUGGAAUGUAGCUUCUCACUACAUUUCUCUCUAAGCAAACCUCUUCAUUUGUCCACUCAUUUUUUUUUGUUGGUGUUCCGAAGAACAUAAUGUGUUGCUUCUUUGUCUGUAUAUCUCUGUUUACUGCUUUCUUCUUUGGCAUUCAAGUACCUAAUGUUUCACUUUUUUUUUUUGUCUUGAUCUUAUUUUAUGUCUAAAAGAGAGCAAUUCCUCAUGACUUCACGGAGAUGUUUCUUUGACAAAGAGAUAAUGAAAUCCCAACGGAAAGCUCUUGGACAUGAGAAUCCUCAAAUAUUAACAAAUUGGUAAGUUUUUUUUUAAUUUAUUUUUAGUUUGUCUUUUUUUUUUGAAAAAAAACUUAUAAAGUAUUGAUAAGGUUUUAUUUAUAUUUUCUUAGUUAGUUUUGUUGUGAUUGUGAAAAAUUUUGAAGAUCUUUUAGUAGUGUGUAAUCUAGAUACCCUCAAAACGAUAAGUCAAAAACCCUACUUCAUCAUCCCUAUAUUAAAUCUCCGAAGCCUUUACCACAUUGAGGAGAAAAUUAAAACCUAAAAAGGAAGAAGAAAUGAGAAACAUAAUGGAGAACAUAAAGAUUAUAAGUUAUGUGAUUGUAUGCAGAGGCACUACAAAAAACAUGUGGAUAGCAUCACUUAUUUUCUAUACUUACAUAGGUUAUCGAAUGAUACAAAUGAGUUACCAUCACUUACAUAAUUGAUAUCAAAAGUGGCGAUGUAAAUUAAUGCAUUGGUUAUAGCAACCGAUAGAAACAUUUCCAUCAAUUAUAAUGAAUGAUGCUACAAUACGUUAGUUAUAAGAAAUAUUGUAAAUAUUGCGACGACUACAAUAACCGAUGUAAAUAUUUACUAACAGUUUUAAUAAUUGAUGUAAUAAUUUGCGUCAGUUUUCACAAGUGAUGGUAAAUUUGUGUCAGUUAAAAUAUGUGAUAUUAAUAGUGACAUCAGUUCGUAUAAACGAUGAAAUAAAUUGUAUCAGUUUAUCAGAGCUGAUAUUAACUUUUGUGACGUUUAUAAAAAAUGAUAAAAAAAAUAUUUAUAUCACUUAUUGUAAUUGAUUCUAACAAAUUAUUGUUGCAUCACUUUAUAUAGUCGUCGUUAAUGGUUAUGCAUCACUUCUACAAUCGAAGUAAUAAUUCUUUUUUAAUUUUAUAAUAAACUUUUUUCUUUUGUAAAUAAUAAAUAAAAUCUAUUAAAUACGAGAUAAAAUAAAAAUGCAUCAAAUAUAAAACCUAGUUGAAUCUAACAAAAUGUAGAUAUCACUGUUUAAAGAAAGCAAACACAUAAUCCACAAAGAAAUAUAGCUAAUGAACUUAAUAUAACCAGAUCUUGUAAUCCUAAGUACCGGAGUUGCCAACGUUCCGAUUUUCAUGUCCAUCUUUCAUUGCCUAUGAACAACCCAAUUAAAAAUAAAUUAUGUCAGACUACUCUCUCCUGACUAGUUCUUCACAGAUAUUUAGAUAUCAAAUAGAAUAUUAGAGAGUUGAGGAGAAAUGAUGAAUUAAACAAGUGAAGACAUAAAGAUUUCAAAAAAAUACCUGAGAAUUUGGUGGAUUGGCCAAGCUCGAUAAAAUAGUAGUAAAAUUUGGUUGAUUGGCCAAGUUUGCUAACAGAGCAGCUAAAUUUGGCGUCGAUCCAGUUGUCUAUACAUACAGUAACAUUAGUUCACAAUAAAACAUACUAUUAUAACAUGAAAAACUAAGCACCAUAAAUUUACUUGAGUAGUAGAGGCACCAACUAAUUGUUGAAUAAUCCCAGCCAAGUUCUGGACUUGGCUUUGCAACCCUGAAACUUGUGACCUCAACUCAACAGCUUCGGAAUUUGUUGCAUCUAAUAUUGGAGUAGGAGAACAUUUCGGCAAUUUUGAAGGUGUAGGUCCACAUCCGACACAACGGACGCGUCCUGAACGCUCUGGACCAAAUACUUUGGAGUAUUCAUCAUCCAAACUUGCGGUGAUAUUGUUUGACCCUCCAACUGAAGGAUUUUGACUCAUCAAGAGUGUGAGUUCAUCCUGAAAUAUUUAAUCAAGAUAUAAACAAGCAUAACCAUUGAUAAAACUAAGCAUAUUAGCUUAACAAUGCAUAAAAUAUAUUAGGCCUUUGAGAGGCAAAAACUCUCCCACCUCUCUCCUAAUAAACCCUAGCCGUCAAUUGAUAGAUCUGAGGGAGAGGAGUCUCUCCGGCACCGGUUUCCUUCUCCGGUUUGCCUCUGCUCCUCUCCCUCCUGCCUCUUAGUUGUUUGUUCUUCAUCGUCGGCAAAGAGGGUUCUCGGACCAGCGGUUGGUGUCGGCCUUGUUUCUCCGGUGGUGGUGUGAUGUGGUAGAUCUGCCCUAGACGCUUUUCGUGGGUGCGAAUCCGACAUUGGAAUUGCUUUUUGUCGUUGUACUACUGUUGAGGACUCGGUGGUUUGGCUUAAAGUGAUUCAGCUCGAGGUGUCGGUUUUGGAUCUGUGGAUGGCGGCGGAAGUCGACAGGCGGAUCGGAGGCUUUUCACCAUGUGUUGGGUCGAUUUGUGGUUGUUCUUUUCAGAUCUGGGCUGGCUGGCUAGGGUUCUGGCGGUUGUGGUUGUGUUGAGCCGACGACCUAACCGUUAUCGAGCUGGUUUUCGUCUCUCCCGGUUGAAGCAGGUGCAGUCUAGGUUAGUGGUUCGGUGUCCCGGAGUAGGAGGUGGGGGUUAGAUCCGAGAUCCUUCUUGUUGCUAUGUCGGGGAGAGGAAGGUGGUGGGUCCGGUUGUCUUUGGCUAGGUUCAGUCCGGGAAGAGAGUUACGGGUAAUAUCUGACCGAGGCUUUAGAGUUUUGGUUUGGAAUCGUUAGCUCCAAUCGAAGCUUUGGAGCAGCCGAAGGUGAAGCGAAGUAGUGCCCUUUGUUAACGCCGGAUUUCGUGGACGAUUAGUCGUUGUCUCCGGUAACUCGCACCCGGUUCCGAGCUCUACUACCGUCGGGCCUCUGAUUUGUUUUUCCUUUUUUUUUGUGGGCCCUUUUUGGGCCGUGUAACUCUGUUUGUCGUGCCCAUUUGGGUUUAUUAAUAUAUUAAAAAAAAAAAAAAAAGCUUAACAAUGCAAUGCAUUUAUAUAAAUAAAAAAACUAACCGCAUGGUUUUUUGCCUCUUCACAUACAAAACUUCCAUCAGGUUUCAUGUGACUUGCUAGGCUUAGGCGUUCGGUUAACCAUUCGGUUUUGGUUCGGAAAUAUUCGGUUACGUUCGGUUUCGGUUAGUUUGGAUAUGAUAAUAUAAUAACCAUUAGGAUAUUUUAGGAAUUUUGGUUCGGUUCGGUUCGGUUACCUUUCGGUUCGGUUCGGUUUGGAUAUUUAAAUAGAUAACCAAACUUUUAUCACAUUCGGUUUGGUUCGGGUUUUUAUCCAAAUUAACCGAAAUAUACCGAAUAUAACCGAAACUAACCAAAAUUAACCGAAAAAAAUACAAAAAGAAAAUACAAAAAAAGAAAAAUAUUAGAAAAAAAAUAAAAUUUGAUUCAGUUUUGUAAAAGAGUAUUUAACUUGACAAAUAUAACAAACAAUUUGGAUAUUUUGAUUAUUUAAAAUAUUUGAUUGUUUUGAUUCUAAAAAUAAUUAAUAUUUUGAGUCUAUAAUUAUAGUUUUGGAUAUUAUUUUUGGGUAUCUUAUAGGUUUUUGGAUAUUUCAGUUAACCAUUUGGUUAUCGGUUUGGUUCGGUUCGGUUUCGGUUAGUUUGGAAUAGGGGAUUUUACUAACCAUUCGGUUAUUUAAAAAACUUCUGUUCGGAUAUGGUUCAGUUUUUUUCAGUUCGGUUCGGUCGGUUAUUUGGUUAGCGGUUUUUUUGCCUAAACCUACGACUUACAAUGAAAAAUUAUGCUCGACACGGUGUUUUUCCAGUUUGUUCUUCCUACGGAUACAUUAAAAAUGAUUAAAGAGCAGGCAUUAUUUAAAUAAAUCCUUAGACUCAUUAUAUAUGUAUGUGCAAGAAUUACAUAAAAGAAGAUAAUUACAUAUAUAUUUUUUUCAUAGUUUGUUCAGAUCUGUGAUUAUAAAUAUUUAGUAUAAGUGAGAGAGAGAGAGAGAGAGUAACUCAUCUGCCAGUAAUAAGAGGCUUCUCUUUACUCUUCAUGAAAUUUCCAAAGCACAAAUCAAAAUCAUCCAUAGAUAGUUAAUCAAAUCGAAGACGGCUUCUCGCUCUAUCGAAGGCAUCGUGAUAAAAGCGGCGGAGCUUGGAAUCAUCAGAAAUCACCGUACUCUCAAUCCAACAAUGGAUUUCAAACAAAGGAAACAAACAAAAUUGAUUUGCAUCUACCUUAAUAUUCUUUUGUAAACAAAACUGAAGCAAAAUCGAAGAAGAGCAUAUGUGUAAUGGCCAACGGCGAAAGAGAAGAUGAACAUAUAUGGGCUUUACUUAGAUGGGCUUUGCAAGAGUCAUUUUGUAUUUUUGUCGUUAAUUUGAGUCUACUCUAUUCACAUGGGUAAAACAUUAUUCUUAGUUAGUUAAUAUUUUAUUAUAUUGUAUUAACAUGACCAAACAAUAAUAAUUAAGUUAGAAAAACGGUCUAUUUCCCCAUGAGAAGUAUGCAUAUCACGCCAGAUAGAGCCCGUUCUUUGACCUCGGUCUAUUUGUCCAUGAAACGGAAGUUAAAUACUUAUUUCCCCACGAAAUCGAAGUUCAAUAGCUUAAUCUCCCCGAAUCGUGGUUUCGUCGGUUUGGUGCGUAAACCCGAGACAAAACCAUGUAUGGGUCGUAACCAAACCAAAAAAGACCUGAUUCCAUAUUAAAACCGACCCAUUGUCGUUUUAAACCCCAAAAUCAAAAUUCCCAAUUCCCAAUUUCAAAAUCCCCAAAUUCAAAACUCAAGAACCCUAAAAUCCGAUUUUGAGUUGAAUACCCGAUUUUGAGUUUGAAGAUGAGCAAUCUAUCAUCGAGUUCGACGGGAUCUACAGGUCCUCGUGGAAGAGGAAGAGUGGUCGGAGUGCCAAAGAGCUGCUGGUGCGGGGAAGGAAUCGUUGCACUAAUGUCUAAAUCUGAUCCGAAUCCUUACCGGAGAUACUUUCGUUGCGGUUUUGCUGCAAAACAUAGGGUAAUGUCAAUCUCUAUUUCCUCUUUUUCAUGUUUUAGAUUCUUCUAAUGUUAAAAGAUCACUGUUCAUAUCUAGCUAAGGAACGAUGAUCACACUUUCAAAUGGAUUGAUGAAGCUUUGCUCAAUCAGUUAGAGACAUUGAAAGCAAAGAAUUCUGAACUUGAGCUGGAGUUGAAAGAGCUUAGAACAGAGAGGUUGGAGUUUGUUAAGAUGCUUUCGGAGAAUGGCCAAAUGAAGAUAGAGACGGCGUUAUUUGAGAAGGUGGAAGAUGUUUUGUCUGAAGCCAAAUCAAGCAAUAAGAAGAUGAUGAUUAUCGUAGUGUUAGGGUGUAUGAUUAUGAUUGGAUUGACCAAACUUGUAGGAUGAAUGUGGAUCCGAUGAAUGCUUUAGCUUUCUCUUAUGUCUUUGUACUCUUGUUUGAUUUCUCUUAUGUCUUUAGUACUCUUGUUUGUACUCUUGUUGGUACUCUUGUUUGAUUUAUGUUUAAGAGAUUGCAUUUAGUACUCUUGUUGGUACUCUUGUUUGAUUUAUGUUUAAGAGAAUGCAUUUGAUCAAAAUAACAUUCAAAAUAACAUUCAAAAUAACAUUAAUCCUAAACAUUCAAAUUCAACAUCCAAAAUAACAUUCAAAAUAACAUUCAUCCUAAACAUUCAAAAGAAGUUAAGGAUACAGAAGUCAAUGUGGUCGAAAAUUACAAUGAGACAACCACAAUAUAAGUACCCUAGUUCUUCUACCCUAUGUCAGUCUUAGCUAAAAACUCCUUGGAUCAAGCUUGAGUGAGUGAACCUUGACUUGGUUCAGGUUGAGAAGGCUGCAAACCAUUGAAGACAACACUAUCAUAGCAGAAUAUCUUCUCCAAGUGCUGCUUGAAAUCUUUUUCAUUAUAGGCCCAAGCCAAAUUCCAGAGCAGUUGCUUUAUCUUGGUUUUAGAACCAUGAGUCUUCUUCAAGUUUCCAUCGAUGUGUUGGACACACAUCCGAUGCUCUAUAUUGGGUAACUCAAGCUGAACAGCUUUGAUUAAACCCUGAAAAAAAAAACAUUAGCUUAGACAAGAACAUUCAACCACACUAGAAUGACAAAACAAAACAACAAAAGACAAGAAAAGUUACAUUUUGUCUAUCUGAGAUCAUGAUGAACCCUUCACCAUUGCUUAAACCCAAGUCCUCUUUCAACAGCUUCACAAACCAAACCCAAUUGUCUGUGUUCUCUACUUUAACCACACCCCAAGCUAUAGGAUAGAUCCUAUUGUUAGCAUCCCUACCUAAUGCUACCAGUAACUGUCCCUUAACCUUAUUCAACAACCAUCAAUACCUAUUAGAGGCCUACAAGAAUCCUUCCAUGUCCUUCUCAGGCUGUCAAAACAAACAUAGAACCUAUUAAAGAUGUCUUUACCUUCAUCAGUCGUCAGACAAUCUACCUCAACGUGUGAAUCCUUAUUUGACUCAAGGAUCUCAGCCGCAUAGUCCCUUAGCCUUGCAAAUUGAUCAUCAAACUCCUUCUCAAUCCAUUGCAACGCUUUCUUCCUCGCUGACUGACAUUGAUUCCUAGUGACAGAGAUCUUCCAUUGUUCCAUGAUGAUUUCUUCAAGCUUUGCAGGCAUGUUGAACUCGGGAUUAUCCCUAAUCUUGUCAACAAACAACCUAGCUAUAUGUGGCACCUUAAACAUCUCGCAUUCUCCAUUUGGGAUACAGCUAUGUCUGUCAAUGAAUUUCCUAAUCUUCCACAUUAAAUCCUUCGGAAGAAUUGCCGCAUAAACUUGCCAUUCACACCGAACUCCAUCCUCCUUACCAUCAUUUCCAACACAUUUGAAUCCAAUCUUAUCAUUAUCAUACCUGUACUGCUUCAGAUUGCAUCCGGAUCUGAGAGCGUAAUCAACAACCGCCUCUUUGAAUGCAACUCCACUGAAGAAACUCUGCUUCGGGUACAAAUGGCCAUCACCACGCCUUACAUGUGUAUGAAAUCUUGCAGGAUCGUCGUCGUUGUCUUCAGUAUCACUCUCCGGGUACACAUCGUGGCAGAUUGGUGGUUCGUCGGUCCACUCCCUUAACAUCUCUUCCAUGUGAAAUUCAUCUUUGUCUUUAGCUUCAGGAUCGACAUCGCCGACAACAUCAGGAUCAUGAGGAACUAUCGACAUCUCCAAGACUUUGAACAGCAGAUCGAGGAGCUUUGAUUUUCAAUUUCUGGGUUUCUAGGGUUCGUCGAGAGAAUUUUAGGGUUUCGGGUUUUCGAUUUGGGAAUGGGGAUUUGGGGUUAAAUGAAUGAAAUCGGGUUGUAAUCGUGUUGAAAACCGGUUUAGUUCGGUUUUAAUUAGGUUAAGAUGGUUUAAUUAUCGGUUAAGAAUACAGUAAACCGAUUAAACCCAGCACGAUGGGGUUAUAGAUCUCGAACUUUCAUAUUCGGGGAGAUUAAGCUAUUGAACUUCGAUUUCGUGGGGAAAUAAGUAUUUAACUUCCGUUUCAUGGACAAAUAGACCGAGGUCAAAGAACGGGCUCUAUCUGGCGUGAUAUGCAUACUUCUCAUGGGGAAAUAGACCGUUUUUCCAAUUAAGACACAUACAUGCAUCUGUUUUAUAAUUGAGGUUAAAUUAAUAUUACUUGUUAUUGAUGCAAAAAAAAUUUUAUUAAAAAUACGAAACAAUUUGCAAAAGUAUCAGUUAUAUUACUGUUACAAAUACGAAUUAUUAGUGUUGCUCGUUAAAAGUGAUGCAAAUUUAGAUUAUUUAGCAUCAUUUUCAAUCAAACGUCAUAUACCAGGUGCUAUUUACAUCACUUAUUAGAAAUGAUGUUGAACUGUCAAAUCAGUGUCACUUAUUAUUAAUUAAUUCAAAUUUGCGUCAGUUAAUUUUUUGACACAAUAUAACUGACGUUAAUCACCCCUAUUUUUGUAGUGAGAAAUAUGGUAUGCAAUGACUCUACUCUCGCUCUUUGGCCUCUCCAUAUACUGCAACCUUCUCUUGCCAUCUGAUGACUCGUAAUCAACGUCUUAGUUCCUCACGGUCUGUGCAAUCAGUACCACAACAUUCUACGCAUUUUACGCUACUCAGAUAUCUCUUCUUCAUUGAUCCUCCCUCCACUUGUUAGAAGGAGUUUACUAGACCUAAAGAGAUAAUUCCUCAGGUUGUGUUCUCUGAGCUUGCCAUUUACCUAGUGUUCGAAACGCGGGAUAUUAUUCACUUUUGUUGAACAAAGAACAUGUUUUUGUUGUACAUGUCGUUAUUCACCAUAUUGUUGUUCACCGGAGGAAUAUUGAUAUGAAACAUGCAUGGCUCACGCUCUUUUUAGGUUGGUUGUUUGGUCUUGUUGGCAUACUUUGCUUGCUUCUACUCUUCCUACUUAAUGUUUUUUGUUCAAAGAGGUAAAACUUGUCUGAGUACACAUUCUUUCUAACUAGAGUAAAUUUUUACCGUCAAAGUACUACAUAAUUAAGUAAUGGUAUUGUUAGUCCAUUAAUAUUCCACGGAGUGUAUGUUAACUUCUCCUUUUUUUUGCCUAUUUAGCUGAGAUUACUUUAGCUAUAUGAUCUGAUUGGUAACACAAAGUUGUAUAAGUUUUUUAGCUGUAAACUGGAUUAGUAUGGUGUUACGGUAUAGUACAAAAUUGUAAAAAAGAGUAGUACACGAAAACUGUACGAAAACACUAAGAAUAACACUUUUAGUAACGCUUUUAAAAUUGUUUUUGUGAUUGGUAUAAAUAAAAAUUGUACCACUUUGUACUGCUUUCUUUUAGUUUACCAAUCUAUCAUCAAAGUUACUCAUGGAUUUACCUUAUUUUGGACUAAUUGGAAACUAGAUUGAUGAGGCUUUUUAAUAUCGUCAAGUUGAUGAUUUUGGAAAUUUGGCAGCAGUGACAAUAUAUUAUAUUUCUGACACAGUAAUAUUUUUGACUUAUCUUUAAUUAAGUUUUAAAAACAAACAAAAUUAAAACUAAAUCUUGGAUUAUGAAACAUUAUAUAUACUAGAUUAUGACCCGUUCGAUGUGCGGAUUUAAUUUUCUUAAAAAUGAAAUAAAAUUUAACAGGUAGAGAUAUCAAAAUUAUGUUGUAAGUAAAAACUAUCUUUCAGAAGUAAAUAAAUAGAUUUUGAGUUCAAUAAAAGAAUUGUUUAUACAUUCAUUUUUUACCUUGAUACAGUAAUUUUCAUUUCUAUAAUCUAAAUUUAUUGUAAUAUUUAUUAUAAUAAUCUAUUGAAUUUAAAUUAUUCGAUAACUUAAUACAAAUGGUGUUUUGGCCAAAAAAAAAGUUUACUAAUCACCAAAAGUUUUGCCAAAGUAUUCAUCAUUUAGUAGGGAACAUUACAUUUUAACUUUGAAAGUGUCACCGAGUAUCACUUUAAACCUCGAGAGAAUUCCGCUAAUACUUUAAACCACCAAUAUAUUUAUACUAACACUAUAAACCUUAAAAUUAGCUUUUUUGUUUGUGUAGCUAUAAAAGAUGACAGAACAAUAAUAUCUCUCAACGCGGAAUAGUUAAAUUAUGUUUGUUUCAUUUAAAUUUAAAUUAAUUUUAUCCCAAUUUAUCCAUUUAAGUGGAAACGUCAUAUCUUCAUUUUUUGUGUUUUGAUUCUUCUAUUUAAAGUUUCUCUUGUGCUUCAGUAUUUAAUUGAAAUUUUAAAUAAACUAAUUCAAAUUUAAAUUAAACAAACAAAAUUUAACAAUAGUUUAAAUGUGUUUAAAUAAGAAGAAUAUAUCAUGAUAUCAUUCACAUAGUUUUCUAUCAAUACACGAACCAAAGAAUGAUGCUAAGCUUCAAUUAAAUAACCAAACCAGAAUGAUAUUACUUUUUUUUGGUAGGCUAACCAGAAUGAUAUUACUAUGUUAGACUAUAGUCAUCCAAUCUUAAUUUAGAAGAAAAUGCAAAAUGUAAAGCGAUUCAAUAAUCAAAAUCUUUUUUGGACAUUUUCGAAAUGUCCAUCAAACCAACAAUAUAAAAAUAAAACGGGCCAGCUUUGUAGCUUUAGGCCCAUUCUAACAAACCUCUAUAUAAAUCUUAUCUAAACCCUAGAUCUAACAAGUGACGAAGAAAUCUCUCAAGAUCUCUCGUUGUCUCAGGUUCGUCGAAUUCUUUUUCUUAGCUUUCAAGUUUCAACUUCUUUAGUCUUUUAAGAGAAAAAAGCACAAAACUUUCUGUGUGGUUUUUAGUAUCUGAGAAUUCUAAACCAAAGUCUUCUCUUUUGUAUCAUAUUAGUCCAUAUAACUCGAAUCUUUUCUGAUUUUGGAUAAAUGUUUUGUUUUACUCUCUAGUGUUGCAACAUUUUGUAGAGAAAUGGGUUCAAAUGCAUCAGACUCUGCGAUGUUGAAGAGUUGGAGAAAGAAUGCUCCUUCUUCUUCUUCUCUUGUCAGACUCUCUCAGCUUGCUAACGACAAAUACGAAUCCCCUCCUUUCUCUUCCGGUGGACACAACUGGUAUGUGAUCUUGUUCUCUACUUAAAAGUUCACAUCUUUCUUCUCUAAAGUUUACAUCUUUCUUCGCUAAAGUUUACAUCUUUCUUCUCUAAAGUUCACAUUUUUCUUCACUAAAGUUCACAUCUUUCUUCACUAGAAGCAUAUAUAACUAAGAAAUGUUGUCCUUUUUGUAAAAUCAGGAGAUUGGUUGUUUACCCAAAAGGAAACGAAGAGGACAAUGGAAUGGGUUUUGUUUCAAUGUAUGUGGAAUGUCUCUCAUCGACAACACCACCCAUUGAUGUGUUUGCUUAUCUCACUUUCUUUAUCUUUAGCGAGGAAGAGAAGAAGUACCUCUCUAUUCAAGGUUCGUAUGUUCAUACCCUUAUUAUCUCUCUCUUUCUCUCGUAUGCAUAUAUAUAUAUAUAUAUAUGAAUGAUUCAGUAAUAUGUGUUUAUACAUGUUGACAUGUAGAUGUUGAAGUUAAGAGGUUCAAUUCUUCAAAAACGGUUUGGGGAUUGUCACAAGCUCUUUCGAUUGAAGCACUCAAAGACCGUGCAAAGGGAUUUAUCUUGUACGGAGAACUACAUGAGUUUGGAGCUCAUGUGAAGAUUGUUUCACGACCCGACUCCUUUGGUGAAGAUCUCCCUUUUCACAAAUUCUCUUGGACUAUUCGUGAUUUCUCCCUUCUCAGACAGAAUGAUUGCGUUUCGAAAACCUUUCACAUGGGAGAAAAGGAUUGGUGAGUUUAUCAGAAGUUUCCUUUUCUGAUAUAUUGUUGUAUGUGUGCAUUAGUGUCAACUUGCUAUACUAGUGGAUGUUUAUAUUUUACAGGACUCUAACUUUGUAUCCAAAGGGAGACUCUGAGGCAGAUGGCGAGUUAUCCCAGCAUUUGCAUUUAGCUGACGGUGAAGUUUUAUUGAAGGGUGAGCUGGUUUUCGUGCGAGUAAACCUGCAGGUUCUAGACCCGCGUGGAUCUGAUCACCUAAAAGGAUGGAGUAAGUCAAAAACCAUUGAUGUUACUAUUUCGCAAUGUUUAUUGUCAGCGCUGAUGAAUGGGAUAAAUUAGACAUUUUCAAUAGGCGUUCUCAACUUAUAAUGUCAAAUGUCCUACUCCUUUGACUAUAAACUAGUGGUUUUAAGUUUGUAACUAAUGUACUAAACAUACAUUUAUUGUUGUUGUAGCUAAAGGUUGGAUCAUGAACUCGACCAAAGCGAUGGGUCUUCCUCAAUCCAUGUCUUUAGAUAAAAUUCAGGGGGCUUACUUGGACCGUGAAGGUACUUUGGAGGUAGAGAUCGAAUGUGAACUUGAAAACUCCAUCAAAAACCAUCCCUUCUUUUAGGAUAUCUACCAUGCCAUGUUUACUACUCUAGAGUCUAUGACUACUCUGUUUUUAGCGUAAAAUUGAAUGUGAAGUUAACGCUCUCUAUCUAUGUUUAGGAUAUCAUUAUCUGUCUCUCUAUUUAGCUAUCAUGUCAUGUCUACUACUACUACUCUAGGACUACUCUGUAUUAAGCGUAGAAUUGAAUGUGAAGUUGUUUCCAUCAAACACUCUAUCUAUUUUUAAGAUAUCUAUGUAUCUAUCUACCAUGCAUGUGCAUGUCAGACUAUUAAUGAUGAUCUUUUUAGUUAUUUAAUUUUUGUUUGUUUAUAUCCUUGUUUUUUCUUAAAUCGGUUUUGUUAUGGUAUGGUUUUUAUUUCCUACGUACCACUUAUUUUGAAAUUUUUCUAUGAUUCAAUUUAGCAAUCUCUUCUUCUAUUAAGGUAUAUCAUCAAAUGCUAUAGGGCAUAUUAGAGUGGACUAGAGAUAUCAAGAACAAGAAGUACUAAAAUCAACAUUUUUGUCUCUCUUUACUCACUUUUUAAUUCAAACAUACCUAAUCAAAGAAGCAAAGAUCCUUGAUCAAUGCAAAAUGUCUCAACUCAUUCCUCUACCUCCUUAGUCCUUAUUAAACCUACAGCUCUCAACUAACCGUUAAAUGUCUGUUGCUGAGCUUGAAAAGCUACACUUUCACUGCAAAGCUAGUUACAGUAGACAGUAGUCUUGUACUAGACUUAACAAGAAUACCUUAUCAUUAUUAUGAUCAUUUUCCAAAACUACGUACCUAACCACUACAAGCACAGCUCAGAUUGAUUCAUUACUACAGUCUAUGCAUUUCGGUUUGAUGUACCAUAGUUUGCAGAUUUAGUUAAACUUGGCUUUUGUUAGAUAUACUAUAGAAAAGUGAUAUUCAGUUCCUUUAUUGGGAAGCUUUGUUUAUCAUUACUUGUGUCCCUCCGCGAGAUUGUACUAUACUUAUAGAUUAUCUGUUGUACCUGAUCAUCCCACCUAGGCAUAAACAAGUAAGGCUUUGUGAUACUAUAAAGCUUCUCUAGUCCACUCCUUGAAGUUGCAGAAACUAGGGAUCAUCAUGGUCGAAAAAUGAUACUAACAAUCUGGUUAAUUUAGUUACCAACUUCACUGCUUAAUUUAUCUAUUCAUAUAAUGAACACAACUUCUUUUGAAAUAAAACAUACCACUGUUUAACUUAUCUAUUCAUAUAACUCUGUCACUAUUUAGGCCAUCAAUCGACCAGCUUCAUAAAACAGAAUCUCUGGCCACAACCAAUCUGCAUUCCAGAAAUCUGAGACUGUAACAGAGAAGAACAAUAGCACAAGCAUUUGUGACCCUCUUUCAGAUUUUACCAUUGACACAAGCCGGUACUUAGUGUUUGGUUCUAAGUCUUCGUAUACAGAUACUCUGAGGGGUUUCCAGUAGGCGACAAUUCAUUAGACUAUGUUUGGAAACUUCGAAUCGAUUCUUAGCCUCCGAUUGGUAACCGUAUAAUGGCCGAAUGGCAUUUUCUAAUGUGAUUAUGCAAAAAUUUUGCCAAUUAAGAAAAUCUGCAUAAUCGCAUUAGAAAACGCAAAAACUCAGGAUUUGUAUUUCCGUAUAAAAAACAAAACUACAAUCUCAUUUUACAAAUAAGUGUGUAUAUACUUGUUUAUUUGCAUAAUAAUUUUUUAUUAUUUUAUCCAUACAAAAUAUUAGCAACUAAAAAUGUAAUAAUUAGUCUGUUUGUUUCGUCGCCGCUGGCGGCUGCGGCUGCGGCAGUGGCAAUCACUACUGAUGUUGUUGUUCGUUUCGUCGUCGCCGACGCUGCCGCAGUUACAACCGCAGGUUUUGUGUUCGUUUCAAUGACGCGACUUCUGCCGCCGACGCUGCCGCUGCCGCAGGUUUUUGUGUUCGUUUCUCUGACGCUGCGACAAUUUUCACUUAAUUCUUAGUUUAUUUUGUAUAAAUUUAAAUAUAUCUUGAAUCAAGAAAAAUGUAAUUUAAAUAUAUUUACAUCCAUAAGAAAUAUUUGUUUAGCUAGUAAUAAUUUUAGUGUUUUUUUGGGUAAUGAGUAAUAAUUUUUUAGUAAAAUAUACAAGUUUAACAAUAUAAUUUUUUUGUGAUAAAUCUUGAGCUAAAUUAAAACAAAAAUAGUAAAUCAAAACAUUUAACUAAACGUAAUACACCAAGUCAUAAAUGAAAAAGAUAGACAAAGUCAUUAACUAAAAUAAUAAACCAUCUCAUAAUAUCUUAUAUAAUAUGACAAGGUUUCUUCAAAACAAGCUCUAAGAAUGUGACAUUUGACACUCUACUCUUUUGACACAUGUCAUUUUCAGUUUAUUUUUUAAUUUGAGUGCAAUAAAUCUGUUUAAUUGAUUUUUGAGAAUAAUAACCACAAUAGUCCUCAAAUCAAAUUAUAAAAUUUGACGAUAAAAUAAUUAAAUGAUAUUUUUGAAUAAAUAGAUAUUUUCCUACAUUUUAUCUUUGUUUUUUUCACAUAAUUUAUAGUAAAAAAUUAAAGAUCAAAUUAUUUGGCGAUAAAAUAGUUUAAGUAUAUGCGAUAAGAUGUUAUAUUUUUAAUUUAAUUUUAUUUCUUACAUAUAGCAUAUUUCCCUAUGGUUAUUUUAUGUUGUAUCUCUUCAGUUUAAUAUAAAUAAUUUGCAUGACAUGAUUAUUACAUUUUGUGCAUGUGAAUAAAUUUUCUCCUAUUAAUUAAUAUAGUUUAUCAAUACUUUAAAUAAUUAGUAAUUUCAUGAGAAUUGAAUUUUUUAUUAAAAGAUAAUGAAUACAUUAAUACAGUUGACUUUAUCUAUAUCUUAUUAAACCACAAAUAUAAUACAUUUAAUCAUAUUCAUUAAUCCAAUUUUUAAUACUAAAUUGUAACCUAAAUCAUAUAAAUUGUGUAUUAACUUUUUUUCUCUAUUCAAUGGCAUUCAAACACACUAUUUAAUAUUAUUGUAACUUCCAUAAUUUAAUUUUAAAAAAAUUAAUGUAUUUUUUCAUGGUAGAGAUUACAUUUAAAUACUAAUUUACUAUAAAGACAUAUCAAUCUUAAAUCUCAACAUGAGAGACCCAAAAUCCAUCAAAAACCAAAAUACAAGAGGUUUUGAGCGUAGCUUUUAUUUUUUGUUUUUAAGUGCUAUCUAUUCCUUUAAUUUGAUGUUUGAAAUUUAAUUUUAUUGGUUUCUAAUCCUUUUUCCUUUAAUUUGAUGCUUUAAAUUUAAUUUUAUUGGUUUCUAAUCCUUUUUAUUUCACUAAUAUUUUCGCUUAAUCGAAUUAUGCUUAGUAGCUCUUACCACCAUUUAUUCUAGAGUGAACCUAAUUGACAUCAAGUUCAUGUGUGAGAUCAUAUAACUCUUUGUGGUUUCUUAUGCCUUUUUGUAUUUAUAUCUUAUAUGUUUUUUUUUAUGUUUCAAUUUUUCUCAAGUUUUUAUGAGAUCAUUACAUUUGGUGGUUUCUUAUGUUUUUGUAUUUGUCUUUUCAUGGAGUUUCUUAUGUUCAAUUUGUCUCAAAUUUGAUUUUGAACCUUCAUGUGAGGUCAUUAUAUUUUUUUGGUUAUCUAUAGUUUUUAUUUGUUAUGUAUUUCAUGAAAAAAAAAAUAGAAGUCAUCAUCCUUACAAGGUAAAUUACGUACGAUUAAAUUUUCUUAUGAAAUCAAUUUGUAUAUCCUAUACAUCACUUUUAAUAUAAUUUAUGGUGUUAUUUUUUUCUUUUAUUUUUUUUAUGUCAUUUUUAUAAGUAUAUUUCAAUCCACAAUGUCAUAUGUUAGUACGUUUAUAAUGGUAAGAUUUGCUGUAUAUAUAUAUAUAUAUAUGUUUUGUGUAUGCAGACUAUAUUGUUGAAAAUAUUUCUAUAUGAUGAUGAAUUUUGUUUAGCUAACAAUUCUAAAUAGGUGACAAGUUUUCAUAAUCACUAAAUAUAAUUUCAAAUUCUACACAUAUACAAAAAUGCUCUUUUGUUUUGCCAACAUGAGCCAUUUUUUUUUUCUCCCGUUAAAAUAAAUUAUUAUAAAAAAUUAAUUUUCUGAUUAAGCGGUAUAUAUUCAAAAAAUAAAUUUAACAAUCUUCAACUUAGCAAUUUUCAAUAACUACUCUCACAUCUUAUAUAUAUAUUUUCCUUUUUACUAUCAUUUAUAAAAUUGAGAAUUAACAUACAGUAAAACCUCUAUAAAUUAAUAAUGUUGGGACCAGAAAAUUUUAUUAAUUUAGAGAGGUAUUAAUUUAUCGAUAAAUUAAUAAUUAUUAAUUUAUAGAGAGAUUUUCCUAAUUUGGUAAUUUCUUAAAAAAAUUCUUUCUAAAAUAAAAAUUUUCUUUAUAAGCAAUAUCUUUUUAAAACCAAUUGCAAGUAGAGAAGCAAUUAUUAAGUUUAAAAAACAACACAAACUUUUUUCGAAUAAUAGAGUCAUAUUUUAUUAAAAAAUUUACAUAUAAUAUUUUUAAUAUAUAUCAUAGUAAUUCAUAUAUGACAUAUAUAAAUUUAUAUCACAUAUAUAUUAGGUUAAAUAUACAUAUAUAUAUAUAUAGAUAAUUUUAUAUAAUUAUUAAUUUAUAGUAUAGAUGGGACCAUAUGUUUAUAUAGGAUUUUUAAAAAAAUUAUUAUCUUAUUAAUUUAUCGAUUUAUGUCAUAUUUUACACUGGUCCCAACUAAGGACCGAAAGAAUUUAUUAAUUUAGAGAGGUUAUUAAUUUAUAGAGUAUUAAUUUAUAGAGGUUUUACUGUAUAUAAGAUGUAGUAAUAUUUGUUUUAAGUGAUAUGUGCCAUAUUUUUCUUAUUUUGUUUCUAUUUUCACUUUCAAAUAAAUAUUGAGCAUCCUUUCAGCCUGUUAUUAAUAAAUAUUUUUUAUUAAUGAAGCAUAUUGAACAUUUUAUAUAUUUAAAAAUUUUAUAUACCUAAAUUUUCAUUAUUUUAAAGUAAACAUGUAAUAUAAGGGAUAAAGACAAUAUUGAAUAAGCUCUUACAAAUUCAAUUUUAAAACACUUAUGAAUACUACCGUUUAUAAUUAUGACUAUGCAUGCUUAUAAUUUCCUUUCUAAUUUAAAAGACUAAUAGCUAUGUGAACUAACUAUUACAUGAAUUAUUAAUAAAUCAAAUUAUCAAAAUGGAUUCAAGAGAUAUAAAUGGUACUUUAACGUAACAUCCAUGUAUUGUAAUGAUACUACUUGACAAUUUUCGUAAAAUAUCGAUUAAAUAUUUUUAAUAAUAUCUUAAAUCAUUAUGUUUCUAUUAAAGUUUACCACUAAUGUAUUGUCUUUACAUUUUCUCAGCUUUAUAUAAUCCAACAUUAUUUUGUAGUACUGUAAUUCAAAAUUUUGUUACCCCCUAUAGAUACACAUAAGUUACAAAAAAUUUCACUACAUUAAUUUACAAUUUAUUACAAAUUUGGCAAAAUUGAUAAUAAAUUAUUUGUUAAAUUUAUUUAGUUACUAGGAUUUAAGAGUACUGUUUUGUUUUCUAUAAUUGUGGUAUAAAUUCUAUUUGUGAUGGUAAUAUUGUAAUAAUCAAUAAGUAUUUGACUUUUAAGAUAACAAAAUAUUAUCUCAACUCACCAAUUUUUUCACUUUUUGUCCAUCGUCCUCUUUUUUUUUUUUUGCACAAAACCCUCUCAUUAUUUUUCCAAUCUCCCUCGAAAUGUUAAUUCAAAAGUCUUUCAAAUAUAUUGAUAAUGUUUUGUCAAAUCAUAUGAUUCAUUUAAAUAUGUAAAUUAUAACUUUUUUUAAGUCAUUGUAGAGAAGAAAUAAAUUGGAAGAUUUGUUUACUAAUACUUUUAAUGAAUAAUUUGGAAGCUUUUUUGUUAAUAUUUUCUUUAUAAUAGAGGCUACAAUAAGUUUUUAGGUAAAACUAAUUUAGUUUUCUUACGAUAAAAUAUAUUCAAAUUAUACCCACACAUCGCGUGGAUCUUUUUUCUUGUAUUCUAUAUGUUGGAAUAAAUCAUGCUGACCGUUUGUAUUCAAGUGUAUGUUGGCCACCUCAAAUGAUGUACGUGCUCUAGCCAUACAAUCACAUAUUUGGUUUAAUCUAUAUAUAGUAUAACAAUCCUAUGAUUCGAAGGAAUGCAUAAUGUUUCGUUAAUUACUUUUUAUAAUUUUCGAAAAUAUGUUUUAAAAGAAUGCUUCCUUUUUUUUUCAAAUCAUAAUUUUAGCUUUGGGAUUUUGUACUAGGGAUUGUUACAUAGGAACUUCUAAACUCUCUAAGACUUAGGAACCCUCCGCCUAGCGCCUAGAACGCCUAAUCGGGGCCUAGGCGAUUUUUAGGCGGUUUAGGCGGAAUUUCAAUAAAAUACUAUUAUAUAUAUAUAGUUAUAUAUAUAACAUAGCAUAAUAAAAUAAUCUGAAUAAAACUACUUCAAAAAUAAUAAAAUAAUAAUUAAUGUUUACUAAUAAAAGUGUAAAACAUAAAAUAAAAUAGAAUAAACAAUAAAUUUGAGUUUUAAAAAAAUAAAUAAACUCUAAUGAUGUUUCUAAUCGUCAUCUCAUCACCCAAUCUCCUUCUAUAAACCAUGCUCAUCAUCAGACUCAAAAUCAACGUUAAUGUCUUCGCCAUCAUCAUCAGAUUCAUCAAGCUCCCUAACCAAAUCUUCAUUUGUGGGUAUGUCUUCUAGUAUAUAUAUAUAUCUAAUAAGGUAAAUGACCUUUAUUACAUUCAUUCGUGAUGUUGUCACGCAAUGUUUCCACCACCGGUCGGCUCAUAUGCAAUAUGUUCUUCUGUGCUUUGUCACUGUAAAAAAUCAUGAUCUUCCCGAUGUGAAUCCUUUAUGAAGUUGUGUAGUGUCAUCGUCGUUGUUACAAGUUUAAUCCACUUAGUCAAACCAUAUUUUGGAUGCUUACGAUCCAAAAUCCUCCAUUUUGCUUUUCAUACUCCAAAUGUCAUCUCAAUCACAGAUCGCAAAUCUGAAUGCUUUCGAUUGAACAACUCUCGUGCAGUUACUGAUGGUCCUCCUCUACCAAAUUGACCAAGAUGAUAUCGCAUCCUACGAUGUGGACCAAAAUACCUAAUCCUGGUGGGAUAUCUGGAGUCAACAAGAUAGUACUAUAAAACUUAUACUAUUUUUCGAUAAUAUUUAAAAAUUGGAAAUUUCACAAUGUUUCACAAUCUUAAAAAUUUCACAAUGUUUUAGGUGUCGUAGGACAUGUUUUGGCGACAAGAAAUGACACCAACGGUGCUGAUUUCUUUCUCCUUAGUUGUCGAUGCUUUGUCCUCUUCCUCAAUUGUUGCAGCUUUCGUUCAUAAUAACUGAUCUUGCUGAUUUAUCUGGUGGUCACUGUUUUAUCCAGUGUUUCAUUUAUCCGGACAUGCGUCGCUAUUUUGGAUCUUUCAAGAUAUGACGUCUCAUUGGUUCAAUAAUCAAUUACAAAAUCAGUGGUAUUAUGAAUUAAUGUUGCAAAAGGAUAGCACGACACUAAUACAAACAAGGCAAAAUCAUCAAAAUUUUUAUGUGCCAUAAUACUUGAUAAAAAAAAUCAGAGAAAUCAACCCAAAAUAAUCAAAAAUAGUUACAUAACGUACCAAAAAUCAAAACUAAAGGUUGAUAACAGAUUUUAGAUCCACAUAUUCAAAAGAAGUAGUCGUAAAAUAGUAAUAUAAUACAAACUAAAAUCGAUAUAUUUGUAGGCUCGGUCUUCCGUUUCAAGAUCGUUGCUAUGCUUUCCUUGUUUGUUUUUAGCAGUGUUCGAGAAAGCGCUAGGCGCUAAGCGGGCGGUGACCCAGUGCCUAGCGCCUAGAACGUUUAAUCGGGGCCUAGGCGAUUUUUAGGCGGUUUAGACGUUUAUAACAUAAAAAAAUUAUAAAUAUAAUAUUAUAUAUAAAAGUUAUAUAAAAUAUCUAUAUAAAACUAAAAAUUAUGAAAUUAUAAAUAAAAACUAGAUAAAACAUUUAUUUAUAUUUAUAAUAAACAAUAUAUGAAUACUUAUAAUUAUAUAUAUAAAUAAAACUCUAAUUGAAAUUGAAAAAAUACAUUAAACAAGAUCUAUGUGAUUUUAGGCGGUUAAGGCGGUUAUCUAGGCGUCGCAUGAGAGCCUAGCGUUUAGUCGGAGCCUAGGCGACCGCCUAGACCGCUUUUUAGAACACUGGUUUUUAGAUAUAUUGAUAUAAUUUGGGGAGCAAGAAAUAUAAUGCAGAUCAAGUAUUAUGAAUCGUCAAUGUCCAUUUAUGAAGUAAAGCCCACCCGAAAAAUAUUUCUAGAAAUCCUCGUAGGAUAAGGGAUUAAGUUUUAUCAUCGUGUGUAGAUUUAAGGGUAAAUAAACUUUAUCCUAGUUGUGAUAGACUUGUAAAAGCAUGUGCAAUGCAAGUCUCUCACCUACAAAAGUAAUAAUAAAAUAAGAAAUAGUAAUUAUGUACGUCUUUAAAAAAAGUGGAGAGAGUCUUGCAUAGUCUCAUCAAACGAUUUUCGUCUUUAUCAAAUACAUGUAGAAUGGAUGCUUAUGGUUUGUGGGAUUUGGUUAAGGAGAUUGGUGAGAAGGAGAAUGGUAGUGUUUUUUUGAACUUAGAGAUUUUGAAUGAAUUGAUUGCCUGGGAUUGGGCAUGCUCUGUAUGUGUUAAGAGUGGUGUGUUACCAGAGAGAGAACAGAUGGAUAAAAACACAACUUCCUGGUUGUAAUGUUUUGUGGAAAUUACUGAGCUCCAUUUGUUUGUUAUAUAGGUAUGUUAAGCUAGCUUAUUUGUCAAAGGAGAAAAGAUUUUCUUUUGUCAGAGCGUGGGAAGAUAGCUUUGUGACAACGUAUGCAGAGAGGAUGAAGAAUAAGGUUGCAGCGAUUCACAAGGAAGGAGAAAAGAGAAGACAUUGAUGAAUGUUUGAGGAUUUGGUGACUAAAGACAGUGAUGACUGAAAAACUUUGUAUAUGCUGUGAUCAAAUUUGUAAAGUUUAGUCAUAGAGGAAAACAAUUAUGAAACAGAUUUGUGAUAGAGGAAACCAAUUGUAAACUUUCUAUGUCUUUUCUCAAUUACGAUUCCGAUUGUGAAACAUAUCAAAACACAUAAACCAAAAUCGUAUCUUUGUUUUUUCCACAAAACCAAAACACAUAAACCAAAAACAUAUCCAAAACACAUAAAAUUUUAUGAACUGCAAUUAUCUUUAUUUUUUAUGAAAUAUUAUAAAAAAAUUUCUUUCUAAGAACCCCACUUGAGAUACUACCAUUGGACUAUCAAAAAUUUUAAAUUUUUUACACAAACUCUCAUCUUACAAAUUUCCACAAUUUAUAUUAAACAAUGAGAGAGAGUCCAUGGGGGGCUCUCACCAUUGGAGAUGCUCUAACUUUUCAUAUAGCUCCAUUGGAAAAAUUCUUGGGUUCACCCCUAGGGAUGAACCUCUCUUAUUCAUCCCCUCUUAAUUAACCAAUCAAAAUACAACAAUAUGCCAUGUAAUACUAUAUUUUAAAAUAAUCAAAAUUAAAAUCACAAAACAAAAAAUAUUAAGGAAACAAAAUAUGUAUGCUUUUAAUUAAACAAGGUCAAUUAUAUGUCGGUUUGGGUUUAUAAAUGAAAUUAUGGUUUAGAUUUUAUAAUUAAACAGAAUUAUAUGUCGGUUUAGGCUUAUAAGAAAGUGAUUAGGGUUUAAAUUUACAAUUAAAACAAAAUUAUAUGUUGGUUUGGGUUUACAAAUGUGGAUUAUGGUUUAGCUUUUACAAUCAAACCAAAUUAUAUGUCGGUUUGGGUUUAUAAAAGAGCGAUUAGGGUUCAGAUUUUACAAUUAAACAAAAUUAUAUGUCGAUUUGGGGUUAUAAAUGAGAUUUAGGGUUUAGAUUUUACAAUUAAGCAAAAUUAUAUGUCGGUUUGGGUUUAUAUAAGAGUGGUUAAGGUUUAGAUUUUACAAUUAAAUGAAAUUAUAUGUCGGUUUGGGUUUAUAAAAGAGUGGUUAGAAUUAGGAUUUUACAAUUAAAUAAAAUUAUAUGUCGGUUUGGGUUUAUAUAAGAAUGGUUAGAAUUUAAAUUUUACAAUUAAUUCAAUUUAGGGAGUUUUAAUGAAAAUUUAUUAUAUUAUUUAUUUAGAUAAUAUUAAUUGUUUUAAUUUAUUUAAUUAGAUGAUAUGAUAAAGGGGUGAAUAAAAGAAGUGUUUGCUCCAUUGUAGAUAUUUUUCAAUUGGUUAAUUAAUAUGAUAUUUCUAAAAAAAUUAGUUAUUUCGUUAUAUUUUAAAAUUAUUUUUGACAAAAAUCGAAUACCAAAUCGUUCCAAACUGAAUUUUUUUUAAAACCAAUCCGAAUUUAUAAAUAAUUUUUAUUGUUUAAGUUUUUAUAUUACUGAUAAAGCAAAGACCAGAAAAUCAAAAAUACAUCAAAUUUCUUCGUAUAUAUCAACAUUUUUUAAAAUAUGUUAAAUCCACGCGCAAGCUAGUUUCCAUUAAUUUGUUUUUAUUUUUGGUUGGUCUUUCACCUAUGGAAGGAAAUGAACAAUGGUACGCACAACCAACAGCUCUCUCCAUGCUCCGUCUUCAAGUUCAUCACUGCUAGAAGAGAGGAAUAUCUAUUUAAAAUUUAAUGACUUUGUCGUUAGGUUUUGAUAAACCUAGGUAAGACCUGAUUAUAUUCAUGAUAAUAUAUUUUGGUCGAUCUUUCAUGGCCUAUUUCAACAUUAUCUUAACAAAAAUUAAAAAAGAAAAAAAAAUCAGAUAAUGAUAUAUAUUUUAGUUUUUGGUGCACCUCUUCCUGUUUAGUCUUGGACUUUAGCUUAACAAAUAAACCACACACGCAUAUAAAUAUGCAUGCCCCAUGACUACACAUCCAUAGGUUGAACUUGAAGCAACAAUCUUUUCUUAAAUUAUUUUCAAUCUAAAGAUCUUUAAAGCAAAGAUGAUUUCGAAGAAGAAGAUAACUUCGUUAAUUAUCUGUUCUUUUCUGUUGCUUCUUCUUCCAAUCGCGUUUUCUAGGCCGACAAGAAACUUAGAUGGAACAAGUCCAAGAGCUCCAACUGUUCAACAAAUAAGAAACAGACAUGGAACUAGAGAGGUCAUAGUGGACAAUGGUAUUAUUAGUGUCAGUUUCUCAAGUCCUCAAGGACUUAUAACUGGCAUCAAAUACAAAGGAGUCAAUAAUGUUCUCAGUCCACAUCAACGAGCUCGAGGGUACUGGGACAUAACAUGGCAAGGAGAAAAGACUCGUGGUGGCAUAGAUCGAAUCGAAGGAACUAAAUUUAGAAUCAUAACUCAAAACCAAGAACAAGUGGAGAUUUCAUUCUCUAGAACAUGGGAGAGUGGUUCUGGUUCUCAUAUUAUUCCAUUAAACGUAGACAAGAGGUAUAUUAUACGUACAAAUUCUUCAGGACUCUACGCAUACGGAAUUUUCGAGAGGCUUCCCGAAUGGCCAGAAGUUGAGAUGGGUCAAGUUCGAAUGGUAUUCAAACUCGACCAAGAUAAGUUUCAUUACAUGGCAGUCGCGGAUGAUAUACAAAGAGAGAUGCCAACGGACAAUGACCGCGAUAUCCAUCGUGGUCAUGCCAAGGCUCUUGGUUAUAAAGAGGCUGUACAAUUGAUUCAUCCUCAUAACUCCAUGUUCAAAGACCAAGUUGAUGAUAAAUACCAAUACUCAUGUGAGAUCAAAGACAUCAAGGUGCAUGGUUGGAUCUCAACUAAAUCCCACGUUGGCUUUUGGAUUAUCUCAUCGAGUGGCGAAUAUCGCUUUGGUGGACCGAUGAAACAAGAGCUCACAUCUCAUGUCGGCCCAACAGCCAUUGCAAGCUUUAUAAGCGGGCAUUAUGUUGGUACGGACAUGGACACACGUUACAAAAGUGGUGAAGCGUGGAAAAAAGUCUUAGGACCUAUUUUUAUUUACUUAAACUCCGGCGAUGAAUUAUUAUGGGAAGAUGCUAAACGACAGUCUAAAGAAGAAGUUAAAGCCUGGCCGUACGAUUUUGUAGCAUUCUCUGACUUUCCUUCUCGUCGAGAAAGAGGAACCGUUACCGGUCGUCUUCUAGUCAACGACGGAUUCUUAACGCCGGGGAGAUUUGCAUAUGUCGGUUUAGCACCACCGGGAGAAGCUGGUUCGUGGCAGACAAAUACUAAGGGUUAUCAGUUUUGGACAAAGACGAACGAAACCGGUUAUUUCAAGAUUGAUAACGUUAGACCAGGAACUUACAAUCUCUAUGGAUGGGUUCACGGUUUAAUCGGAGACUUUCUAUACCAAAACCUUGUUACCGUAGACUCGGUAGAGUUGUCUACAAGCCUCCUAGAAACGGUCCAACGCUAUGGGAGAUUGGUGUACCGGAUAGAACAGCACGAGAAUACUUUGUACCGGAGCCAUACAAGAACACAAUGAACCCUUUAUAUCUAAACCACACGGACAAGUUUAGGCAAUACGGAUUAUGGCAACGAUACACAGAGUUAUAUCCAAAUCAUGACCUCAUUUACACAAUUGGAGUUAGUAAGUAUAGCCAAGACUGGUUCUACGCUCAAGUCACAAGAAACAACGGUGAUUCGACGUACACACCAACUACAUGGCAGAUCGUGUUUCAUCUUCCAUACGUGAACAUGAGAGGAAGCUACACAUUGCAGCUAGCUUUAGCCUCGGCUGCACGGGCUAAUCUACAAGUACGGUUCAAUAACGAAUACACGAGGCCAUUCUUCUCAACGGGCUAUAUUGGAAGAGAUAAUGCUAUAGCAAGACAUGGAAUCCAUGGACUCUACCGGCUUUAUAGCAUCAAUGUACCUGGAAGAUUGCUACGAACAGGGACCAACACGAUUUAUCUUCGACAAUCUAAAGCAUCAGGACCAUUUGAAGGACUUAUGUAUGAUUACAUUCGUCUCGAAGAGCCUUCUAGAGUUUAGAUUCAUUUAGUUGUUAUAAUUUUGGUUUUGUUAUUUUAACACUAUUGGUUUAAUGUGCCAUUGAUUUUAAGUUAAAGAGUUAUUAUUACUUUAUUUAAUUAUUUCUAUACAACCAUGUUUCAAUUAGUCCUCUGCAUCUUUUUUUUCUUCAAAGUUUAUUCUUUAGAUGCUUUUUUGAAUUCUGACAAAGUGACAAAAACGUAAGAGGACUAAUUAACCGGGUCAGGAGUUAACCGAUCUUGAACCGGACCGGAUCUUAAUCGAAUCGGUUUGGAAUAUUAGGGUUAAAGUCGUCAUUUCGUUAAUAACCUUCUUCUUUUUUAGCGUCGAGACAAAGCUCUCGAUUUUUCUUCCUCUAUCUCUUGAAUUCGUACUUGUGAGUUCUCAUAGAGGUUUCGUCUCCAGUUUAAUCUCUCUAGCGUCUUGGUUUAUGAGGUAAUCUGAUUUCACACUCUUUCGUUAGGUUUUCUGAUGACGACGAAUCUGCCAAUUUUGUUUCUCGUGAAAAUUUGAUUCAGAUCUCUUCUAUUUCUUCGAUUUUGCAUAAUUCUGAAUUUGUUUCUAAUCCUUAUGGAUAUUCACUGUUCGUAAUUGAAUUAGACUUCUCUCGAAUCUAUGUAUUUAGGGCUGAAACGAGACUUGUUUCGGCUGGCUAGGGUUUCUUAUGUAUAUAUUCAAGAUUCUUUCGUAAUCAAUUUAAAAUUCUUCUCAAGAUUCUUGUUUAUUUAUCUGCUAAUCUGUUUUAUUACUCUUUUUCUUGCAGCUCAAAGGAGAAACCCACUCUCGGGUAUGUGAAUUUAAAGCUUUUCUACAUUUUUUUUUUGUAGUUUGAGCCUUUUGUCUAUGUUUAUUCUUUGUGAUUUGUCCAUGGAAGUUGAAAACUUAGGUUCUGAUAUUUUAUGGUUAGUUUUCGUUGUUUUAACCGAUUUAGCUCUGAUACUUUGAAGCUGUCUUCUAUUGAUUCUUGUACUCUUUUCUGCUGAGGCUAAUAAAGUAUUUGAAGUACUUUGAAAUGAAUUGUGAGAAGACUCUCUUCGCUUGACCCCUGAUCUGGCUAGUGACACUUUGAAGUUGUUACAUUUAUUGUUAGAAAUUGUUAACAUGAGCAUUAAGUUUAGAAUGACUGAAAUUAAGUUGUGUUUUUUUUUUUUUUUUUGACUUAGGAACUGCUUGUAUUUAUAGUUUGUUCAAUUUUGUGUGUAGAGGUACGCGGAUUAAGACCCGCAAAAGGAAUAUUGCUGCUCCUCUCGACCCUGCUGCUUUUUCUGAUGCUGUAGUUCAGAUUUAUGUGGAUAAUGCUGGUGAUCUGGUACUUCUUUUCGUGUUUUAAGUAUUUAUUUAUCUGUUUUAGUUUGCUUGUAAAAAGUCUUGCACCUUAACUUAUGACUUUGUUUUUGCUUUCUCCUAGGAACUUGUUGCCAAAAGUUUAGAAUCAUCUGAUCUUAAUUUCUCAAGAUACGGUGAUAUUUUCUUUGAGGUAAUUCUUCAUAUAUCAAUGCUGUCUCAGCUGUCUUCUAUUACCUAUGUAUUUCAUGUCUUCUUAAGAGAUAUUUUCUCAUGUCCAGUUGAACAGUUAUAUUCAUCUGUUUGGGUCCAUUUAUUGUUAAUCACUUCCCAAAAAUCAGUGAAAUAUGGUUUAUAUAUUCUCUGAAGAUGGUGUAAUAGGAGAUCUACCUGACUGUUAUGUUUUUCAAGAUCUUUGGAUAUUUGAUUUCAUUCUAUAUCAUGGGAUACUACUAGUUUUUUGUUUUCUUGUCUCAAGUGACUUUUUGUUUUGCUUGUCUUUCCGAGAUUAUGAAUUGAUGGAUCUCUCUCUUAUCAAUUAAGGUUGUUUUCAUUGGAGGACGUACACAAACUGGUUCAGUGAAAUCUGAUGAAGGGGAACGCCACCCUUACUCUAUAAUCGACUGUGAACCAACGCGUGAAGCUAUUUUACCAUCAGUUGUAUACAUACAGAAAAUUUUGCGGAGGAAAGCCUUCCUUAUUAAGAACCUUGAAAAUGUUACGCGGAGAUUCUUGCAGUCACUGGAGCUUUUUGAGGAGAAUGAGAGGAAGAAGCUUGCAAUAUUCACAGCGCUCGCAUUUUCCCAGAAGCUCUCAGGAUUACCUGCAGAGACUGUCUUCCAGCCAUUGCUUAAGGAUAAUCUUGUUGCCAAAGGGAUAGUUCUCAAUUUUGUAACAGACUUCUUCAAUGAAUAUUUGGUUGAGAACAGUCUUGAUGACUUGAUUUCUAUUCUGAGGCGUGGCAAGAUGGAUGACAAACUCUUGGAGUUCCUGCCACCCACAAAGCGGACUACUGAAAGUUUUGCCGAGCAUUUCACGUGAGUUUUAAUCGCUUGAAGUUUGCUGUAUUCAAUAUUAUAAUGUUUGGUUCUUUUGUUACUUGUUACAGUUUCCUUGCUCUUCUGAUUCCCUGCAUUUCUCUAAAUUUUACUCGUUUAAUAUUGAUAUGAAUGCCAUUGUUAAGAUCCAAUAGGUUAACUUUUUUGUCAAUAUUUUGUUGAGUUCAACAUUCCCAGGUCCUCUGUCUUCUGAUUCUGUAUUAGUUUAUCACUCAUCUUUGGUCGGCUCUGCUUUCUUAAUGAAUCUGUAAAAUUGAUAUAUGUGCUAUAUUUUUUCUUGUGAUUUUAAGCAAGGCAGGAUUGACAGCUCUGGUAGAGUACAAUGAAAGGAAAAUAUUUGAGGUGAAGCUGAAGGAAAUCAAAGCGGUCCUUACGAGCCAAGUGACAGAGGAAAUAAACGUAGAUGAAGUGAUUGAAACGGUGAAGCAACAAGUGAAAGAUGCAAAGCUGCCUGAGAUUGAGGUUGUGCAUGUGAUCUGGGAUGGGAUAAUGAAUGCUGUUCAAUGGUCUGGGAAAAACCAGCAGCAAAAUUCAAAUGCUGUAUUACGCCAAGUGAGUUGAUUUUCUGUUUUGUUUUGAAGCAAGAUUAUGUUGUUUGGUCUUAAAGCUAAGCUAAGCUAAGCUAGCCGCUAUUUUGUGAUAGGUGAAAACAUGGGCGCCACUUCUGAACACGCUGUGCUGCAGCGGGAACAUGGAGAUGGAACUGAUGUACAAAGUACAGAUGCAAUGCUAUGAAGAUGCAAAGCUGAUGAAAGUGUUUCCAGAGGUAGUGAGGUCUCUGUAUGAACUUGAUGUGCUCGCUGAAGACACCAUUCUCCACUGGUAUCGCAAAGGGACCAACCCAAAGGGCAGGUACUAUAUUUGAUUUUUGCAAAAAGAAGGUUAAUAAUAGGAUUCUUAGUAAUAUAUAUGUAAUGAUGGUGUGUGUUGGUUUGCAUUGCAGGCAAGCGUUUGUGAAGGGAUUGGAACCGUUUGUGAAUUGGCUGGAAGAGGCCGAAGAAGAGGAGUGAGUGAGAGACACUCUGCUUUUUUUUUUUCACUGUCUUUUAAUAAAACAAACACAAUCUUUUACUUUUCUUAACGCAAAAUUCAGAUGCUUUUAAGGUUUUGAUUCCUACAUUGUUGGUGUGAUUCUUAUUAAACAGAUUAUUAAGAAUUGUUUGUUGGUUUUGGUUUAUAGAGAGCUUAAAUGUCUUUAACCUCUUUGUGAGGUAAUAAUACAGGAAUGUCAUCUUGAAAAAUACUUGCCAAAAAAUAAGAAGUUGAGAAAAUAAAAAAACCUUAUCCAAAAGUCAGGAGAUUUUGUUAUUUAAAAGGGAACCACAAAAAAUUUGGGCAAGGAAGACAUUAAGCCGUUGGCCACACAAUCAGAUAUCAUAAUGGAAAUACACUCCGAUGAAUACUUCUUCCUUCCUCCUCCCUGCUUCUCCUCCCUCAGCCGCCUUUCUCCGGCGGCGCUUCUUCCUUCACCCUUGGCUUCCCUCUAAGAUCCACCACCGUCUUCCCCAAGGUACAUUACUACUCUUCUCUAUAUCAGGUUUCACCACUUGGUUUUUCUAUAUCUUUGGAUUAUUAUGUGAUCUUAUUAUAUCUUUGAAUGAUACUUCUGCUGUUGAUUCUUUAUCUCCCACUCUACUCUAUCUUAAAUCCUAUCUUGUUCUUUUUUUUUUUGUCUUAGUUAUGAAUGAUUCCACCAGGACUGAAGUAUCCAUUGAUAAAUCAGAAGUAGACAAGCUUGUUGACAGGAUUGAUUUUGGGGAAUUAUGCAAUGAUUUUGAGUGCACAAGUAGCCCACAAGUGGAAUCCACAGCUAGACAACUUGUUCGCGACAUUCUUGAACUCAGAGAAGGAAAUCGUGCCUUUGCAUGCUAUGCAGUUUCCGUUAAAUAUAAGGUACAUUUCUCUGUCACAUUGUAAUUUACACUGGUUAAUCCACUUUGUUCAAAAUGGAUCACUCGAAUAUAUCUUGUGACUGUAUUCUUUCUAGCUUUAAGCAGUAGUCUAGAACAAAUUUGUAGCAACCUCUUGUCUUUUAGGCAGUUCACGCAGCUGAAACAGACUUUUCACCUGUUUUGAAUAGCUUGGACUAUAUUUUGUACAAUAGAUAUUAUGUCUAGCUCAUGAACUAGAUGAGAUAGUCUUUACAAAUUGCUGUUGAAAUGGAAAGGGCACAGUUUUGUUUAAGGUCCAACAACAAUUAAAGGGACUAACAAGCUAACGGGUGAAGGAUAUUUUGCAUUUAGACUUGGUCCUGUAAAAAUUGAUUUGUUCGAACAUUACAACACUUCUGUUCCAUUAUUUCUCGUGUGAUGUUCUGAUAUUCCUUGACAGUAAGUAAAUACAUCGUGAUUGAUAGUGAUUUCAGGAUCCGGUUAGAAGUUUUACAGGUCGUGAGAAGUAUAAAAGACCAAUGUGGAUAACUAGUGGAUUAGAGAAUCCUACCGUGGUAAGAACUGAUCUCAACCUUUAUAUAACAUUUUUUUGGCAGUUUCUAACCAUUUUGGUUACAAGUUAUGUGAUUUUUUCCCCUUUAUUUGUAGACGGUACAGGAGAUGGUAAUGUUAUCGACCAGCGUCUUGCGUAUUAAAUGGACAGUCAAAGGAAAACCCAAAUCUAUUCUUGCUGCUGUAAGUGGAGAUUUGAUAAUCAAAGUCAAAUCUGAAUUUACUCUUAACCAGAUUAGUGGCCAAGUGAUUGAGCAUGAAGAGUCUUGGGACUUAUCUUCAUCAUCCCCUAUUGCACAAGCCUAUUUCUGGACAUCCCGCCGCCUCUUUGCUGCUUCUGAAUCCGCAAAAGAUUUAUCCGAUGUCACAAAAGACUUGACCGCCAAUUUGACAACUCGAACAGAGGACACAGAUAUAUAUCGCGAUCCAACCGAUCCAAAUAAGGUCAGUUUCAACUAAAAAACACUAUUAUAUAUUUCUUGCUUAAACCAUAUAGUCAAUCAUUAAUCAGUCUGAUUUAAAACAAACCCGGGAGACGCUAGACAAAAGGCUACAUAGUCUUUCUUGCAAACUAAGAGAAUGUUAGUUGUGGUGAUGCAGUUUUUCCAAAGAGACGACAGCUUUGAGAGAGAUGUGUAUCAAAUUGCACUGUUUCUAGCCAUUGUCUAUUUUGUUGUACAGUUCUUAAAGAACACUCUCUAGUUACCCUAUCUCCCAUCCUCUAUAACAGAUAUGUAAAUGCCUAUAUACUGUUGUAUAUGAUCUGUAUACAAAACUGAACAAGAAAAGAGAUGUGUUUGUUUGUGUUGGAAGGAAGACUAUUAAAAUGAUUUAAUCUUUUUUAAGCAUCCAUUACCAAGACAAUGCAUAUAUAAACCAGAUGAAUGGUCUCUUUGUUACUAUGCUAAUGAAGUAAAGCCACUGCGAUCAAUGGUGACAAAAUUGUAAGAAGCUUUGUGAUCAUCAACAAAGGAGGCGCUGAUGAGAGGUUGUCUGCUCCGACCGAGUAUACUCCUCCCGAUCCGUCUUUUAUUUUGAUGCUUGAUGAACCUUCAAUAUGAAACGCAUUUGCUUGUAUGAGAAGAAAGGAUGCAGAGUUUGCUACUUUUUUUUGGGUUCUAGAGAUACUUACAGUUGUGAUCUGCCCAUCCGAUCACCUCGUUUUCCAGAUCGUAUACUACUAACUUGUUCGAGAGCACCAAGUCUACAAAACGAUAAGUGAAAUGACUAUCGUCUAGAGUGAUAAUAUCGAAAGAAAGAUUUUAUUAGAAUUUUGAAUUUUACCUCCUAAGAGAAUCACUUCUGUUCUUUCACCAGUUGUCAGUCCACCAGCUUGCCAACCAAAGCAGUACAACUCUUUCUGUUAGCAAAAACAAAGAGACAAAUUCCAUCAAUUAAUCAUCAUAACUCGAAACAUCCUGCUAGAACAUCUCGAAACGUUUUGAUGAAAUCUCGCAAACAUCUAUUGACUUACCUCAAGUGUGAAAAGAUAAUCAUGCGGAUAAACGGUUAGUUUGACAGAGUCCUCAAACUCAAAACUUACUGGUGGGAACGCCACAUCCACGCUGCAAGUUUAAGGAGGAAGAGCUUAGCAUAUAUAUAACACACUAAAGUUAUAUAGGUAAUGAUGCAUACUACUUAAGAAAGGCUCGAUUUAUAGGUAUCUAAAAGAGAAUGGUUCGGAAAUAAACACGGUAGGGAAAAGAAACAAGCAUCUUACUUUUCACUAAAGCUGAAACAUUGGAAGGUGUCCUCUACUAUGUGAAGUUUUACAGGUUGACGAGCAAGAAUCUACAAAUCAAAAACUCAUGUCAGGAUUGUGAUUCACACAAACUAGAAAUAAACACUAAAAUGAGCAAAGAAAGUUACCGUUUCUAUUAGGGAGUCAUAAAGAACCUUUGGAAAGUAAGCCAAAGUUGUACCACUAUCAACAAUGGUUCCUCCGUUCCUCAUAAUACUUGGUGGAAGGUCAAGGGCAGUUCCAUCCACAUCCAUUCCCAUCAACAUUACAUUGUAAUGCAUCCUAAAAUCGUUGAGAAACACAUGUUAGCGGUCGCUAAGAAGGUCUUCGUAUAACAGCAACAACUCCUACUCUAACUUCUUGAUGGAAAGAAUAAAUAGACUUGAGAAGACAUAUCACGUACUGAUUAGGUACCAUAGGGGUUGUUUUAACUUUUGGAGAAUCCACAACACCAACAGCAAAAAUCCCACCUCCUUUAACAUUAUCCAAGCAAUGCGAAAAAACUCUUUUCGCAUCGCCCGUGGCAGCUAGUUGUGAAAGAACAGAGGUAUUUGAUUGUCCAAAACCCAUAACACCAUCAACUGCUGAGUCACUCUUCCCAAGUUGUCCAGAUUGAUCACUUCCACACCUGUCUCAAAGAAAAGCCCUUAUGAGAAAAAAAACACCACAAACGAUAACUCACACAAACAAAAGAUAAGGAAGAUAUUAAGCUCACCCGAAUACAACUUCUUGACCAAGUGGUCCAGUUUGAAGAUCUCCAGUAACUUGUUCUAGAGUUAACUUGUCCCUUAUAAAGUUACCUUCACUUGUACUCUCAUCCGCAUAGACAAUGUGAUAACUACAUCCAACAGCGGGUUGGCAGCUAUCCGAUUGCGAAAUGAAAGAGCAAAAAUCAUCAUCACAACCAACCUUCUUAGAAGUCGAAGAAGCAUUCACGUCGAACAACGAUAAAUGGAACUGCAUUGGCAAAAAACAACAAAGAUAUGAUCCAUCUGUGUUACCAAUUGAUAGUAAGUGAAUAAAAAGAAGGAAGCAUUACAUUCAAAUUAGUUUUCGAGGGACAUUCUGGACACGGCUUGCAAUUGACCCAAAGUAUAUCACUUCCUGUAUCAACUUGUACAUGAUAUUCCUUUGGUGGCGACCCGAGCUUGAUUUUAGUGAAGUAUAAUCUAAAACAAAAUCAAGAAAAUUUAACUUCAUUAGUACCUAAACUUACGCAUUGUCCCAAAUGAUACAUAAACUAUGUCGUAAACCAAACAAAAAUAUACGAUUACAACCAGAUCGCGUUAUAACUCUCAACUUUGCGGAAUUGCGUUGUAUCUAACUAACAUAGUAUAUAACGGACAUGAAUUUUUUCAAGCUUAUUGCCAAUUGGUUUUGAGUCGGAAGCUAUUUAUUAUACAUAAAACGGUAGCAUUUGAGAUAGAAAAAGAGAGGGAAAAAGAACAAAACCCGACAGAGUCUACGCGGCUGUCUCCGCCAAGAGGGAGAUCAAUGGAAGCGAGCAUCCGAGAGUGGCGGCGCGUGUCAUGAGACUUGAAAUGCUCGAGCUUCUUCUCUUUCCCUGCGAACUUGUGUUGUACCUUAAACACGAAAUUGCCUGAUGCAAAUUCGUUCACAAUUACGAAAACUGCAACCACAAUGCACAAUUUUCUCCUCAGUUCCAUCGCCUAUAAUAUCUUAGAUAUCUCCGGAGGAGAAAAUUUGAGAUUUUAUUUGAAUUAAUGAAUUAAAUUCUGGUGAUUUCUCUGUUUCAUAUUCAGACAAAGAAACGGCAAAAGAAAACACAGAGACGCGUUUUCAAAGACGGAUUUAGAAAAUUGCCAAAUGUGAUGUUUGAAUUUUUUUUACUUUUCAUUUAUUACAAACCAAUGCUUUUGUUUUUAUUUCUUUUAAACCGAUGCUUAUAUUAGUAAAGAAAAUCCAUUUUGGGAACUAUUGUCAAACUUGAAGAAUUCAAUAUUUAAGGAAUUAAGAUAAAAUGAUAGAAUGAAAGAAUGAUUGGUGGUUUAAAAACUAAAAUAUAAUUAUUCAGAAAAGUUGUGGGGCUAAUAAAUUUGAUAAUUAUCGUUUAAUGUUAAAAAAUGAUUUUAACUAAAAAUAAGUUUUUGUCUUGCGGGUUCAAUCCUAAUGAAUUUGAUAAGAUAAAACUUAGAAGAUAGUUUGGUCGCAAUUACUUUCUUCAUUUCGAAUGUUCUGAGCGAAUUUGGAAGCUAUCAAAAAGCUUGUAGAAGUUCCUAAAGAAUUUGAAAGCUAUGGACAGUUUCUGGAAAAUUUCUUUAGUUUUUAGUGAAAAUCUUUACAAGGAAGUGGUAUGGUGUUUCUUAUAUAUAGAAAGAUCAAGUGGGGGUGAGUACAAGGACACACCGAUUUUAUUUCGUAAAAAAUUAGAGUAAAAAAGAAAGAAAAAUUGAUUUACAGAACAUAUUUUCGUAACUUUGAAAAUGUAGUAACCGAAAAUCUUAACAAUUAGAUGAUCUAAUCCCAGCCGAGGUGUGAAUUUUUGAAGAACCUUCACUAAGUAACAACCAUUAAAAUUUUUUAAAUUGAUGACAUCAGCAGACCAAAAAAUCCUAGAAAUCACCAUAAUUUCACAAAAAAAACAAUAAAAUGUUUAUUUCUGAAUUUCGUGGAAGGACGUCAGUAUUGAAUAUUCAACGAAGAAUCGAGUUCCUUUAGAAAUAUAAUCCAAAUAUCCCAUUUAGUUAUCAAGUGAGUGUGAGGUCUCGAAUCCUUUGCUCAUUUGAUUUCAAAAUAAAGCUUCUUUCCGUUAAUUCUUAGAUUUUGAGAUGGAUUGGCUGUGGAAGAAGAAGAAGAAGAAGCCAAAAUCCGAUGUGGUGUCCGAUAUAGUGUCUGAGAGAGGAGCCAAGGUGUUAACAGAUCUGAUCGAAUUCGGCCAUGGCAUAUCCAAUCCCAUCAAAUUCUUCUCUGCUGAUGAGAUCCUCAAAGCCACCAACAAUUUCAGCGACAUUAAUCGUGUUUCUGGAUUAGCUUAUUACUCCGAUUGGUAUUCAGGUAAGAACGAGAACCAUCCCAUGAUACUCAUCAAGAAAGGUGCUAACUUUUGGAGCUCGAGAGUAGAUCUUAUGUGCCGGGACAUAGCAGUUUCAUCGAUGGUGAGUGGUCACAAAAACUUUUUGAAAUUGGUUGGAUGUUGUCUUGAGUCUGAAGAGCCAGUCAUGGUUUAUAACGGUGUUAAGAAACACUAUCGAUUAGAUAUAGAUGAGCAGACGUGGAAAAGGAGAAUGAAGAUAGCAGAAGAUAUCGCUACUGCUUUUGCUUACCUUCACACUGCCUUCCCAAGGCCCUUCAUAUAUAGGAUUUUGUAUCCUUGGAAUAUCUUAUUGGAUGAAGAUGGGGUUGCGAAGCUGACUGAUUUCUCUCUCUGCGUCUCAAUCCCAGAAGGAGAAACAUUUGUUAAGGUUGACAAAGUCUACAGUUACUUGUAUUUUUAUGACGAUAGCAGUGGCGUAGUCUCAGAGAAAACAGAUGGCUUUGCCUUUGGAAUGUUUAUGGGUCAAACGCUUCUAUUAGGAAAACAAAGAUUGUCGGAGCUUUGUGAUGGAUCUUUGCCGUCAAAAUUAAAGGAAGACCGUCGAAUCGAAGAGAUUGCAGAUCCAAAGAUGCUAGAAAAGAUGGGUAAUAAUAUUUCAGAACAAGAGCUUUGUCAAAUGGAAGCUUUCCGAAUGCUCUCACUGAGAUGCAUCGGUCCUAGGGAAGAAGUUCCAACGAUGGUGGAAGUUGCCAAAGAACUAAAGAAGAUUCAAAGAUCUCUUAAUAACGACUCUUCUUCUCCUUCUGGAGAAACCCAUUUCGACUCUCCCCAAGACAUUUCUUCCUCAGUCGUCCUCUCAAACACACACAGGCAUUGCUAAGUGCAAACAAGUGCCUGCCAGGUAUUUCACGAAAUGUUUCAAUGGGUUAUGUUUUUUUUUUCCAGUAAAAAGUCGAAGAAUGUACUGAAAAUAAGUUCGAUUCAUGUUCGUAUACAUUAUCAAGUUUCAUUUUGUUUACUUUUGCGUAAUUUUUUGUUGUAUUUAUAAAUAAUUGUGAGUUCUUUGUGAGACUUUGGUCUAGCAAUGUGCUAGAAGAGAGAUCUAUGUUUAUCUCUUUGUAAUCGUUUGCGAGUGAGAGUUCACGAUUGUAUCUCUUAUUUCAGAUUGAUUAAUACUUUGGUAAUCGAUCAGAUCUUAGCUAUUUGAAUAUCGAAGUUGUUCUUAAUCUCUGGGUCAACGGAAAUCUAUCAUAGUGCUACGUUACUUUUAAUUCUAUUGUGAGAUCCUACCUUAAAGCUUGUGUAUGGUUACCACUUACCAUUUGUAAGUCUAAAUAGUAAAUAGUGUUUUUUUUUUUUUGGUUACAAAAAUAUUGAAAGCCUUAAGUACAGAAUAUCACACAAUAUCCACACUUUUUGUCUGGAUAUUAUUUACAUAUUUUUCGUAUAGUUACCACUUGAUGUCUAAAUUGUUUUGAUUCCACAAAUAGUGAAAGCAUUUUAGCCUAUGGACACAAUUUGUAAAACUUCUUUUGGAGUUGUAUUUUGCAUAUUAAGAAUCGAAGAAUAUUAGUGAAUUAUUAUGAUCGUCAUUUUAAAACGUGUAUGAGCUUACAACAAUUUCAUAAGCAUGAGAAUAUGUCAAUCUUUGAACAAACACCAAUUACUUACUACCAAGUGAAACCUUCACUCCUCUCUCUUCACCUCCAUUCUAAAUCUCUCAUCCUCUUCUCGUCUUUCCACACAUAUUAAUCUCCCCCAACAACACAUAAUUCGCCCGUUUCUCUAGCUCUUUCUUCCACAAUUCCUUCUCAAAUUUGCCGGUUUUGUCGUUUCGACCCUUGCAGGCUAUAUCUAUGGAAGGGUAGAGUCGCUUUUGUUUGCUUUGUGUAAUUUUUAUUUCCAAUUUUAAAUAAAAUAUCCUUAGAGACAAAAAAAUAAAUUUCAUGUAGAUGAUUUUCUUUACACGCGCAUACACGAUAGCUGCCGAAUAACCGUUUCCCACUCGAUCAACUCAUGCAGACUAUCGAACAUCCCGAUAAUCGGAAAAACCCGAAACAUCGGAAUAACUACUCAUCCGAUCCGAAAAUACCGGAGUCUAACUCAACCAGUUGGUAAUUCUCUCGGUAAUACGAGGACCCGUCGAUCACUUUGAGGAAUCUUCGAUCACCCUCGGAUCUACUCAAGUACACUCAACCCUAUGUUCGGCAAGGUACCCUUGGCACCACCCAGAAUACAUGGGAGACGGGCGUUACACUUGCCCUCCUCUCCACGCUGUCAUUCUAUGUGUAUGUAAAUGUAUUUCUUUGACCAAAACGACGUAGGAUUAGAAAAGAAAAAAAAAAUCGGAACAACAUCCGAGUAGCCUCCGAGACCACAAACAUCUUCCAAUCAACCAAAAGCGAAAACGAGAGAAGGAGAAGAGUCGAAAUCGGAACAGUUCCUUCCGCCAUUGAAAUGGCUCUCAAAGCUUCACCAGUUGCCGGAUUAUUCCCUCCUCUCCGUCCUACUGCUUCUUCUUCUCCUUCGACUUCUAAUCGCCCUUGUUCCCUCAGGGUUCUACCCCUCAGACCAUCCUUCUUCGGUAACUCAAGUGUGUAUCCGUCGUCUCUUAUUCGCCUCAGGGUUUUGAUUUCUCUUCAUUUCAUUAGGCUUGCUCAUUGUUUGAAUUACUCGGAAGAAAAUAGUGCAGCUAUCUAGAAUUUGUUUGAAAAAAACUGUGAACGUGAUUGGCCAGAGAGUGAAUUGAAGUAAAAUUGGGUAUUGACCAUGUUUGAGUUUACCUGAAAAACUUGUGAAGGUGAUUUGUCAGAGAGUGAACCGAAGUAAAUAGGGUCUAUGAAAUUUAGUGUAUGAUUUUGUGUUUCUGAUUUAGUAUCUAUGAAAUUUAGAGAUAAAUAGGGUCUCUCAUGCUUCCAUAUACUCUUUGGGGUGACCUUGUGUGAAAAUGCACGACAAGGUCUUAUUCUUAGUCAUUUUCUAUAACUUCGGUAUACGUUUGACUGUUUCACAUGUCUAACAUUUAGUUCUCUUGCUUUUUAGUUAUGUUGUUGGUUUGAUGUUUCCAUGGCCUUAUUGUUAGACUCAAAAGGAUUAUUGUUUUUUUCUAUACAAGGUGGAGCUCUGAGAGUGAAUGUGCUUAGAUUAGCUUGUGCAAAUAGACUCAGGUGCAAUGGUCAUGGUGCUACAAUGAAUCUUUUUGAACGAUUUUCUAGAGUGGUCAAGGUACUUUUAAUCUUCCUGAUUCUGUAUCUGACUGUCAUAAUGCAUUGGAGUUCAUUAAUCAGUUCUCUUGUUUAUUUUUCAUUUCAAUAAGCAAAGUCAUAUGCCAAUGCGCUCAUAAGCUCUUUUGAAGACCCGGAGAAAAUACUUGAGCAAACUGUGAUUGAAAUGAAUAGUGAUUUGACAAAGAUGCGUCAAGCCACUGCACAGGUACACUUCUUACUCGUGAAAAAGCUUUAUACAUGUCCCUUUGUGAUGUUUUUCUUCUUCAUUUUUUUACUAGAGCAUGGUUUGCCUUUAUUUAUGAGGUUAGCUAACUUGUGUAUUACCAACGUGUCUGAAGGUUUUAGCAUCACAAAAGCAGUUGCAGAACAAAUAUAAAGCUGCACAGCAGGCUUCUGAUGAUUGGUAUGUUUGUUAGCUUGGAUCCGUUCUUUCUUACUUAAUUCUUCACAUAACUGAUUAUUCUUACAUGUUGCACGCUUGAAUAGGUACAAAAGGGCACAACUUGCUCUUGCAAAAGGAGAUGAGGAUCUUGCACGUGAGGCCCUUAAACGACGAAAGUCUUUUGCUGUAGGUUAUAUCUAUCCAUUCUCUUCUUCACCAGUUUUCUGUUUCUUAAGUGUGCUUACUCCAACAAAUGAAAGAACCUAAUUGUUUGGCGCUUCGAGCGUUUUGAGGCUGAUCCCUUGGUUUUCUACAAGGUUUAGUUAGGAGGUGGUGAAAGUAAAAAGGAAAAAUUUAGAUAUCUAAGUAUUCUCUAAUUCUCCUCAGGAUUUCCCCCCCCCCCCCCCCUUUUUUUUCCAAUCAUUUUUAGAUGCAAUAGAGCUUGGCUGUGUUUAUAAUGCCGAGUAUUCUUUUGAAAGAUAUUGUUUGUUAAGGUGGUUGCAGUGUUAGAACAAAAGAGAUUUUGGAUAUAUAUAACACUACAGAUGCAGCCAAAAACGAUCCUUCUGUGUUUCUACAUAUUAGGAUGUUGACUAUUGUCUUUCAGUAUCAGAAAAAAAAUAAAAUUUUGGUUAUAUUUAGCACUGCAGAAACAGCCAACACGAGUCUUCAGUGUUUUCUACAUAUCAGUAUGUAGGCUAUCAUCUUUGAUGUGCUUCUGUUUGAGCAACGGACCGUAUGGCUCUUUUUCAGUUUUGUUGAUUAUGUAUUAUUUUGUGUAACCUUUGCAAAUGGCUAACGAAUUGAAGGCAGGCACAUUAUCGCUAUCUUUUGCCUGCUGAUACCUUUUAACUAUUGAAGUCUUUGAAUACAUGCAUUGUCUUGGUUACAUUACAAAAGUAUCUAGAACUUUUUGUUUUGAAGUUAUUUAUUUGUUCACCUUUUUCUUAACAGGACAACGCAAGUGCUCUGAAAACUCAACUAGAUCAGCAAAAAGGUGUUGUCGACAAUCUUGUUUCAAAUACAAGGGUUAGUUUUCGUCAUUUUUAUCUAUAUAGUUUGACUUACUACAAACUGUUGGAUUCUUUAGAGCUAUGAUUAUAUGAAAUUUUCUUCACGGCAUUACUCAAUAAAACAAAGAAUCAUGUAUACAUAAUUUUCAUCAUGCCACCAUAACAUUUGAAUGGUUUAGAGAUAGUACCAGAGUUGAACCUGAAUUAUGAUACCUCCGUUUUAAGAUUCAUAUGCUAAGUAUCUCUCUUCACGUUUUGUACUAAGGCACUAUUGUGUUUCUAUGGACAUAAUGUAGAAGAUAUUUAGAUUAUUAUCUGUAUUUUCAGAAUUCUUCCAUUUCGAAAGCAUAUGAUUCUUAUAUUUUCUGAAAUUGCUUAUGGCAAAGUUUGGUACUUAGAAAAUUGAGUUUGUAAACAUUAUGUUGUUUCCUUUUCUCUGUGCAGCUCUUGGAGAGUAAGAUACAAGAGGCAAAAGCAAAGAAAGAUACGCUCCUUGCACGUGCUCGCACUGCUAAGUUUGUCUCAUUUACCUAUUAUUCUUCUUUACAUCUUUUAUGGGAAGCUCGUCCAUACAGAGUGUUUCUUCUUGAUUUAUAUAUUGUCCCAACACCUUUUUUUUUUUUUUUUAAAUAAUUCUGCUAGGACCGCAACCAAAGUGCAAGAGAUGAUAGGGACAGUAAAUACAAGCGGUGCUCUUUCAGCUUUUGAGAAAAUGGAGGAGAAAGGUAUGAUCUAUUGAUCCUCCAACUUGAACAAAACUUAUAAAAACUUGUCUAUGCGUAACCAACAGCAAUUAGUCCUACUAUUCGUUUCUAAAUUUGAAGUUUGGCCUGUAGUUAGGAUUACCAUUCAGUCUCUGAAAGUGAGUUGAGAGGCCACCUUUUUUCAUAGAUGUGUUACUUUCUCUCUGUUAGCUUGUACUACUUCAGACCUAGGCGAUGGGGUGCCAUGAGAAAUAGGGCUCAGAUUCUGGGCGACGUGGAUGUGGAAUUAGUGUUGUAGUUACCUCAUGCAAAACAAUAGAACAGUAAUAUAAUGUGUGCAAUGUGACGUCGGAGUAAAAGAUAAACUUAGUGGAAUCCUUUCUUGUUUAGGUACAAGAGAGAAAUCACACUGGAUAACUUUUUUUUUGCUAUUUCUAGCAAUUCAUUUAGGUUCUGGUUGAUUAAUGUUAGUCCGUGCAGAUAUACCCCUCUUAUUCUUUCUGUAAAUCUCUGAGUUGCUAGUAUCAGAAGUCUGAAGUUGGAAUUUUUCAUUGUGAAAGACUUUACUUUCUGCUUUUUGAUGUAUGCUCAUUAGUAGAGACUAAAAUCUAGAAAGUGCUUGACAGUGAUGGCUAUGGAGUCUGAAGCAGAUGCACUAACUCAGAUUGGAACCGAUGAACUCGAGGGGAAGGUUGGUUGUCUAUCUCUUGUCUUUGUAUUUCUAUGAGGAGAAGAAUCUUUCUUUCUCUUUUAAAUUUGUUUCAGAGGUAAAAUCUUGCAUUUAUUAGGGUUCGCUGCUUUAUCUAAUAUCUUCUAUUUCUAUGACUGAGAGGAUGGUCUAAUCUGGUUUACUGUCUGUUUGUUGGUUGGAAGAACUUGUAUAUAUACAAUCAUCUUGACAUUAACGUGUAUUUCUUUGUGACUUGCAGUUUCAAAUGCUUGAAACUUCAUCUGUGGAUGAUGAUCUUGCGAACUUGAAGAAAGAAUUGUCCGGAAGCUCAAAGGUUUGUAAAACGUCGAUUAUCAUAUUAGCUCCUUGGAGUAUAUAAUCUCAUCACUCACCAAAAUAUCAUGUCCACAAGCUACCAUAUUGCAAAUUACCGUCUGAAAAGACAGAUGGGUUCAGCAAGUUGGGAUGGUUCCUAUGAACACUGAAAUCAACAAUUCAAACUCAAAUUACUUCCAUUUUUACCUUACUCCCUUAUUUCAUGUUUGACUAUAUCCUACUUUGCUACUAACAUUUUACUUCACUCUGAGUUAAGAGUUUGUAAAACAUACUCAUAGUUAUCCUCUGUUGCGCAGAAAGGAGAGCUUCCUCCAGGGAGAAGCACCGUUGCAGCAAGCACGAGAUACCCUUUCAAAGACUCAGAGAUCGAGAAUGAGUUAAACGAACUGCGAAGGAAAGCUAACGACUUUUAGAUAUCGGCUGUUUCCGAGUUGUUACUGGGUUAGGUUCCUGCUGUAAACUAUCCUUGUGUCUUGUAGAAAGACACCAAAAGCAUGUGUGGGUACUCUUUAAGUAAAUAUCCAGCUAUCUAAUCCCCAUUUAUAGUUGGUUUAUGUACAUUCAGACACUUUUGAAAGUGUUGUUUCACACUUUGACUCACUUUGUGUCAAGUGGACACUUUUUAUAGGCUCUUUACCCUCAUAACCCUCUAUCAUGCUCUUAACUAGAUACAAAAACUCUAUUUACCAUUCCUGCAAUCCCAAAUUUCAAUUUGUACUAACUAAAUAAAACAAAACAACACUGAGGAGCUGUUGAAGAAGAUACGGGAGCUAGAAAGAAAGCCAAGAGCAUAUGAAACAGGAGAUGUCGAGGCUUAAGGUAUCGGCGGAUUUAAAGCAGCAUUCGCAUUUGCAUUCACAUUUAGGAUGAAAUUUUCAUCACAGGUGUGUGGUUGAUCUGGAGACCCAAUUGGUGUGUCAAGACAUUUUUGUUAACAAGUAAGGCAUAAAAGAAAGAUCGAUUAAAAUUGAAAUAGAAAUGCUCGUCUUCCAUGUUGAGUUGUCUUUCCAGAAAAACAUGUUGCCAUAUUUUCGUAGCCAAUCGUCUUUAGAAACUAUGAGGUAUGUCUAAUCAGCUGUACCCCCUCAACAUUGCAAUUCAAUUUGUUCAUUGUUUCAAACACAUUGGAUACUUAAAGAGCUUAACAAUGAGGUUUGAGAUGUUACCAAAAGUUGGGUUAGCCACAAACACAGUUGUGCCAGAAAUCCUUGAUAUUGCUAGUCAUGUUUCAACUUUCAAACCAUAUGAACUGGGCGUCUCGGGAUAGUUUUGUGCCAAGACUCUCUAGUGAUUUCUUUCGCUAUCCUUUUUUUUUCUUUCCUGAAUUAAGUAAACCAAAAUGGCGAAAACAUUACUAGGUAACAAAUAUAUGUGAUAUAAGAUAAGCAAGAACAAACCGCCAACUAUUUACGUAGUACGAUCAAUUCCCCAAAUAUGGAUGCUGAUUUGAGCAUAACAUGGUCACUAUCACUAGAGUGAAACAAAAAAAAAAAAAAAAAAAAAAAAAAAAAAAAAAAAAAAAAAUCACUAGAGUGAAACCAGUAACAUCUAUGAGAGAAGAAGUGGACGUACGGAAGCAAUUCAGGCCAGCCUACCUUCGCUUCCGCAAACAUACAACAAUUUUAGUUAAAAAAUUAACUUAUAUAGUUGAGUUGACUAUCAAAAACGAAAAAUAUCAAGUCGCGGUUAAAUUGAAAUGUAAACUAGUUUAACUACAUGCUGAAUUUUUUUUUUUUUUUGGUAAACAAACUACAUGCUGAAUUUGAAAACACGAUUCAUUACUGUAACGUGUAUAAAUACCAACCCUUGAUUUUUUACUAAAAAAUAAAUAAGUACUGAUUAAGUGGUUACUAACGCAAGUAACGCAUCCGUCUCAAAUUCUUUCAACAUCCUUCUCAUGUGUGGCCAAUAGGCAGGACCGACCCUGACCUAAAGCCCAACAAGCAAAGGUUUUAGGGGCCAAAAUAUAUAUAAGAUUUUAAGGGCAUCAAAUUAGUAAAAUGACUGUUCCGGAUUUUACCCUUUCUCAUGAUCCGGGUUUGAACCUCUCAAGCAACAUUUUGCUAUAUUUUUAUUAUUUGUGGGCAAAAUAACUUUUUUGGAUUUUAGGCAGCCCAUAGUAUUGGGCCGGCUCUGCCAAUAGGGUUGAACCUUAGAUUUAUGAGAUCACUUUCUUUAGCUAUCCCUAUGCAUCCUUGGAAUGAUAUAUUAAUCGACUUUGUGGUUGGAUUGCCUAAGACAAGAAUUGGUAAAGUUUCAUUUUUUGCGGUUUUUGAUAGAUUCUCUAAAAUGGCACAUUUCAUUGUUUGUGACAAAAUUGAUGGUGCAUUGCACAUUGCUAAUAUGUUCUUUAAUGAAGUAGUCCAUUUGGAUGGCAUGCCUAGGACUAUAGUUUCGGACAGGGACACUAAGUUUCUAAGUUACUUUUGGAAAACUCUAUGGUCUAAAUUAGGGACUAAGCUCUUAUUCUCUAUUACAUGUAACACUCUAACUGAUGGACAAACAGAAAUAGUUAAUAGAACCUUAUCUACUCUUUUGCGGGCAUUGAUUAAUAAGAACUUGAAACUUGGUAAGAUUGUUUGCCUCAUGUUGAAUUUUCAUAAAACUAUUAAGUGCAUUCUUAUUCUGAGACUAUUCUCUUUUUCAGAUAUGCGGCAUUUACAUGCAAUUAAGAAACCGCAUGUUUAGAAUGAAACCAUGAGGAGGGAAUUUCUUGUGCUAGCAUGAAUUAUUGAUAUAGUUUUAAAAGUUGACCAUUAAUUAGCAAAAUCUAAGAAUUUUUGUAGCAAAACAUAAGAAUAUAGGAAAAAAUAACAUACAAAUAAUCUAAUAAUAAUAACAAUCCCAAUAAAUUCCUUUUGCACUUGUGAAUGGUUCUGUCUUUUUAUCGCAAGUUUUCGUUAUUUUUUUAAAAACUAAAACAUAUAUUUUAUGUUUUUUUUAGAAAGUUGCAAUCCGAAUAAUUGUCUUCUAUUGGUUGCGUAUUUGUGUAUGUUCUAAUCUUAUAACUAGAUUCAGAUAAUUCUGAAAGUGGUGAUAUAAUCAUUGAAAAACUUAGAAGUGCAUUUUUUUUGUUAUUUCUAAAAUACCAAAAAUAAUAGAUUUAAAUAUUUAAAAUCAGCCUUUCAAAAUUUUCUCUAGUUUCGAUUUUUAUGGAAGUGGCUGUUUUAUUUAUAUAUAUUUAAGCAAAAGCUAAGAAGAAAAAGAAGCAAAAAUUAAGCAAAACUUAACAAAAAAAAAGUAAGACAAUUUUCUUUUAAUAUCAAAUCAUGAUUUAAAAAAAUAGAAAUGAUAUAUUUAAAACAAAAAAAAGAACAACUAUUGAGUAAUUACGACACUAAAAAAUGUUAUUAAUAUGAUGGGCCAUGUGUACUUAUGAUACUUGAUAACUAGAUUUUAACCCGCGGUACACCGCGGGAUGAUUUAAUUUUAAAGUUAGUAUAAAAAUAUUUUGUAAAUUGUAUCUCCUUAUAACAUAUUUAUUUAUAUUAUAGUUUACAAUUGUUAUUAAGUAACGGUAUACCACGAGUCCACGAGAUAAUUAUUAAUAAACUGAGGAUUUAACCCGUAUUAAAGCGGUAUAUAAAUAUUGAUUCAAAUUCGUCCGCCAUAUAAAUCAUUUCCGAAAUAUAACCCGUUCCGUAGUUUCUUAACCCGUCCUGUGAUUUGUAUUAAAAAAAAUAAGGAUUAAAUCCGUAUUGAAGCGGCAGAUUAAUGAUAUUUUAAUCUUUUUAUUAUUGUUGAUUCAAAAACCCGUCCCGCCAAACCCAUCCCGCCAAAAAACUCAUUUAUUUUAUUGAUGUUCUUAUUUAUGAUAUGAUUCUGAAUCAUUGUCUAAAUAUUUUAAUCGAUGUAGAACGUUGAACACACAUUUUCGUCAAUUGGAUAAUAUAUGUCCGUUUUUAAAAUUUCGAAUCACAGUAUAUGAAGAAAAAAAAUUGAUUUUUUUUUUACUUUAUGUAUUAUAUGAUGAUUCAAAACAGUUAAAAAAAAUCAAACAAAGAUGAUAGGAGAAUCAUAAUUAUAAAUCUUAAUCAAAUCUUCUAAAAAUCUAAAUUAUUAAAUAUGGAAUAUCCGGUGUAUGAGUUGGGUUAAAUAUAAUCCGACUCAAAAAAAUUUUGUGAAGGAAUUUUUAAAAUGGGUCGGAUAUCCGAUAUAACCGAAAGCUUUUUUACCCACCCGUCACAAAAAGUGCUGCAAUUAUACUAGUAUAGAUAUUAUAAAAUCAAAAUCGAAAGAUGAAAUUGAUAGGGAGAUCAAACAUACCGUCCAAUACGUAAAAAGUCUUGGUGGGUGGUCACCAUACCUGUUGGGGAAAACCUAAAUCAUGAAUAAUAUGAUUUUAUGUUUAGUCAUUUGCGUACAUAAUUCUGAUAAUGUUUUGAUGCAUGGAAAAAAAUAAAUGCAAUUGUUAAUGUUUAAAACUUACUUGCCAAGUGCCAACCCGCCUCGAUCGUGUUGAGAUCGUUGGUCUCGUUAUUUCCUAAGCUAAACUGAAGUCGUCCGGUGAUCCCAUACAAUAAUCGUAGCUUUGGUUCCGUAAAUGUGUGGUUGGUUAUCCACAUAUGCGAUUGCAUAUUGUUGUGUCCACUAAAAGUAUAUCAGAUUAUAUAAAAAAAAAAUGUAUACAAGAUUAUUUACAUCACAUGUUAUGUAUGAAAGUAGGCCUCUAAGGCACUAAGACCAAUAUAUUUUUGGCCUUCAUAAUUUAAUAACUAGAUCCAGAUAAUCCUAAUAAAGGUGAUGUAAAUUAUUUAAUCAUUGAAAGAAUUAGAAGUGCAAAUUUUUCUUGUUUUUUUCUAAAAUGCCAAAAGUAAUAGAUUUAAAUGUGAUAAAAUUAGCCUUUCAAUUUUUCUCUAGUUUUGGAUUUCGAUGGAAGUGGCUGUUUUAUAGAUAUAUUAUUAUUAUUAUUAUUAUAUAUAUAUAUAUAUAUAUAUAUAUUUAAGCAAAACAUAAGAAGAAAAAUAAGCAAAACAUAACCAAUUUUUUUUUUAAUAUCAAAUUCAUGAUUAAAAAAAUAGAAAUGAUAAAAAAAUUUUAAAAACAACUAUUGACUAAUUAUGACACUAAAAAAAUGUAACAAUACAAAUAAAAUAACUCGAAAAACUUCUAUGAUCUUAUUCUUAUAGACAAACAAUAUACACUAUACAACUCUAGUAUAACUUGUAAGUUGUAACAAAUUUACAAGUUGUCAAAGAGGAUUUCUAAAAUAAAUUGUAACUUGACUAAAUGCAAAGCCUUUUUAACGAAAAGAAAUUUUUUGACCCAAGGACUUCAAUGAUAACGUAUUUUUUAACAUUAUCACUAUCGUACAUAUUGUUUUAUGGACUGCUCACAUAAUUUUGUGUAUUCAGUACUUUUUUACUAAACUACAUCUUUUAUAUUCAUAUCAGAGAUGAUAAAACAUUAUUCUUGAGUUAGCAUUUGUUAAAGUAAAAUUUAAUUGUUACAAACGAAAAAAACCACUUCUACCAAGUAAAUCGUUUUACAACCCAAACAAACAAAUCGUUUUACAACCCAAACAAGUAAAUGGUAACGACUUUUAAUUAUCCAUGUAGAGACUUUGACUGUAAAAGCUUUCGCUGUAGAAACUUUUGCUUUAAAGACUUUGAUCGUAUAAAUUUUAUAACUGAUUAGUAAAGAAUAUGACUGUAAAAAUUACAAUUUUAAACAAGGAAGUUGUUGAGGUUCUUUCUGAAUCUUUGGUAGUUGAGACGGUCCAAGGAUGAGGAUAGUUGGUUUGACGUUGUGAGCACCACAAGCGCGUUUGCUAGCCUAGUAAAAAAAGAAGAAAUUCCGAAAAUUUUAAAACUUGUAAAUAGUCAAAUAUUUUAGCCAUUUAAUUUGUCCACAAUACCCAACUUAUAUACAAAAUAUUUAUAUUAUUAAAAUAAAAAUAUUUAUAUUUUUAUAUUCAAACAAUCCUUACCAUUAAAUUUUUACUAUUCAUACAACCAAAUACAAUUAAAAGAUUUUAACAUUAAUUAUAAAAUCAGCAUAUAUAAUAUUUUCACAAUUAAUAAUCUAUAUAUUUAAAAGAUUUUAUUAACAUUUAAAAUUAUGAUUCUUAAUCAUUUUUAUUUGAUAUUUAAUUGCUUUAUAAUCAUCAUAUAAUACAUCAAGAUAAUAAUAAUAUAGUCUCUUUACAUGAAUAAUGUUGUAGUUGGUUGAUCAAAAAAAAAAAAAGAAUAAUGUUGUAGUUGUAUGGAUGUCCAUUAUAGGUCCAUUAGUAGAGUCUAGAAGGUUAUAGAAGAUGUGAUCUCUAACAUAAAAUCUAAUGUUUAAUUCCUAUAUAUAUAUCGUGUAUCUUAUGGAAUCUAUCAAUAACAAAAAAACAAAUUCUUAAACCUAUUUGUUCACAACACGUUAUCGACACCUAGCCGCUUGAGUUAAAAAUAAAUUUCUAUCAAAAUCCUACCCGUUUUCUAACAUCUCAACUCCAUCUUCGAUUUUGAGCUCUGAUCCCUCUAAACAUACGUUUCAUUCUGAAAGAUAAGUCACCACAUGCUUUAUAUUCGAUCGGUAUAUAGUUUAUGGUUUAUCGGUUUGUUUGAUCGGUUGUCGCUUAGUGAACCAUGCUUCUAUCGUUUGAUUUAUUUUAUUUAAUAAUUAUAGUUUAUAUAGGUUUAUUAUCGCUAGAAUAUUAUUAUGCUUUUAGUCAGGCCGACUCAAAAUAUUAUUGGGCACUGUGCUAUGUUGCAAAUGUUUUUUAUAUGAUGACCUAAAUGUUUAACAAUUAAAAACUUAGACUCUAUUUUGUAAUUAUUUGAAUAUUUUGGACCCUAAAAUACCAAGAAAAAAUAAAUAAAAAAAUAGAACCCUGUGCUCUUCCACACUCAGCACACUCCAAGAGCCGAGCCUGCUUUUAGUGUCAAUAAAAUUUAUUUGAUUGUGUCAUAAGUAAAAAGCAGCUAAAUUUUUAAUUCCACCUGGUCAAUAUUGUCAUGCUUUGGUUUGGUUAAUUCUCCUACUGUUUAUGUAGGAGUACUAGAUCAUGACCCGUGCUGUAUAGCACGGGGUUUUAUUAUUUUUUUUUGAAAUAUAUUGUUCAUUUAAUUUGAAAUAUGUAAAAAUAACAUAGUGUAAUAGUUUAGUAUAAAAGGGAAUUAAUCAUAUAGUUUUAUGUUUAUUACUAUUUGGAUAUUAUAUUGUGUAGUAGUUAUUUGACGAUAAUUUGUAUAUUUUGAUUGUAGAAGUAAAUAAUACUAUAAAAUUUAUUUUAGAUAUAUUUUCCUUAUAAUAGUUGGUUACUUUAAUUUAUAUUGUUUAACACUACAUGAAUUUUAAUUUGGUUGAAGACAUGAAUUGCUAAUAAAAUGAUGUAGUAUAUAUUAUCUUAGAAUUGAAUAUAUUUAGUUGCAUUAGAUUUGUAUUUUGUUUUAUAAGAUUAACAAUUUAUUUAGUUAAGUAGUAAUUGAUAAUUAGAUAUAAAAAAGAAAUUGUUGUAUUGGUCUGAGUUGUUUAGUGGGCUAUUUUGGGUUUAUUUGGCCCAGUUUGUUUGUUUAAAAAAAAAAAAAAAAAAAAACAACAACAAAAAAAAAACAGAUCGGCAAACGGGAAAUUUCAGACAGUUAAUCCCAGAAAACUAAUGUCGAAUUCUACCCAAAUUUUUUCAAAUUCGACCUCAAAGACAACACAGAUUGAAUUUCUUGCCCAAUCCGUUCAUAUAUUUCGAGUAAUUGAAGCACGUCGGAGUGGUGAUCAAAGGUAAAAUUCAAACCGAACGAUUUUGUUUAUAAGUUACAGAAAUCGAUUAAUUAAGUUCGUGAGCUGAUUGAUGAUUAUAUCGAUUUAAGAAACAACAAAUUAUGCAAUAGCUGAUUGCAGAUUUGAAUAAAAUUCUCGAUAAUGAAAUUGUCGAUUUCAAUGAGUUGUGAAGAAGAAGAUCAGCGAUGAAUCUAAACACGGUUGAUCUACUUCAGCAUGCAAUUCAAGAACAGCUGAUUGCAACAGUAGACAAACACAUAAAUGUCCAGGUAAUUGAUAAUGACCACUAUUGUUUAUUAGUUAAACAAAUUGAUCUAUAUGUUAUUGAACUGAUUGAUGCAUGAAUCGUUUUUUAGAUUUGGUAACAAAUGAAACAUUUGAUUUUGAAACAUGUAGAUUAGAAUAUUGAAUUCAUAAUAGAAUUGUAAAAUCGAUAUACUGAGUUAAACAGAGUGAUGGCAUUCAUUUGUUUAGAAGAAGAAAAAGUUCUAUAAUCUAAAUUCGAGUCUGGUAAAUAAAUGAAAGAAAAACCAAAAAAUGAAAAACUUUAAAACUAAUGCUGUUGCUUCUUCAAAUGCAGAAGAAUGGUUUUCAUACUCUUAUCCCUUUAAACACGUCCUGAGUAUACUUCAUCCUUUCAAUUCCUUGUUUUGAUGCUGAAAAGUUGUAGAAAAUGAAAAUAGAAAACAACAUAAUGUCAUCAGUCAUAAAAACAACUUCUACUCUAGUCUAUAAGAAUGAAGAAAACCAUUAUGAUUAGUUAACAUAUUUACCUAGUCGAAUUGGAACUCUUUUAGAUUCUUUCCAUGACUGUCUUUAGUGAAGGUUUUGAAAGACUUCUUUAUAAACUACAUUCAUUGUUUUACUCUGUGGCUUACCUUUCUUGUCUGUUAUAAGAAUCUUCAAACCUGAUAUAAGGGUAAAAUUAAUAAUCUUAUACAUAAUUUAAACAGUCAUAUUCUGGAUAUAAGUAUCUUCAUACCUGAUUUUGACGACACUCUAGAGAUUGCCACGUAUAGUUGACCAUGUGAAAAAACAGGUCUAGGCAAAUAAAGUCCAACGGAAGAUAGUGUCUGUCCUUGACUCUUGUUUAUGGUCAUGGCAAAAGCAACAGAUAGAGGAAAUUGCCUACGCCUCAUUUUGAAAGGCAAUCUGGCAUCUGAUGGUGUGAUGAGCAUUCUAGGAAUCAGAACAAUCUUACCAACUUUGUUACCUGUGAUAACUCUAGCUUCAAUUACCGUGUCUGCCAUUUGAGUGACCUGUAAUCUUGUCCCAUUGCAUAAACCUUUAUUAGGAUCCGUGUUUCUGAGUAGCAUGACCGGACAACCAAUCUUCACACGCAAACAAUGGUUUGGCAAUCCAGAAACUCUAACACUGUUCAGAAAAUCAGGAGAAUAUGCGACAUCAUUCGCAGCACUUGUGUCUGAAGGGUCUAUACUAUCAGAACUUAGGUAAAUUCUCUCUUCACCUAAAAACAGAAUGAAUAUGGAUGCAAAUUUGAUAUAAGCUUGUAUUGAAAUUGUAUCAUAUUCAUCUGAAAAAAAUAAAUAAGGAAUGGUAAAAGUUAACUAACCAUCCAACAUACUCAGCAUAUGCUCAUUUAUGUUGUUGACAUCCUCAUUAGUAGGACAGAGAAUAGCUCUACCUUGAAAAAAUUUAGGAUCUUUCUCCACCAUAAAGGUAUUUCCAUAAACUGCAUCGAUGAUGGAUUCGAUUGGAUCUUUAUCCCGAGUUAUAAGUAACUCUUUUGGGAUGUCAAUCAUAGCAAUUCCAUCAUUAGGCUGUGGCAAUUUUGCCAUCUCCAACAUCUAGUAUCCACUUUGAGAAUUCCUCUAUUUCCCGCUUUUCAAGGUCACUAAUGUUUGCAAGAAGUCUCAUAUUCUUUGUUAGCUCCAAAAAUCUGCAAUGCUCCCAAAUAUAAGAAGAAUUAAGCGCAGCAAACACAAUCUCCUCUCUACCAGCACCAUUGAUAACCGGUAACACUUGUCUGAAAUCACCUCCAAAAACUAUAACUUUACCGCCAAAAGGCUUGUCCUCUGGAUUAUUCAUAAUAUCUCUCAGAGUUCUAUCCAAAGAUUCAAAGCAAUGCUUACUCAUCAUAGGAGCUUCAUCCCAAAUAAUUAACUUUGCCCGGGUAACCAACUCACCAAGAUCUGAUCCACGUGAAAUGUUACAUGUAGACGCCUCAUUGGGAUUUAAAGGAAUACCAAACCUGGAGUGUGCUGUUCGACCGCCAUCUAAAAGCAGAGCAGCAAUACCGCUAGAAGCGACAUUUAAGCAUAUGUCCCCUUUUGAUCUAAUAGCAGCAGACAAUAAUUUCCAAAGAAAAGUUUUUCCAGUACCUCCAAAGCCGUAAACAAAAAACACUCCGCCUGUAUCGUGAUUCACAGCAUUCAUAAUCUCAUCAUAUAUCUUCUUUUGUUCUGGAGUCACCUUAGCCAACCAUUCUUCAUGUUUUUCUUUCAAUUCUGCACGGUUGUACUUGAGUUCAUCCAAUAGAAAAUGAUUGCAUUUUUCAACGUCUUCCGAUGAAACUUGUGGCAUCUGCUUCCAUUUUGUAAGUGAAACUCCAUUUUUUGUUAGCAGCCUAUCUAUCUCUUGCAAACAAAAUUCCUGUUUCUCCUCAUCACUUAGAUGGAGAUCUGCAACAUUUACAAAAACAUACCAACAAAAUAAAGUUACUCACCAUCAAUAUAUUAACUGCUAAUCAUUCAAAUUAGUAAAAUAAAAGUUGUAUAUGAUAGUUCCAAAUAGAAUAUAUAGAUACUACUACAAAACCUUGUCGUUGCCAUUCUCUUCUUUUUCUGCGCUCAAUAUCUUCUGAUAAAAUCUUCCAUGUUUCCUCCCAUACCUUCUCUGGUUUCGUUAAACUUUCUGAAAGUAGCAUAAUGACAAAUAGCCUCCGAACAUACUUUGCAGAGCACCAAAAAUUUGCAUCUUUGAUACCCUUGAUAUACUCUUUGUCAUCAUCUAGCAAUCCUAAAGCGAAAACCGCAUCUCUGAAGGAUUCGUGAACAACACUUUUCACAGUUUUGAGAUCUUUAUAUCCUGUAGCACCUCUUUUGAUGUUUAAGAGGAUUCUCAAAUAAUAAGCAUCCUCUAUUGUACGUGGAACAAAGUUAAUCCUUCCAAUAGCAAAUCCUCUAUCUCUGAUCACAAAUUUUUUUUCUUUGCUGUUCCAAGUGAAGUGAUUUGGAACUUCUUCAAAUAAGAGCUUGGUUGGAUCAGGAGCAGGCUUUGGCGGUUUUUUCGCAUUAGCACGGACUUUUCUACUUGGAGGAUUCUUGUUAAGCUGAAACCACGCCAAAAAUUGAGUAGCUUCACUGCUUAAUCGACUCAUAACACUCUCUUUGGUUUCACCUGGUUUGUAAAAGACUGGUUGUUUUCCUUCUUCAUGAAAGUAAAGUUUAACAACUGGUGUUGUUCGAUGAUGUAUGGGAAAUUUGAAAAUUCUCCAUAUAGCUUCACAAGCAGAUACGUACCUGUUCAAAUUGUAAUAAGAAACUGCCAUUAACAAAGUGAUGUAUAAUCACAAUCAGACUAUAUAUAUACAACUAAUUAAAGUAUUAAUGAAUAAACCUGCAAUCAAAGUAAUCCUGGACUUCGUCCUUAUCUUUCUUAGCAGCAGCCGGGUCACUUGGCUCAACAGUAACUGUGACACGGUCAUGUCCUUUAUGAACAUACUUAAACAGAUACUUUAUUGACCCUGAUUGGUUGCACCACUCAACAUUGAUAUGAGCAUGAUAACGAAGGGAUAGCUUCUCAUUAUAUGGGAUUACGUAACGAUUAUCGCAUUGAAAACCAUUCUUCUCGACAUAAGUACCAGUGUUACGUCUUCUGUAAACUGGAAAGCCAUCAUUAUCAACCCUACUAAUGUUGGAAUAGUCUUUGGGGAAAAACUUAGAGCAUUGUCCAUUCACCAUACAUGGUGAAUUCGGAUGACCAGCACCACAUGGUCCAUGAAUCAUACAAUCUUUAACCACUUGGUAAAGUUCUGGUUUCUUUUUCUUAUCUGGAAUCUCAGCACAUAUCACUUUAUCAAUGUCUUCGGCGGUAGACAACUUACUGGUGGGAUGCAUGAACAACAAAAUGUGUGCAUGCGGAAGACCUCUUUUCUGAAAUUCAAUUGUGUACAUUGCUGAAAAAUACAUAACAUAAAAAAGAUUAGAGGUAAAUUCAAAACACAGAUACUAAUAAUAUAAAUAACAGCUACAGGUUUAAAAAAUACCUGAAGCUGUUUUUCCUAGCAGACUCUUGGUGGUUAGAUCAUACAUAAGAUUAUCAAGCUUCAUCUUGAAAAUCCUACAUAUGAUAUCUGGUCUAUCAUCAGACUUCAGGUUCCUCUCUUUACAGAAUCUAACAAUUUCAGGCCACUUUGAAUUGCAAGUAAACGUUAUGAAUAGUGAUGGAAAUCCAAAGUGUUUGCAAAUAGCCAUUGCAUCCAAAUAAUUGUUUGUCAUGUACCUUGGUCCGCCAGUAAAGGAAGCUGGAAUCUUCAAUUCUCUACCUUGGUUUUGCAAAUCAUCGUUUCCAGCAUUUGAAUUCCUUUGGAUUGAAUCUAAGUUAGAGCUCCGAAAAUUGGCUUGAUUCUUCCUAAUAUAUCUCAGCCUGUUUGACUCAAUCAUAGUGUAAGCGUCAACAAUGAACUGCUGAAGCAAGCGCUUAGAGCGAAACAAAACAUGUUUCUCCUGUUUCCUUUCUUGAAGACGAUAAGCAAACCACUGCCUCAUACUUACUUCUUUCUGUUCCUUUUGAGCAUUCCCUUUGCUGUUGGUCUUAGCUUUCAGUAUACCAACUCUAAAACCAUCUUCCCCGUGUGGAAAUAAUAGAGGAUAUUGUAGUGCUAGAUAGGAAACAUGCAGUUCACUUAUUCUUUUUAACUUCCCUGAACUUUUCUUCUGUAAAACGAUAUCACGUUUAUCCAUAUUUUCAUGAAAAUCUCCUGGAAUUAAUGCUGCAACUUCAGAUGCUGUUGGCAGAUUGUAUGUCCUUCCAUCAUCAUUUCUCUUGGCAAUAAUUCUCAUGUGAAAAGUGUCUUCUGAAUCUGUAUUGAAUCUGUCUCUUGCUGAUCUAAACGCUUCAACAUGAGGGUUUAUAUCAUCUAAAAGCUUGAUGAUACUUUCAAUGAUGUCUUUGUUCAAAUUUUUCUUUUUCUGGCCCGUGGCAGAUUCACCCUCUUUACUGAAAAAUAUAUAAACUUAUUAGAUUAUAGAAAAACUCAAUAUUAUGUUUCUAAUAAAAAGAGAUUAACAGAGAAGAUACCUCAUAAUGUUAUAUCUAUUGUCAAUCUCAUUUUCAGUAUCAACAAUAUACAGCUGUUGAAACUUUGCUUUGUUUCCUGGUUUUGGCUUCAUAUCACCCAUGAGAUGGUAAUUUUCACCUUGUAUUGCAAACAUCUGAGGCCCACGACCUUUAGGAACACAAUGAUCCACUUUCCCACCGAUAGAAGUAAAUGAGAAAAUCAUAUUGUAAGCUCUGAUGUUUUCCCUAAAAUGUCUAGCGAUUUCAUCAUUACUGGUUAGCAAAUACCACAACAAUUCAGGCGAUUCCUUUAGGAAAGGUAAGACUAUCUGUCCUUGCAUACAACACCCUGAGAACUUUGGAUUUUUUGUUUUGCUCCUCUUGUUUAGGCGUUCCCCAUACCAAAAAAUAGCACCACACUCGCUACAACUAAAGAUUGGAUCACCUUCAUCAACAUAAGCUGAAUAAAAAAUAAUCAAAUAUAGUUAGAUCUUACUAUAACAAUUCUAUUUGUUAUUCAACAAUAUAUUACAAAAAUUGGAAUAAUACCAUUUUUUUGCUUAGGUGGAAUGACAGGGGUUUCCUUAGGUUUACCAAAAGCAUUUUCUAACAUAGUAAGUAUGUCAAAACGUUCUUUAGCUCGAUGAAUUGCUUCUUUCGGGUUAUAAGCACAUUCUUUAGCAUAGUCAUCUUCAUCUGAUGAAGAAUCCGUAGAUAAUUCUUCUUGACUGCUGCAAUACAAAUCUUCUUGGUAGUUGUCUUCAUAUUCUCCUGUUAUUAUUUGGACAUUAGAAAUAAGAAUAUCUGCUUGAGUAUGAUAUUUUAAAAAUUUCUCUGACCUUUUGUGGAGUCUUGAUAAUCUGAGAAAUGAUCAUCUUCAUCUGUAUCUGUAUUGAGAUCAUUAUCCUCAAUAAAAUCAUGAUGAGAAUCAAGGAAAUCAUCAGUAACAGAAUCCUUUUGUAAUGUUAACACGGAUCCUGAAGGAUUAUCUGAUACAAAUUAGACGAUAAAAUAUGGAUAGUUAGUAUGAACAAAUAGCAACAUGGAUUUGUUAUAUAUGAAAUCUGGAUCCAUUAUUCAAAAAAAAUGCAUUCUAACAUGAAAAUUUACCUUUGUUUCUGUGAUCUGCCGCAGAAGCUCCGGAAAUAUCAUCAUUUUGCGAAUAAGAAGAUUCAGCAAGAUAUGAGGAAUCAUCGAUUAUUGUUGAGGUUAGCUGAGAUUUAUUGAAUAGACUUCCUGACACUUUGAAUAAGAUUUAUCCUGUUAGCUUAAUUUGAAUCAUUAAAAUAUUACAUAUAAUAUCUUUAGACUGUCAAACAACAAUGAAGAAUAUGACUUACAUGGAAUAGGGGAGAGAUUUCUUGCUUUUUUAGAAGAAGGAGCUUGAUAUGGAUUGUUUGAAACAUUUUCCUGGCCUCUUGCAGUGGAACAUGAAAAAGUUAUUUGGUCAGAUGCUGAUAGUCCAGAGCUAUUGCGUGGUGAGUUAGAUAUAUCUGUUAAAACUCUUCUAAAUACAGAGUUUAUUGCAACAGCAGUUUUGGUAUGGCUUUCUGCUGAAGGUGGAACGUAAUUUUCACCAAGUACAUUAGAUGUUGUUCUUUUUCUUUUAGGAGUUGGAGUGACUUCAGAAGAACUUAGACCAUGUGUAUUAUCGUUUUUUUCCAUUAUGACUUGGUUUCCUGUUGAACAUAAAAGGUUUUGCUAUAAAACAUCAAUAGUUUGCAAACCAAUUAGAUAUACUAAAAUUAUAGAGAGGAUAAUAAAUUUAAGUAGCUCUAUGAUAGGCUAUCAAAAUAUGAAUACCUUGGGAUGUAAUGGCUUUCCAAAUACUCUGUAGCGUAUUUCCUAUGACAUUCCUUCAAAAGUCCAAAAAUUUUUGAUGUUUAAGUGUUUUUGCAUUUGAGCUGGAGGAAUAACUCUCAACCAACAAUCCUUAUAAUCGACGAUAGGAGAAGUAUAUAAUAUUAGAUAUCUCAAGAUAUUCCAUAUCUCUUACUAAAUUAAGUUGUUUGAGUAAGUUAAUAUUCUAUCUUAUCUGUUACUAACUAAAUCUAUACUUUUGUGAUACACAGGAUAUUGGAUUAUAAGAAUACCAAACAAUAGGGAGCAAGGAUCUCAGAUCAUCAACCUUUAUUAUUGAGGUUAGUGUCACUCAGAAGGAUCAGAUUAUAGUAAAUUUUGCUCAAUAUAAAAAAUUCUUUAAUGUACUCUGAAAUUUAUAAACAUAGUUAACAUGAAAAAAAGAUAUUCCAUAUAUUGUGCUAAUACUCUAUUUAAGCAAAGCUUUUUCACAGAAAGCUUACGAAUUAAGCACAAUAAAAGUAAAACACAGAUAAGCAAAAUUUAAAACAACUGAACAUAAGAGUCUAAUUUUACAAAUAGGGAAAUAGCACAUUGAUUAAAAAAAGUUAACAAACAAAGCAUUAAAGGAAGUCCAAGAUAGAAUAUAACAUAGGAGGAAUUUUCUUGAUGCCAUCCACACAGCUGCAAAUCUUAGUUAGAAUCACCGUCUUCAUCAGAAACAUUGUCAUUAUCUGAGGAUGUUGUUUCUGUAUUUCCAGCAGUGAAAAAGCAGCUGCGAGAAUAAAUAUAACUAACAUAAGAAUAUAAAACUUAUGUAUAAAUAAACCAAUUUAAAUUUCAUAUAGACUGUGGAAAUACAUGUAGCAGUCUCUGUUAAUAUCAGAGAAAUUUUCAUCAAUGAAAAUUCUUGGACAACCUCCUUUCGUAAUCAAGCAAGGUUUACCUAAAAACACACAAAAAUACCAUAAUUAGUAUGUACUGAAAUUUGUUGGCUAUAUAUGGAUACAGUAAUCCAUAAUACAGUCAAAUAUGGAUUAGGAAUCAUAAAAUUAGUUUGGAGAACAUCACCUCCAAACUCUGAUAUCCUCCAAAAACGCAGAACAACCAUGAUUGGUUGAUUGUGAUAAUUCACAUCACUUAUUCUGUUAGAAUACUUCCUAACAAAUUCUUCACAGAAACUUCCGGUUGCAACACAAUUAAUGGAAUGGCCACUACAUGUAAUGAUACAUAAUAAAAAUAUAAUGACACUUUUGAAAAUCUGUUAACUAAUACAACUCAUAUAGACGUAGACUAUAUUGAUUUUCCAAUAAAACUUACGCAAGGUCCUUUAAUGUAAAAGUAACAUAGCUUGAAUCCAAAUCACUCCCUCUUUCAAGUAGUCUUCCAAUAGGAGAGACACUCCUAACCACUCCAACAACAUCUAAAUAUGGGAAUAAGUCAAAAAUUAGGAUAUAAGAGUAAAUAAAAAAUAAUAAAAAAAAUUUGAAACUCUAAUCCAGAAUCUUACCAACAACGAAUUGCUUCUCUUCUUCUGAUGGAUUAUUGAUCCUUGGAAAAUCAAGACACUGCAGGAAUUCGGAAGUGUAUUUCUUUUUGUAGUAAGCCAUAGUUGUCUUCUUAUUAAAAGAAAGUUGGUAAGGAUGAUUAGAGUUCUUUUCAUGGGAUGAAGGUGGGAUCACAUCAAAAUCCAAAAGAAAGUACCACUUUCCUUCUUUGAGAUUUCUAGGAAAAUCCCUCUUGUAUGAAUCUGGAGGAGCAACAGCAUCAAUUCUGGUACCCUGAAAUAUAAAACGUUAAAAAGAUUUGUCUCCCUCAUUAUCUAUAAUAAAUCUAUAUAAAAAAUGAUAUAAAAAGGAGAAAAUAACAUAUACCUUUUCAUCUACCAAAAUCAUGGUAGUGUGAUCAUUAGGAUGCUUGGGAGGAUGAUUCCAAAUGCUCAAGAUCUUAACAACGACAAACCAUGCCUUCUUCUCAAGAGUUAAAUCAGUUAAAAAAAUUUUCAUUUGAAAAAGAUUAGAGUAAUCGGCUGAAAAGGAUGAAAGCUAGAAAUUUUUUUGUUUGUGGAAACUCUUGGGAGAACUUGAAUGUGAUAUAUGUAGAAAUCAAUAUAUAUAUUUAUACACAUCUUGAAAAGGCCAAACCUAUUGCAUGACCAAUAGCAACAAUUUAGAAAAGCCAAAAAAAUGAUUUUUAUAUAUUACUAAAGUAGAGAAAACAAAACAUUAUAUGUGACAACCAAUUUGCAAAACUUGACCAUUGCAUAUGAUUGAUGUAUUGGCAAAAGUUAACAGCUUUUUUGGUUUUCAAAAUUAAUGUUUUCUAUGACAUCUCAGAAACUUAAUAUAAGCUUAAAAUACAAUAUCAAAUAAGCUUAAAACUUGUAAGAAUGGGGGGAGAGGGGGAGAGGGUGAGAGGGGGGGUUUACGAAACAAAUAAUACAUUCAAUAUAGAAUAUAUAGAAUCACAAUGCUUCAACUUUUUAAAAUCUUUGCAUUGGAAAACAGUUUUUUUAGUAUUUUCAUUUCCAAUAUAGUUCAUAACAGAUUAUAAGAGAAAGAUUAUUUGGUUAACAAAAAAAAAACUAUUCAGUAACUUAUUUAAGUUGUAACGUACUGACAUUAAAGGUCCAUCAUAUUCACGAAUGAUAUAAGUUCAUAACAAUGCAAAUGAUUUUUGGCAAAGUACAUUUAAACAUAAUUAAAAGUCUCUGCAAAUCUUAAAAUUAAAAGAGAGUCAAAUAACAAAAAACAAAAAGAGAUAACAGGAAUAUAUCAAAGUACAAACGGAUAAAACAGAUGAUUCAAUUUUAUCUUCCUAGCUUUGUCUUAGUUAGAAUCCACUUCCUCCAUCUGAUCAUCAUUUGCCUCGGCGAUUGCAAAUGAUCGACUAAAUUAUAAAAAGCAAAGAGGAAAUAUUAGUUAUCUUAAUCUCAUAUUAAUUAAAAUAUAAGAAAACCAUAAAGUAUGAAAUUACAUGUAUCUGUAGUUAUCGAAAUCUGGAAAUUGUUCAUCAAUAAAAACCCUUGAACAGCCAGCUACACUCAUUAAGCAAGGUGACCCUAUAGAGGAAUUAACAAAGAGAGUUUUAGAUUAAAUAAAUAUGCAUAUAUAGUUUUUGAUCAAAUUAAUAGAAAUAAUGUAAUUCAAUAUAGUUAAGGACCUUUUAUUUCUGAGAUCCUCCAGAAUCGCAUAACAGCCACGAUAGGAUCAUUGUUGUAGCUAAGAGAACUUAAACGUGUAGACAAUUUGUUAACAAACAUCUCACAAGAUUCUCCAACUGCAACACAUAUCAUCUUUUUGCCACUAAAAAUAUAAAGAACAUAGAGAUUAUUCAUGUUAAUACAAUCUAGCUUCCUAAAAUUCUAAUGUAACAGAAAACAUAAUAAAAAGAGAAGCUAAACUUACUCAUUGUCCUUAAUCUUGAACAUCACAUGUCUUGCUUCAUAAUCAGUUUGUCCUAUACCACAGACAAAAGGCACUGUUCGAAUGGGAGACACACUUGUUAUCAAACCAAUAGCAUCUACACAGGAAAACAAAUAUAUUCAGAUUAAUGACUCUUGACAAUAUAUCUAAAUUAUGUAUAUAGAACUUACCAGUUACAUACUCCUUUUCUUGUGUUCCAGCAUAUUUGAUUUCAUCAUAAUCAAUGAAAUCCAUGUAAUUGUUGAUUGAUCUAGGAGUUAUGUGAACCAUUUUUGUUUCCCACUUACAUUGAAUCAUGAAAGGGUGCCAAGAGUAUCUAGAAAUGGGAUUUUGGGGAACAACGUUGAAAUCAGACAUGAAGUACCAUUCACCUUCUUUGAGAUUCUUUUUGAAAUUGUGUCUGUAGAGACCAUUUGGGAUUAUAGCAUCGAUUUUGUUUGCCUACAUAAGAGAUUUUAUAAGAGUUGUGAUAUUGUAAGAUGUCCACAACUAAGUCUGUGAUAAAACAAAUAAAACUAAAAAUAAACUAUAACUCAUAGGUAACACAUACCUUCUCAUCAACCAAAAUCAUGCUGGUAACCAUACUCGAAUUUGGUGUGGAAUGAAGAUUCCAAAUACUCAAGAUCUUUAAAUGAACCUUCCAGUUCAUUCUCUCGUUGUUCAAAUCAGAAACAAAAUCCAUGGGAUAGGAAGAGUUUGACAUUUAGGUUUAGUUUUACUUCACGGUUGUCUUGUUAAUGGAAGAGAAGAGAAUUAGAAAGCAAACAAAAUAAAUAUAAGUUGGUUAAAAAUUUUGAUAGUCUGGAUUCUGAUAAUUUAAACAAAUACUAAUAAGUAUAACAUUCCUUUCAAAAAACUACUCAAGUGUUUUGUUUACGUUUUACGUCAGCUAGAAAUGAUAGACAUUGGGUAUAUCAAAAGCCAAAAAUCCGGUUUUGAAUGAUGACUGUUGUUUUACAGUAUAGGAUUUUAUUAGUUUUACUUCCCAACGAAGUAUUUAUAUUAUAUGUAUAGAUGAAUACAAAUCAUUUCGAUAGUAGCUAAUAAUAUAUUUUAUAUAUUGGGGAACCUACAUUUUUCCAAAAGGCUUUUGAUUAGUUUUGAGAAGAUUUUGAGUGAACUGUUAAAUCAAAAGAAAUCUAUAUACUUUGUCGUUUAGUAGCUCUUAUGAUAAUAAUUUAGAAAACAUCAAACCAAUGGAAUAUAAAGAGUUAAGGAGAUUAUAAAGAGUUAUGAAAUUAAAAUGUUAUAGAGCAAUUCAUGAGAUUAACUUGAUAGCAAAUGUAGGAUAACAUUGUUUGAAACAUAAAUAAAAAAAUUAUCAAGCCGAAAUUUGAAUCAUAACAACCUAAAUAGAUAAAACCAAUGAAAAUAAAACAUCAAGGGAACUUCCAUCAUCAUCAGAUUCUCUUAGUCAUCAUCAUCUUCAUGUUCAUCUUCAUCAGUGAAGCUACGACUGUGAAAUAACAUAGACCAAAUUAGUGUGUCUCCUUGUAACAUUAAUAGUCAAUUGUAUAAUUGGUAAAAAUGACACUUACACGUAUUGUGGAAUAUCCAAGUCAUGAAAAGUUGGAUCAAGGUACAAACGGGAACAACCAAAUUCACUCAUCAAGACAUUUCUUCCUAUAGAACCAUUGUAAAAUAUAUAAUUUAGAAAUAUUAACUAUUUCAAACACAUAAGAUAGUCUAAUUAACAAAAGGAAACAAAGAUUUUUUAGAACUAACCAUCAAACUCUGUAAUUCUCCAGUUGCGAAGAACAGCCACGAUUGGUUCAUAAUUAUAAGUAACCAAGUCGACCUUAGCAGACCAGUUGGUCAUAAAGAAAUCACAACACAUACCAACAGCAAUGCACUCAAUUAUUCCACCCCUAAAUAAUAUUUCAUGAAUAGCAUUAUGUUUAUAUGUUUUAAGAUAUCAUAAAACAUCUUUGAUCUUACAUAUAUAAUAAAACAUAUUAAGAGAAAAACUUACAUAUUGUCCUUUAUCUUAAAAGCCACAAAUCUUGACUCAUUGUCUGAACCUCCUCGAGGGCAAACAUAAGGAAAUCUUCGAGUAGUAUUGACAGCAACAAUCACACCAAUAGCAUCUAAACUCAAAAAAUGGAAAUAUAAACGAAAUAUAAUCAGUAAUCAAAAAUAUAUGGAUUCCACAUAAAAAAAAAUUUCAAGAAAUCUCUACCAGUCACAAUUUCUUUAUUCGAUUCCAUAGCAUAUUGGACUUCAAUAGGGAAAACAAACUCAAAGAAGUUACUCCAUGAUCUCUGUUUCACAGGCCACAUUCCUGUUUCCCAGAUAAACCUGAUUUCAAAUAGAGAUGGUGAAUAUCUGAUUCUAUUCUCUGGUUGGAUAACCUGGAAAUCAGAGAGAUGAAACCAGAAUCCUUCUUUCAGUACUGGUCGAAAAUUCCAAAGAUAUGUCCCAGAUGGAAUCCUUGCAUCGAUUCUUCUACCCUAUAGAACCAAAACAUUUAAAAUACUUGUAUGAGAAACAUAAAAAUAGUUUUAUUGCAAGAUAAAACUAAACAGAAAGUGAAGCAACAGCUUGAUACCUUUUCAUCUGCCAAGAUCAUGAGUGUUUCAGAUCCAGCAGAACCCAAAUCAUGUUCCCACAUACACAUAAUCUUAACAUAAAUCCUCCAUUUUGUCGAGUUUACAUGCAAAUCAGACACACUGCGAACUAACUCCAUGGGAUAUACACGUUUGUUUCUUUGCAUUGAAUGCAGAGGAGUCAAUGGUUUCUGUGAUGAUAUGAGAAGAAAAUAGGUAUAUAUAGACGAAUAUGACUGAAUAGAUUCAAAGAAUAUAUUUAGAAUUAGAUAUGGGAAUAUGAAUCGUUUGGAUGUGUUUGUUUGAUAUAUCUCAUUUAUUAUUAUUUAAAUAUGAGGUAGAUAAUGAUUAAGAAUGAUUAUCAUGAUAAUACAACAGAAUAACCCAAUAUACAAAUGAUUGCAUAUAAUCAAAGUUUCCAUAAAUUUAGGUCUUCAAGAUACUCAAUAUUGAAUUCGGAUUCAAUAUAAAUUAUCAGCAAACUGUUGUAGAACUUGUUAUAGAUUUUGGAUAUUAUUUAGAUAUUUUAUUGUUAUUAAGAUUACAAAAUUAUAUUUACAAAUUUAUGAAGGAUCUAAACUACCAUACAACUAAUUCAACUGAUAUUGUAUUUUAAUUAACUGUUUGUUGAUUUAUUUACAGGAUUAUGCUAAAGCAGUUACAACAAAUUGGAUAAAGAUCAGUCUGGAAAAAGCCAUUAAAAUAAGUAAGUCCCGUUAAAGUAAUCAUGCUAUACUUUAUUUUCAGUUAUAAUGGUUUUAGGAUUAUGGAUAGUUUAUAAAGUAGAAUCAAUAAGAUUUCUCUCUUGUUAGAUAUACCGGAGACAGCAUAUGAAUAUGGCUUGGUUCAAAAGCUAUUAGAUCUUAAAUUUACUCAAUGAAGGUACUUAUUUUUGAAAGCUUAGAUAGAAAUGAAAGCAAGGGGAAACAAUGUUUGAAAAGAUAACUAACAUAAAAUAAAACCUAAAUUCAUCAGAUGAACUUUAUUCUAAAUUGUUGAGUCUUGGCUCCCUCACUUUGCUCCAUUCUGACCUUCGAUCUUCUCAACCUUAAUCUUCUUCAAAAGAACCUUUUUCUGUUCUUCUUCACUUGCUUUGGUGAUGACUUGUUCACCUGCCUCAUCAAGUUUGUUUAUGAACUUAGGAAGAUCAUGUUCCUUCGGAUUUUCUACAUCAAUGACACCAUCAACUUUAACAUCGGAUUGUUUUUCCAUGCAUUGUUUCUUGCUUGUGGAGUUUUGAUCAGAUCCAUCCGAGAAAUCUUCUUUUCUCUUUGAAGAUGGGGUAGAAAAAACAUCAUUGGAAGUGCCCUCCUUAUCAGAAUUAUUAGUCAGCAUCAAAACCUAAAACAUAUUUCGUUUUUAAUUAGGCGAGUAACUCACAAUAAACAUUACCACAUAAUAUAAAACACACUCAAAUUAGGAAAAUGUAUUACCUGGUCACUGGAACUCAUGGAUGAAAGAUCCAAAGAAUAAUUACAUUCAUCUUUAGGGUCAGCUUGAUUGAGGUUCUGACUUGUUAAAACCUCAGUCACUUUGUAUUCAUCAUUUCCUCUUGAGAUGUUUUCUUGCUCAACACUUACCACAAAUUGAUAAGUCUUUCCAAUGAUGUUUUUAACUACAUCAGGAGGUGGAAGAGGAUCAUCAAGUUCCUGUAUAAAGUAUAGGUAUAAGAUUAUAAUCUAGCAAGAAAAGAAUGGAGCUAAAUUCAUAUGAUUACAUAUUACCGCUUCAUCAGUGCCCUCCAAGAGUUCAUAAGCAGGAGUUCCGAUUAUUUUCUCAACAAAACUAUCAAACAACAUAAGCUUGGUCUCCCCCGUGUUGUCCAUAACGUCUAGGUGGAGCCAGUACCUAAGACAGAUAUAAAAAUUGUGAGAACAUAUCUUAUUAAUCACGAAGACAAAUCUGUAAUUUAAGGUAGGUUUAAAGCAAUGACCUUGCUUCAACUGCAGAAACUUCUGCAUUACAUUUCUCACAUCUGUUCAAUAUCUUCUUGGCACCAUCGCUAAGAAGUUUCUUAGUUUGGAAGACUUUUUUGUUACAUUUGAUGUGUGCAUAGUAAUACCAGGAGUAGUCCAAGUCAAUUUGCAAAAUGGUGCAGAAGAUCUUAACCUUCUCAAUCUAGAAAAAUAAUGUAGGGUGAGUGAAGAUUUAAUAUAAUUCCCAAAUACAGUUAGAAUAUUGCCUAUAUUAAAGCUGUAGCAAAUACCUCAUAAGAGGCCUUAAGCUCGGCAAUAGUCUUGAGAGGUAACCCUAGGGACCUCUGUUCACGCACCUUUAGAGGCUCGAAUCUAGGCUUAGGUCCCAUGAUAGUCAAGGCAAGUCCAUCAGAUGGAAGCCUGAACCACAACAAAUUAAAGAUUAAAAGCAAAAUUUUAAUCUAUUACAAAAACAAAAGUAUGUAAAAGUUUGUAGAUUACUCACAUUCUCCUAAAGUCAUCAACAACCGGCAAAAUUGGGUUGACUAAAACAUCCGAAGCAUCAAAAGCAUUAGAAAUACUCCUAAUCUCUGCAAGUCAUAAUGGCAAACAACGAUAAAUAUAUGAUGGUGUGGUUUUAUAUAGGGUCAUGUUAUUCACCAAUAAUAACAUUACAUACCUUUGUAUUCUCCUAACUUGGCCCACCUUAUCAAACAAAUAACGACAGAACCAAGAGACUCUUGCGCAACUUUGCUAAUUUGGUCAGCAAACUUUCCCCAUAGUGAACAUGGUAGACGGUUAUCACUAACCAAAGAAAAAUUAUAGAAUUAAAAAACCAAGAUAAUAAAUCAGAAGAAAAGGUUUAAUAAAAUUAUGUAAAAAAAAAAACAAAAAUGCUUACUCAGUGUCUCUUAGCUGAAAAUCAAUCUUCUUGGUAGGUUUACCAUGGACAUCAAUUAUUUGAGCUUCUCCAACGUUAACCAAUUGACCCAGAACAUCUAAAACAGAAUCAUAGAUGUAAAUAUAUAUCCCAAUGAUUAACGUAAUAUUUAAAUACAAAAUAAAUAAUUAUAAAAAAUACUCACCUACCAACUUAUUUUGAUCCAAGUUACCAGACAGAAUAGUUGUAAAAUCAACUAAGUCAAGCCAAACCUCAUUAGAAAUGGAUGGUGAGGGAGAAAAGACAGUAGCGUAGUGGAAAUUGAUUCUGUAGGAAUGAGUUGUUGAUCGAUAUGUUCCUGUUGCCUUAUUAACCGAGAAUUCCUCAAUUAUCUUCCAAUCUCCAUUCUUCACAUAACGCUGGAAUUUGCUGAUGUGUUCCUUUUUGAUGCCUGCUUGAAUUUUGUUACCCUGUAAAAGAAAUAAGAUGAGUUAUAACGUAACUCAUAUAUAUUACAAUGAUAAAUGAAAAAUGUUUGAAUAGCACUUACAUCCUUAUCAGCUAGAAUCAUUUCUAACGACAUGCCAGAACCUUUUGUGAAAUGAAUCCAGGAAUGAAGUAUUCUAACUUGAAUUCUCCAAGCCGUUUUUAAAGGCUUCAAGUUGUUGACUGGUGUGUAUCGAGUAAGCUGAGCCAUUGUUGUGUUUUUUUUGUUUUUUGCAGGUUAAAAGAAAAGAGAAAGAGCCGAUUUUGGUGAGUAUAAUGGUAAAACGAAGAGGGUUAUUUAUAGUUGUAGAUAGUCGAUUAAAAUCUUUGAAGAUUUGGGAAGAUAUUAGUUAGAUAAUACUUAGUAAAAGGUAUAUUCUAAGGUAGCAAAGAGGAAUAUAGAAUUAUAACAUAUAUAACAAACAGAUUUGACAAUAAUUUCAAAAAUUUUUAGGAAACUGAAAUAUAUUUUUAGGAUUCCAGUUAUAUGGUUUAGCUUCAUCAAAGAUUACGAAUCUUACUUAGAAACAAAGAUUUAGGUAACUUAAAUUAUUUUUUGUUUAUAUAGGAUUCGAGUUAUAUUGUUUAGCUUCAUCAAAGAUUACGAAUCUUACUAACAUUUUCAAUCUCAUCUUGUAAAAUGAUAUAUAAUUUUCGAAUAGCAUUUUUUUAUAUAAAUUUUUUUAUAAUAAUUUUUUUUUAUAAUAAAUUGGCUUGAUAUAAAAUGUUUUCAAUGAUAUAUCAUUUUAUGUUUACAAUUUCAAUAACAUUUUUAUAAUUCACUUUAUAACAUGUUUGAAUGAUGGAUUAGUAUAUAACAUUUUGAGUAACAUUUUCAAUGUGUUAAAUUUUUAAAUUGUCGAAUUGUGUUAAAUUAUGACUCUCGAAUUGAUUAUUGAACAUCAUUGUGUUAAAUUGUCGAAUUGAUUAGAAUAAGACAUUCUUGAAUUAUAUUGAAUUAGAUUAAACUAUAUUAAUUAUUGAAAUUAUAUAAAAAAAUCUUUUGAUAUCUUUAAACCCGUUAAUUAUUUAAACCCGCCCGUUGACCCGUUAAAUAUAUAUUAGUGAAAUGGAAAAAAAUGUUUAUAAUUAGAUAUCUCUAAUGGCAUAUAUUGUAAUUUUUUACAAAAUCUAAGUUAUGAGCCUUAGGAUGAACUUCCCAAAUAUUAGUAUAGGAUCUUACUCCUUGAUACUCGGAGCCGGUUUACAUAUAUUCCUCUAGAUAAAUAUGUAUAUUGGGAUUAGAUUUUUUUGUUAAGAAAGUAUUGUUAUCGGGUUGUUUUGGGUGAGAUCUUGUAGUUGUGUGCUCACCCCUAUAUAUAUAUAUAUAUAUAUAUAUAUAUAUAUAUAUAUUGUCGAGAAGUAAACACACAAAAAAAAUUUAGACCUUUGUAACUUGUCGGACGAAAGAAAAGUUCUCAGAAACUAAGACGGAAGAAAACAUGAAUUUUUUUCAAAGACUAAGAUCUAUGUAAGGAAACAUAAACACACUACAAACAAGAAAUUUUAAAGCCGAAAUCGAAAGUAAUCGAAAAAAAAAACUAAGGAAGCACACAAACUUAAAAUUCGAAGAAAAACACUUGACACAAGUACCAAAGAAGAAGAAAAAUAUAAGUUAAUUUUGGUGACACGUCAGCAGGGGCGAUUUUUUUGGCGAUUAGGUUUUUUUCGUUUGCCUCACGCAAGGAGUGCUCAGGCGGCCAGCCGCCGGGUUCCCUAAGAUGGUGGAGGGUGUCGGAGAGGUCUCCAUGCCGGUUUCAAGUCAGUCACAGGAGGUUUCAAGUCAGCCUAAAGAGGUAUCCAGUCCUAAGUCGUAUGCAAAUGCCGUUGGUAGCAGGCCAAGCCUUGCUAAGUUUGAUGUAAAAGUUUCAAUGGUGGAUGGUAAGGCCAUGGUGGCUGUACCGGAUGAAGUUAUGAAUGAUACAGUCCCCCUGUGGGAAGAUUUUCUAAUCGGCCGGUUCCCGUCUACUGCCCCUCAUGUAGCCAAGAUCCAUGUCAUAGUGAAUAAGAUCUGGAACUUGGGCGACAAGAGUAUUCGGAUUGAUGUAUUUGAGGUCAAUUCCACCACUGUCAAGUUCCGGAUACGUAACGUCUCUGCAAGGAUGCGUGCGCUAAGGAGAGGCAUGUGGAAUGUUUGUGAGCAGCCAAUGAUGAUGUCAAAAUGGACUCCCAUAGUGGAGGAUGCUCAGCCAGAGAUUAAAACCAUGCCGCUGUGGGUAAAAAUUAAAAAUGUUCCGCACUCUAUGUUUACGUGGCCGGGUCUCAGUUUCUUAGCAAGCCCUGUGGGUGAACCGAAGAGGCUGCAUCCGGACACGGAGCUCGUUUCAAGCUUUGAGGAAGCAAAGGUCUUCUUGGAAGCUGAUUUAUCAAAAGAGCUUCCAAAGACUUAUUUUUUUCAAAUACGAGGAGAAGAAGUACGUAUUGAAUUUGAAUACCCAUGGCUACCACAAAAAUGUGGUAUUUGCAAAAAGUGGGGACACUCGGAUGAUGGUGGUUUGGCAAAUAUUGGCCGAGCUGGCUCUCCGAGAGUAUCUCGCUCCCCAGUGGCUAGACCAGAUUCGCAAAUAAUUGUUGCACCAGUCUCAAACAGUAUUACAGAAAAGAAACUUCAAAUGAUGUUCUUGAAUUGAGGCUAAGCCCAAAGAGUGUGAAUCUACAAACAGGUAGAGAAGAGAAUGUCACUGCGAAGGUUUUGUCGGUUGUGGAAACAGAACUCCCUGUUUCUCCGGUCGUGAAGCAAUCCGUAACAGGACAGGAUGGUGAAUGGAAGAAUGUCCCCAAUUCAGGGGGGCAACACUCUAAAGGGUCAGAUAAAAGCUUGGUUUAUGGUCAGGUUCGUCUAAUAUCUCCUUCACGGUUUGAUGUUUUGCAGGAUACUCAAGAAGAGGGUGAAAUCAUUCCGGAAACAGAAACAGUUGAAAAGGCUGAAUCCACUCCGGCUAUUGAAAAAAAAGACACAGCAUUGGAAACACAUCCAAAGUCUUAAUUGAAUAAGGAUUCGGUUGCUUUGAGGGUGCAGCUUCCACGUGAUUCAAAAAAUUCACACAAGUUUUUAUCAGAAAAUUCCCAGCGAGCAAAGGGCAAUGUCCAGAGCACUUUCAGAAAGAAGAAUUCCAAAUCUAAACAUUAAUGUCGGGUUUCUUUUGGAAUAUUCGAGGUCUGAAUAAGUCCAAGAAACAACGUGUUAUUAGAAAAUGGAUUCGGGAAAAUUCUUUUCAGUUUGGAUGUUUACUUGAAACGAAAGUCAAAGAAAACAGAGUUACUGGUGUGAAGGAGAGAACUGUUGGUGACUGGAGUCUAGAGGCUAAUUAUGAUUUCAGUAGAUUGGGAAGGAUUUGGGUGACUUUGGAGCAAACAAACUAAGUUGCAGGUGCUCUUUUAUUUAUGCUCUUAAUACUCCAGAGGAAAGAAAGGAAUUGUGGCGUGAUAUCCAACAGCAACAUGACCUUGCUGUAAUUCGUGGGAAGCCUUGGUCUAUUUUUGGUGAUUUUAAUGAGACACUAGACAUUGAGGAACAUUCUAAUUCUGCUACUAAUCCAAUGGUCUCUUCGGGGAUGAGGGACUUUCAGGACGUAGUAAGAUAUUGUUCUCUUUCAAACUUGAGAACUCACGGUCCCCUUUUUACUUGGUGCAACCGACAAGAGCAUGGUCUAAUAUGUAAGAAGCUGGACAGAGUUUUACAUAAUGCUGAAUGGCUUAGAGAGUAUCCGAACUCUUAUUGUGUCAUGGAAUCCGGGGGCUGCUCGGACCAUCUCCGUGGUAAGAUCUUCUUGGAUUCAGAAAUUCAGAUUCCAAAAGGGCCUUUCAAGUUUUCAAAUGUUAUUGCUUCUCAGCCGGAGUUUCUUAUUCAAUUGGAGGAAUAUUGGAGAGGGUAUCCGACUCUGUUUCACUCUACAUCAGCGUUGUUUCGACUCUCAAAACAGCUAAAGCAACUCAAACCAUCACUGCGAGUUCUUAGUCGUAACACAUUGUCAGAUAUAUCAAAUAAAUCUGCAGAAGCUCUUCAGGAAUUAGAGGCAGCCCCGGCUCAGAUGGGUAGGGCAGAGGUGCGACGGCCUCGGGCUUUUUUUUUUUAUAAAAAAAUUUACAUAUAAAAAAGGCCCAAAUAUUUUUUAAAAAUAUUAUUAAUAUGAGAAUUAUAUUUUAAGAGGUCUAAUUAUUUAUAAGAAAAUGUAUAAAAAGGCCCAAAAUUUUUAAUAACAAUUUUUACUAUAAAAACUCCGCAAAAAUUUUAAAAAUUAAAUAAAUUUUCUCUUUGUAUAUAAUAAUAGGCCAAAAAAAAUUUUUUUGCCCUAAGGCUCUCAAAUAUAUUGAGCCGGGGCUGAUUAGAGGCAAGACAGUUGAGUACUCUCUCUAAUCCGACAAAGGUAGAAAUGGCCAUGGAGUCCUUAGCUGUUGAAAGAUGGGAGAGGUUAUCGGGUUUAGAGGAGGGUUUUCUGAAACAAAAAUCAAAGUUGCACUGGUUAGAUGUGGGGGACAAGAACAAUAAGGCAUUUUAUAAUGCUACAAAGGAAAGAAAUGCUCAAAACUCUAUUCAUGAGAUUUUAGACCCUAAUGGCAUUUGUCUUAAGAGUAUGGAGGAAAUAAAAGCGGAAGGGGUUCGGUUUUUCUCGGAACUAUUGACACAUAAACCGUCGUACUAUGUAGGUAUUGAGGUUGAUGAUCUUCGGGAGCUGCUUCCCUAUCGCUGUCCUCCGGCAAAGCGGGAUCAUCUUCUUGCGGAUGUUACGGAGGAUGAGGUGAGAAAGGUUUUGUUUUCUAUGCCUACAAAUAAAUCGCCGGGACCGGAUGGUUACACAGUGGAGUUCUAUAAGGCAGCUUGGUCAAUUAUUAGAAGUGAUUUCACAGUUGCAAUACAAUCUUUCUUCAAGUUUGGUUUCUUGCCAAAAGGACUAAACGCGACAAUUCUAGCUCUUAUCCCAAAGACGAUAGAUGCACGGGUGAUGAAAGAUUAUAGACCCAUUUCUUGCUGCAAUGUGGUGUAUAAGACUAUCUCAAAAAUAUUGGCUAAUCGGUUAAAGACCAUUCUCCCCGAUUUCAUUGCUCCGAAUCAGUCAGCGUUUAUUGAGGAUAGACUUCUAAUGGAAAACUUACUACUUGCUACUGAAUUGGUGAGAGAUUAUCACAAAGAAGGUGUGUCUUCUCGUUGUGCGAUGAAGAUAGACAUUUCGAAAGCUUUUGAUUCCGUACAAUGGGAUUUUUUGUUGAAUGUGCUCGCAGCAAUGGACCUACCAGAACAAUUCAUUCACUGGAUUUCUCUAUGUAUUUCAACGGCCUCUUUCUCUGUUCAAAUAAAUGGAGAGCUUGCUGGUUUUUUCAAGAGUGAAAAGGGGUUGAGACAGGGAUGCUCUCUCUCUCCAUAUCUAUUUGUGAUCUGUAUGAAUGUUUUAUCAUCUCUCCUUGAUAAGGCUGUGGUGGAAAAAAAAAUUGGUUUUCACCCGAGAUGCAAAAAUAUGAAGCUUACACACUUAUGUUUUGCAGAUGACAUAAUGGUUUUUACGGAUGGUAGAGCAGCCUCUAUGGAAGGAAUUCUCGAUGUUUUCAAGGAUUUUCACAAGAUCUCAGGAUUAAGUAUAAGUCUUGAGAAGUCAACUCUGUUCUUAGCCGGUAUAUCUGCUCAUAACAAAGUUGAGAUUCUAGCCAGAUUUCCUUUCGACUCUGGUGCAUUACCAGUCCGCUAUUCGGGAUUAUCUCUGCUAACAAAGCGGAUGACUCUAUCUGAUUGUCUUCCAUUGCUUGAAAAAAUAAGAGGCCGGAUUAGUUCAUGGAAAAACCGGUUUCUAUCCUUUGCGGGAAGAUUACAACUACUACGUUCCGUGAUCGCAAGUCUUACCAACUUCUGGAUUGCUGCAUUUCGAUUACCUUCAGCCUGUGUAAGGGAAAUAGAAAAGAUAUGUGCUGCAUUUUUGUGGUCGGGUCCGUCUCUCAACACAAAGAAGAACAAGGUAGCGUGGAGGGAUGUUUGUAAGCCAAGAGAUGAAGGUGGUUUGGGGCUCAAAUCUGUGGUUGAAAUGAAUAAGGUAAGCUGUUUUAAGCUCAUUUUGCGGAUAGUCUCAAAUCCAAAUUCUCUCUGGGUAAAUUGGAUAAAAAGAGAACUCAUUCGAUCCGGUUCAUUCUGGUCUGUCAAAGAAACCACCUCUUUGGGCUCUUGGAUGUGGAAGAAGUUGCUCAAAUACAGAUCGCAGGCCAAGGUUUUUCACUCAAUGGAAGUUAAAAGUGGGUUACAAACAUCCUUUUGGUAUGAUCACUGGUGCUCUCUUGGUCGAUUAUAUGAUAUUCUUGGAGUGCGGGGUUUCAUUGAUUUUGGAGUUUCCUCUAAAGUUACGGUUGCUACAGUCCUAGCAAAUCACAGAGCUAGGCAUCACCGUCUAGAUAUUUUAAAUCAAGUUGAGGCGGAGCUAGAGAGACUUCGAAGCAAGGGACAAUGCCUUGAUCCGGAUGUAUCCUUGUGGAGAAGACCAAAUAACAAGCUCAGAUCACGGUUCAUCACUUCUGAAACUUGGAAACAACUCCGAACUGUAGGGCCAAAAAUAAGCUGGGCUAAGAGUGUUUGGUUCCCGGACUCUAUUCCGAAACACUCUUUCCUGCUAUGGCUUGCGGCAAAAAACAGACUAGCCACGGGUGAGUGUAUGGUCUCUUGGAACAGGGGAGUGAAUCCGUCAUAUGUUUUUUGUCAAGCUCCGAUGGAGACACGAGAGCACAUUUUCUUUUCUUGUGUCUUCUCUUCGCGAAUCUGGGAGGAGCUGGCACGUCGACUUCUUCAACAACGCUACACUACCAGUUUCAUAGAGGUACUGAAUCUUCUAUCCAACUCCACAAUCACAGGCACGGUUGGCUUCAUUCUUCGCCUUCUUUUCCAAGCUACUACCCACUCUAUUUGGAUAGAGCGGAACAAACGAAGGCAUGACGAAUUACCAAGUACUGCAGAUCAGUUAAUCAAGAUGAUUGAUCGAUUGAUACACAAUAAAAUCUCAUCUAUCCGGCGACAGGAUCCCCGUAAACACGAAGAUGGCCUUCGUGUAUGGUUUGAGUCCAGAAGCUAACAUUCUUUUCUUUUAUUUCAGAUUCAGUUCAAAAACAAGUUUGAAUUAAGGUUGCAUUCAUUGUAAAAACGUUUUUUUGGUUGAAUAAGUUUUACAUUCAUUCAAAAAAAAAAAAAAAAAGUACCAAAGAAGACAUUUUCUUUAGAAGAAAUUGUGAAUCCGAUUUAUCAUUGCUGCCCAUGGCCACCCUAUCGAUAAUAUCUAUUUUUUUCUAUCAUAGGAGAUGAUUUCUCGAAACCAAUUAACUAAGACUUCAUAACCCGACAAAUAAAAAUCAAAAAACAGAAUCUCAUAAAACACUUCCGAAUACUACGGAGACGAUGGUCAUCAUGGAAAGCCUAGAACAAAAUUGUAUAACAAAUAAAUCUAUCGAACAAAAUACUAAAACAAUAAAACAAAAUUUAGAAUAACAACAAUAUAUUUCAUUUUUUUUUUUCUUCCUACCAAAAAAAUAUAUCUCAUUUUUUUUCUUUUACAAUAUUUGGGAUAAAGCUUUUUUUUUCUUCUUCUUCCAUUUAUUAAUUCAGUUUCGUUAAAGACUCAAAAACUUCCAAAACUCGAUCGAUAUAUCGGACUCAGCGACCCUCGCACAACUACUCUGCUAAAUCUACACACAACACAAAAAACCUCGAUCGCCGGCAACAAUGGCGAAGCUCACACUUCUCUUCUUCCUUUCCUUUCUCAUCUUCUCCUCAUGCAUCGCUUUCCAAUCAGACGAACUCCUCGUUGACGACGAUGAAUUUGGUCUAGAAGGAGCAAAGCCCCGCUCCACCGAUCUUCACACAUCAUCUUCUUCUUCUCCACAGCAGCAGCAACAGACUCCAACUAUCCGGAGAAGAUACUCAGAUCCUACCGAUUUGGAUUCCAAAGUCCAAUUUACUCUCGAACAUGCUUUCGGAGAUUCCGAUUUCUCCCCCGCCGGUACUUUCUCCGCUCGUCUCAAAACCUGGAGUCAUGGCGGAAAGGUAUCGAGAUUCGGUUUAUUGAUGUUAGGUUUUUGGAUCGAAUCUGUUCAUGUUACUUCGAUCUUAUCAAGUUUAAUCUGCAAAUUCUGGAAUUGGCUUUGCUCUGAAGUGAAUUGAUCUAAUUAAGAUUGUUAAAUUAUCUGAUAUUUAAUUGUAAUUAACUAGAUUUGAUCUUGUGUGGAUGCAGACAUUAACGAAGCUGCGAUUCUCUAGGAAUGAUUUUUCUGCUGAAGAGAAAGAAGCAUUCAAGGUAUUAUUCUAAUGUUAUUGUUGUAUCAGUUGUUUCUCUAAUUUCCUUGGAAUUGAGAGAUGUAAUGCUUUUUUUGUUGGAAUGUAUUUGUAGAAUCUGUUGAAAGGAGAUGACUUUUAUCGGAUUAGGCUUCCAUCUAAUGUGGUCAGUCCACCAGGGAGAGAGUUUGUGAUUGCAUCAGUGAGAGCUGUAAGUCAAUGUCAACCUUUUAGGUUGAUUUCUUUGUGAUUUUUCUUUGAUUGUUUGCUAGUGCUUUCGCAUGUAUGGAGCUGUAAAUUACAGGCUUUGUUUUAGUCUAUAUAAAAGACUCUUUGUAACCAUGGUGGCUGGCUGAAAGAUUAGUUCAUUUAGUUUCACUCAUUGAACUCCUAGUAGGCUACAGCUUUCUAGUAAUAAUCUAAUUUAUUUCUACUCUUUCAAGAUAUGAGAGCUUGUUUGUAUAAUUGGAUCGGUAUGAAAUGGUUGGUCGUUCUGUAAAACACUUACAAAUUUGUUUCUAGGCUAGACUGACAAAUACAACACUCGUUUAGGCACCCUUCUUGCCUUUUCCCACUUUUCCGUCAGCCUAUGUGUCUGUUAUAAAACAAUAUACUUGUUUGAUUGCAGAGAUGUCUACCACGGGAUGGCUUGGAUGAGCAUUUCAUUAUACACAUGGUAAUGCCCUUUUUUUGGUAUAUACGUUUGUUGAGCUCAAAUUUUAGUUUGCGCCUUGGCAUUUUAACUACUACGUGAGUAUAUUACAAAGAAAGUUGGGACUAUGAAUAUAGUUCAAAACUGUGUUCGGCUCGGUUCGUUUACUUGCUAACUGCUAUACUGUCUCCGCUUGCAGGAAGGUGCCAACAUCUUGGCAGUUAGUUAUGGUUCUCCUGGGGCGUGUCAAUAUCCUCGACAGUUGAAACUUGUAAGUGAACUCUAUUAUCCCAGCUUCUCUUUUUAUUUUACACUCUAACUGAGAUAAAUAGGACAUGGACUGAUCCUUUCUUGCCUUCGGUCUGGAUUCUGGUAUACUGAUAAAAUUAUGAAUGCAGAUGAUGUAAUUGAGUCAUUAUCUUUCCAUUCACCAAUAUUUUCUGUGAUUUAAUAUAUUUUGAGUCAUAUUCUAGAGUACAGUAUUGCAUCCUCUUUCUCUAUUUUGCCUAGAUAUUUUCAGCAUAAGUGGAAUAUCUAUAAGCGUUCUGUAAUAUGUUGAUAGAUUUGCAGAAAUUUUUGUGAGGAUAUACCAUUAGAAGAUAAGACAUGUGAGAGUAUGGUCUUAGGAUCAUUGUAAACAUUACAUAAUAAACCUUACAUAAUUGUGUGACUUUGGGGUGUGGUUUGGAGUGAGGAGUGUUGGUUCUACUUUCCAUGUUUUGUGAGUUUGUUUGUGUGUCCCUAAUUGACUUUCCGCACAUUCUAAAUCCCUUUCUGUCUGCUUGUGCCCCUAUAUACGAGGGUAAGCGUCCUUCCAUGGAAGUGUAGUCUUUUGGUUUGGAUUAAUUAUAGCUAACUGUUUCCUCUAAUAAACAAAGUAGGUGAUUUGCUGGUCUCUCUACGUGUCCCUAAUAGUGAUACAUUCCGAUAGAAUCCAACCUUGGGUUCUAUUACAUCUCUUGUCUACUUGAACUCCGAAACCUUAUAAUUAUGAUGGAAGAAGGUUACAUUUUCGUAAGAGCUUCUGACUUUGAUUAUCUAUGCUAUCUAAUCCAUGUUUCUCUUUUUUUGCUUACUGUAGCCAGCAAAAUGGUCGUUUAACUCGCACACCAUCCUGAAAAGCAGUGAGCAGGCGCCAAGGUAGAACAAUUGUUGCGUUUUUUGAAUCAAAUGGCUUUAUUUUGCAUGAGCCUGCACAUCUAUAUUCUAUAUGUGUACUAUAUAGCAUGAAAUUUUUUGUCAGUUCAUCAAGUUAUAUCAAUAAACAGUUUGCUUCCACCGCUUAGCCCAAUAACUAAAAUUUUAGCUUAUCCUUACCUGACUGUUUCACAGAACUCCAAUAUUCACUGAGGAGAUUCUAGGUGGUGAGAAUGUAGAGGGAGAAGUUGAACCGCCACCAGAGAGAUCAUUUUGGGCAAAAUAUGUGAGUAAUACAAUAAAGAUCUUUUGAUGAUUUUUAUUUUGUUUUAGGUCUUGAUAUAAAUUUCAUAUGAUACGCAGUGGAUGUAUUUGAUACCGCUGGGACUCGUAGUGAUGAACGCUGUAACACAAGCAUCAAACAUGGCUGAAGAACCCGCAGGUGGACAGGCAGGAGGUGCACAAAUGCAACCAGCUGCCAGGAGAAGAUGAUUCCACUUUGACUUCUCCCAAAGCAAUCAAAGGUAGACCACAGCCCAAUUACGAUGCACAAAUUUAUUUUUUUACCUAGCAGUCUUUAAAUCUUAUGAUCGCACGAGGAUACAUUUUAUAAAUUUGUUUGGCUAUCUUCGCAGCUGCAUGUGGAUAUAUAUUAUUUGGUUGUAACUUAUAAGUCACGCGGAAUUAACUGAAUUCGGAAUUUAUGUGGAAAUAUCAACGAGGUUUAGGAAGAUAUACGUCUUUGAAGUGAGUUAUAAGAUUCAAAUCUGAUUGUUAAUUAGCUUAUGUUGUUGUAGCUGCAGCUGCUAAGAGACGAUGAAUCAACAGAUCUUCAUGUAGAACCAUCUUGUCAUCAUUUGGUUUUAUGUAACCUUUAAUUUUAAUCCUAGGUCGGUGUUUUUGUACUCAGCAAAUGAGAAAUAAAAAAUCUGCGAACUUGAUAGCAUCUUUGUUAACUAGAGGCUUCAUGACAUCUCAAGAAUAAAGAUAUUGAGCAUCAUUCUUGUUUUGAUUACUUUUGACCUCUGCCACCACGUGUUUGUCAAUUUGUAUUUUUAUUGUUUGAAUUUGUUAGUAAAUUUAAUGGAAGUCAAGUAGUUAAAAAGGCCAUGAGAGAAAUCAUGCAUCUCAGUGAGAGCAUCAAGAAAGCUUCCAUUUGACAAAGCUCUUGUUCUGAAAUUUGAUCCAUCUUUUCUAGCAUCUUUGGAUCUGCGAUCUCAUCCAUGUGUCGGUCUUCCUUUAAUUUUGACAGCCAAUUUUGAAGACGUCUUCUCAUCUUACUCUCAAAUUCAUAAUCAGUACCAUAAUCUUCACCUUCACCUUGUUCUUUUUCUUCUUCUUUUUCUUCUAGAUAAAAAUCCAAAAAGCUUUCCGUUCCGGUUAGAAUAUUUAGUAUCAUAAACAUUCCAAUGGCAAAGACAUCGGUUUCCUCCGAGACUACGCCAUUUCUCAUGUAUUUAUCGUCCAAGUAAUUAUAUGUUCCCACUACUUUGUCAACCUCGACAAAUGUUUCUCCUUCUGGAAUCGAGACGCAACAAGAGAAAUCACUCAGCUUCACGACCCCAUCUUCAUCCAAAAAUAUAUUCCCAAGAGACAUACUCGUAUGUACGAAGGGCCUUGGGAACGCAGUGUGGAGGUAAGCUAAAGCAGUAGUGAUAUCUUCCGCUAACUUCAUUCUCCUUUUCCACGUCUGUUCACUUAAAUUUAGUUUGUAAUGUCUCUUUACACCAUGAUAAACCAUUACUGGAUUUUCAGACUCAAGACAACAUCCAACCAAUUUCAAAAAGUUUUUGUGACCGCUCACAAUCGAUGAAACUGCUAUGUCGCGGCACAAAUGUCCCUGUCGAUAGUUAUAUAAGCCAUCGUCAGCUUUCUUGAUGAGUAUUUUGUGGUGGUUCUCGUUCUU
RNAcentral lists this long non-coding RNA (99819 nucleotides) under Arabidopsis lyrata. Its description in RNAcentral is "long non-coding RNA (ALYR_LNC002736)". Lineage: Eukaryota; Viridiplantae; Streptophyta; Magnoliopsida; Brassicales; Brassicaceae. The record is from RNAcentral.